This 115276-nucleotide long non-coding RNA is filed under the name Citrus x clementina. Its description in RNAcentral is "Citrus clementina (C. clementina) long non-coding RNA (CCLE_LNC003322)". Lineage: Eukaryota; Viridiplantae; Streptophyta; Magnoliopsida; Sapindales; Rutaceae. The record is from RNAcentral.
UAUUCAAAAAAAAAUUAAUUCUAUGAAUUAAAAUUACUUACCUCCCCGGCAACGGCGCCAAAAACUUGUUGUGCAAAUUUUAAUGUACUCGCAAGCGCACGAAUCUAUUAUAGUAUAGAUCAAUGGUGACGAGUGUCGAUCCCACGAGGAGGUGGAUUUUAAUUGUGUAGAAUUAAUUUUGUGAAUGGUUGAUUGGAUUUGUGGUGGAAAUGAUUUGAAAUAUGCUACAACUUAAAUUAAAAUGGCGAGAAUAAAUUCUAAAAUUGGUAUUGAAAUGGCGGGAAGAAAUUGAAGAGAAUUCUAUUGAAAUGACGUACUUGGGUAUCUGGAUCCGUAUCAACAUGCAUCAUGAGCUAAAUAUUCCUUAUUAAUACCAAUUAAGUCAUGAGGGGGGAAUCCACACCUCAUGAACCAUGCUCUAAUCAAUAUGGUGCUAAGGGCUUAUCGUGCCAAAUAAUAAUAAUCUUAUACUAGAGGGCCGGUGAAACCAAGGCGGUACUAGACAAGAUUAAUAUUAUUUGUCGACGAGAAGUCAAAACAUCCACAAAAACUAGAGGGGAUGAGAAAAUAAAUUUACCAAAUAAAGCCCAUGACACAUGUUGAGACUUCACCUUCAACCCAAGCUUGAAAGAAAAUUAGCCACUCAUAAUUGAACUAGGGGCAAAAUGGGAAUUUAUUAAAAUACGAAGAAAAUACAAGAUGGAGAAGGAAUUACAGAAAAUGGAUCCCAAAAAUGGAUUCAGAGAUAUCAAAUUAGGGGGGAGAGGCCCCCUUUUUAUAAAUACAUGGAGUAAAUCAUGGCCAUCGGAUUAAAAACAGUUUGGACGCUCAGGAUUGCGCCACGUCAUCAGUCAACAGUCCACGGUUUGACCACGCGGAUGAACAGUAACACGGUUUGACCCGACUUUGAACAGUAACGCGGUUUGACCCGGAUGAACAGUAACGCGGUUUGGUUGAAAAUAAUCCUGUGUGAUGCAUGCACCGUACACGAGAUUUUUCGUCCACUGAUAUGCUGCCACGUCACCAUCAACAGUACAUAAGAAUUUUAGUCCAACAGGAUCGUGACACCUCAUCAGUCAAUGCCACAUCAUCGGUCAAUGCCACGUCAUCAUCCGUCUAUGUGAACAGUGUCGUGAACAGUAACGUAGACAGUACCGUACACGUGAAUAGUACCGUACAUGUGAAUAGUGCCAUUUUUCCUUUUAUGCUCCUCCUAAGGUUUUUAACCGUUCUGAGUUCAAAAGUGAUGUCCGUUUUGCCGUCUGAUUUCUCCUUUAUUGUGAAAUGACUAUAAUGCCCCUAAAAUACAUAAAAUACUUAAUUAAAAUAAAACACAUGUAAUUAAAUCACAAGAAGGUUAAAUACAUAAAAGUAAGGGUUGUUAGUAAGACUUGAAAUGUAAAAUGACGGUUUUCUCCUUUAUAAAUAUGCGUUUUCUAACACUCAACAUGCCACAUCAUUGAAUGGGUCAUAUUUAGGUUUAAAUAAUAGAUUAGAUUAUAGGCUGAAAUCUUGGUCAAUGAGAAACAAUUAAAAUUGCUUCUCUCUCUACACACACAUAUUAUUAUUACAUUAAUUUUCUCUCCAUCAAUAAAGUGAGUCACUCUAAAAGGGUUUAGAGAUAGAAAUUAAUUUUGCUAACUUUUAACUUUUGCAGUGAGAUUUGAUCAAGGAAAUUAUAAUGGAUCAAGGUAUAUCUUAUUUUAAUUUUGGUGAUGUGAAAAUCAUGAUACUCUAUGAUCUUGGGAAUUGAAGUUUGUCCAAAUUACGGUUUAUUUGCCUAUGAGAAUUGUAGAAAAUUCCAAACUCUUGUUUAACCAAAAACAUUUUUCUAACGAGUUGAUUUUUUUUUUUUUUCCAUCCAUUGUCUAGUAGAUUCUUGGUGCAUAUGAUUGGUCUGGAUGCAACCCAAUGGCUCCAGAAUUUUGGAAAUUUCCUUCAUUUUUCCUCAUAAAAUCCAGGUAAUUAGCACAUUGAUUUUGAAAAAUCGUUCCAAACAUCAUUAUUUUCAAUGGCUAUGAGCUUUCUUUUGAAUAUGUGGUUAUGAGGUUGAGGAUGUUGAUGAUAAUAUUGCAAAUCUAUUGAAAAUAGUUAUUAGACUAAUAAUGUAAGGUUGAGAGCAACCAUCCUCUUGAGGUUUUGCAUCCUAGUUAGCUAUAUGGCCAGUAAUGCUCUGAGUCACUUUCCACGGUGAAUAAAAUUACUGUGACACAACUUUGUGUUCACAAAUCACCAACCAUUUAUUCUCACUUGACAUGAGAAAUGAUACCUUGUGACUGGUGACAAUGAUACUCGAACUAAUGAUAAGCGUAGAAAAUUAAUCAUCAUAACCCUUAAUUUUGUUUUUGAUAUAGCCACCACUACUACUCAGCAGAGAAUUAAAAAGAUUGUGGAGGCUUAAGAUUGGAGAUUAUGGGAUAAAAAACGAUCCAUACAUAUUCAGGACAAAGAACUUUGCAGGUAGGCAAAUUUGGGAAUUUGACCCUGAUGCAGUCUCCGUUGAAGAGCUAGCUGAGGUUGAAGAGGCUCGGUUAAAUUACUUCAAAAACCGCUUCAAUGUUAAAAAUUCUUGUGAUCUCCUUUGGCAAAUUCAGGUAUUUUAUUUAAUGCACAACUACAAUGAAAAGAUGAUUCAUCUAAAUUAUACAUAAUUAAAAAUAUGCACGUGUUAUAAAAUCUUAAAAAAAACAAGUAAAUUUAGGAUGAGUUGAGAAUCCGUACGGCGGAUUCAUGUUGUCUUACCUAACUAAUUUUGGUCUUACGUUAAAAAUCUUUUUAAAUAUGUCGUCGAAAAGACAAGUAAAUUUAGGAUGAGUUGACAAUCCGUACGGCAGAUUCAUGUUGCCUUACUUAACUAAUUUUUGUCUUAGGUUAAAGGGGACCUGUCUACCUUACAGAUUCUGUAACAUACGCACCCAAUGCAUGCACCACACCUGUCCUGCGUAUGGAGAAAAAGCAUGCAAUUGUUUUUGUUUGGUAGCUAGCUAACCAAUCAGGAGCUGGCUAAGUUGGAUCUGUAUGUUACAGAAUCUGUAACUUAGCCAGCUCCUAGGUUAAAGAUCUUUUAAAUAUGUCGUCGCACAUUUAUUGUCAUCAACAUUUUCUUUGUUUGCUUUAAGAUCACCUUUAAGGCACUAACCACUAAAUUCUCUAGAUUUUUAAGAAUUAUUUUUAACAUAGUGCACAUUUUUGUAGUAUAUGAUUGUUUUUGUGAAUUAAUUAUCAUGAAGACUAUUCACCUAAACAGAAAAAAAUUUUAUUAAAUAAAAAAGUUGGAAAAUUUUAGGGGGAGAAAUAACGGGCUUUACUCCUCAAAAAUAAAAUAAAAUAAAGCUAAGACAAACAAUAACAUAAAAGUACAAAUAAAGUAGCAUGCUAAGAGAAUCUGUAGCUUAGAUAUCCAUUGACAUAUCUAGAAAUAAGGCUCAGUGUAGAAGGAGGAGAAUCCUACCAAAUGAGGGAAGAAUGUUAUAAUCCCAAACUCGAACCAAACAUCACUUGAGGGAAGAAUCUUAUUUUUUCUUUAUUUUUUUAAGUCAAUCAAAUCAAAAUUGAUAGUUGACAAAAAUUAAAACAAAAAGAUAAUACAUCUAAAUCAUAUAUGACUAAUUAUGUGCAGGUGUUAUAAAAUCCUCAUAAGAUAAGCAAAUGUGAGAUGUGUAGAAUAUCCGUAGACAGAUUUAUGUCAUUUUUUCCUUUUAUUAAUGCUUCGACUAAUUUGGCCGGCGGAGUUACUUUUGCUAAUUAUUGUACCUAACGAAUUUUGCCAGACAUUUAUUGCCAUCAACAUUUUUCUUUGUUUGCUUUAAUAUUAACUGCCAACUGCUAACUGCUAACUGCUAACUACUCUCGAUUCUUUUAAGAACUGUUUUGAAAUGACACCCAUUUUUGUAGUAUAUGAUUGUUUUCGUGAAUUAAUUAUCAUCAUGACUCAUCAUCUAAACAGUUUUUCAUUAUGAUAUGUGUGUAUAUAUAUACACACACAGAGAUACAUACAUACAUACAUACAUACAUACAUACAUACAUACAUACAUACAAACACACACACACACAAACUUAUAUUUAAGCAGAGAUGGACCUACAGGCUAGCCCGGAAAAAAUUCACUAAUACCCCUUAAAAUUUUUUCCUUUUGUUUAAUAUUGCCGUAUAGCUUUUAUUUUUAUUUUUACAAAUAUAUCCCCAAUUCAACUCUAUUUUUUAUCCCCACUAGAGUCAGAGACUUAUUUUACAACAUAAUUAAAUUAUAUAUUUAUUGAAUGAAUUGAAAUCAUAAGGAGCUACAAUGAUACUACUAUUUUAACUUAUUAUAAAAAAUGUUUUGAUUUUGUCUAAGUGAAAUAAAAUUAUACUAGUAUAGUAUAACAUCUUCGCUAGUAUUACAAAGUUACAAAUCGACAUACAAUAAUAAUUAAUAAUAUUUUCAUAAUUUAUUCCCUUUACAGUCUUACUUACUCUUUUUCUUUUCAACCGUGUAUAAAAUUACUGUGACAACUAACUUGUGUUGACAGAAUCACCAACCGCUUGUUCUCACUUGACAUGAGAAUUGAUGCCUUGUGACUGGUGACAAUGUUACUUGAAUCAAUGAUAAGCUUAUAAAAAUAAUCAUCGCAACCCUUAAUUUUGCAUGUGAUGUAGCCAGCACUACUACUACUCAGCAGAGAAUUAAAAAGAAUGUGGAGGCUUAAGAUUGGAGAUUAUGGGACAAAAAAUGAUCCAUACAUAUUCAGCACAAACAACUUUGCAGGUAGGCAAAUUUGGGAAUUUGAUCCUGAUGCAGGCUCCGUUGAAGAGCUAGCUGAGGUUGAAGAGGCUCGGUUAAAUUACUUAAAAAACCGCUUCUAUGUGAAAAAUUCUUCUGACCUCCUUUGGCAAAUUCAGGUAUUUUAUUUAAUGCAUAACUGCAGUUUUUUUUUUUAAUUUAUUUGGUCAUUUGAUUGACAAAACAUGCAUAAUUUUUUAUUAAUUAAUUGCAGAUUUUAAGAGAGAAGAAAUUCAAACAAACAAUUCCGCAAGUGAAAAUUGGUAAUAAUGGAGAGGAGAAAACAACUGAAAUUGCCACAACCGCGUUGCGGAGGGCAGUUCACAUAUUUUCAGCCUUGCAAUCUUGCCAUGGCCACUGGCCUGCUGAUAAUUCUGGCCCCUUGUUUUGCAAUACCCCAAUGGUAAUUAAUUCACAAUUCUCACAAAUUUACAGUCACUAUCUUAUAUUCUUUUAUUCAUUUAACUAUUAAUUAAUCUAGUUUUAAAAUUUAAAAAUGUGUAGGUUAUUUGUUUAUACAUUACUAGUCAUCUUAAUAUCAUAUUCUCUGCUGAACAUCGCAAAGAAAUGCUUCGUUACAUUUACAAUCAUCAGGUAUUUAAAAUUUAAUCAUUUUGAUUAGUUUAAUUGCUCAUGCACGUUGAAUAAUUUGCAAUAGAAAUAUUAUGUGAAUUAUAUAUACAGAAUGAAGAUGGGGGAUGGGGAUUACACGUUGAGNNNNNNNNNNNNNNNNNNNNNNNNNNNNNNNNNNNNNNNNNNNNNNNNNNNNNNNNNNNNNNNNNNNNNNNNNNNNNNNNNNNNNNNNNNNNNNNNNNNNGAAAAUGGAUCUUGAUCGCGGCGGAGCAACUGGCAUGCCAUCUUGGGGAAAGACUUGGCUUUCAGUAUAUAGUUUUAAUCCACUGAAAUCUUGAUUAUGUGUAACAAAAAAAAUUUCCUAAUAAUUAAAUAAUUACUUAAUUUUUUGUCUGGUAGAUUCUCGGUGUAUAUAAUUGGUCUGGAUGCAACCCGAUGCCUCCAGAAUUUUGGAAAACUUUCCUUAUUUUCUUCCCAUCAGUCCAGGUUAGUUCAUAGCACUUGAAAUAUCGUCAUGAACACAAUUCAUUAUGAUUAUUAUGAAACAAAGAAAUAUUGAAAAUGAUCAUUAGAGAGCACUUAAAGAAAUAUUUAGAAUGAUCAUUGGAGAGCACUUAGUGACUUAUGUAUGGCAAUAAAGUAAUUAAAAAGUCAAAAUAGAGAAGUUGAUAUAAUUUUAAUUUUGAAUUGAAAUUAAAUUGAUGCUACAACAUCAUUACUAAGUUGUAGAAUUUGUUAUGAAUUCAUUUACCAUUCUGAAUAUCCACUUUGUUUCAAAAAUACAGGUAAAUUGCUUUGCUACUGCCGGUUGACAUACUUGCCUAUGAGUUACUUUUAUGGAAAAAGAUUUGUCUGUCCAAUCACACCACUUGUUUUACAAUUGAGAGAAGAGAUUUACACCCAACCUUACAAUGCGAUUAAUUGGAGCAAAAUGCGGCAUUUAUGUGCAAAGGUUCGUUUAACUAAAUUGAUUUCUCUAUUUAUUUGAACUUCUUUUGGGGAAAACUUCGGGCUUAAUUAGGAGAGAGCUUCGUUUAAUUUAACUUGUUGGCAAUUGUCGUAUGAAAAUAACUAGUGCUUUUAUUCCACGACUAUGACUCACAAAGUCAAGAAUUACAGUAACGAAUGGAGGCUCAAUCCUUCAGUUAAAAUUAGCUAAUCUAUUGGGAGACUUUAUUGAUUCGUUGAAGGAUCAUGAAAACAUUUUUAUUGCAGGAGGAUCUCUUCUUUCCUCAUACUACUGUUCAAAACUUGCUUUGGGAUACAUUGAAUAAUCUAGUUGAGCCUGUUCUUAAUCGUUGGCCCCUUAAAAAAUUGCGAGAGAAGUCUCUAGAAACAGCAAUGAAUCACAUUCAUUAUGAAGAUGAGGCCAGUCGGUACAUGACCAUUGGAUGUGUUGAAAAGGUAAUCAAUUUAGAAAUCUGGCAAUAUGUGCAAUAUUAUUACUAUUUAGAUCAUAAGCUACACUCAUAUUUGUGAGAUUCAUGCAAUAUAUAUGUGUUAAUUGAUACAUGCAAUCGAAUAGCCGCUGAACAUGCUCUCCUGUUGGGUCGAAGAUCCUAAUGGUGGUUAUUUCAAGAAGCAUCUUGCCAGGAUCGGUGAAUACUUUUGGAUUGGAGAAGAUGGAAUGAAAGUGCAGGUUUAUAUAUAUAUAUAUACACACACACACACACAAUUUCUUCCUGUAUUAUACGUACUUUUAACAUUUAUCUUUAGAGUUUUCCCAAACACCUCUAUCACAUAAAUUCAAGCCAAUGGUUUUAACUGUUCCUUGUCAAUGGGGUUUUAUCCCUAAUACCCUCCAUCACACAUCAAAGCCAACCUUUUAACCAUCCCUGUCCUUGCAAAAGUAGUUUGGCCCCACUAGUAUAAGUUUAGCUCUGAUAGAAUAUAAAACCCUAUGAAUGUAACUAAUUUUUAAAACUCAAAAUUCAGCUCAUCAAUUGGGAAUCUCUCUAAGUUUAAGUUUAUAUAUUUAGCUAGAGAACUAUUUUCUAAACGUGGCAUUAUGAUUCUAAUGGUGCGAUUACUUAUCAUAAAUAGGAAUGAGAAUUAAGAAAUGAGAAUGAAUAAUGUGCUUGCUUAAGUGAGAUGUGGAAUGAAAAUUAAAAUGGCUGCCUCUCCUAGAAUUGGGAAUGCCUACUAGAGUUUUUAUUCUCAUGAGGAGAGGUGGGAACGGGAAUUUCAUUCCUUAAAAUGACCGUAUUAAUCCCACUUCAAUUGUAAAUUCUCUUUUUGUCCUUCUUUUAUCAUCAUCAAUAAACUUUUCAUAAUAAUAAUAGUAAUUAAUGUUAUCAAACUAAUGAUUGAUAUUAUAUUAUAAAAAUAAUAAAUUUUUUAUUAUUAAUAUUAAUUAUAAUAAUUAAUAAUUAUAAUAGUAUUACUAUAAUAAUAACCAUUAUUAUUAUUAUUAGCAAUAAUAAUAAGUAUUAAUUAUAAUGAGUAACAAUAAUUAUUUUUAAUAAUCACAGUUAUUAUAAUAAAUAAUGACAAUAAUCAAUUAAGGUCGGUUUAGUAAUUUAUAACAAAUCCUUUCCUAAUGUGAUUCCUACAGCUAAAAUAAAUAAUUUAUUAUGAUUUUCAUUCCUUAUUUCGAUUUCAGCCUAUUCUGAUUUCAUUCCGAUUAUCGAUUAAUAAAAUACACAGCAGAAAAUUUUCGAUCAUUUUUAUAGCUACAAGUUGAAAAUUUAUUGUAAAUGAUGCAUGCAGGGUUUAUGUAGUCAGACAUGGGUCUGUGCUUUUGCCGUUCAAGCUUUACUUGCUUGCAAUCUCACUGAUGAAAUUGGUCCAAUACUUAUGAAAGCACAUGACUUCCUUAAAACAUCUCAGGUUAAUUUUCAUAUUUUCUUCUGUAAACUUUACAUAUAACACCCAACAACAUUCUUUUAUUUCGUUCAGACAUAGGCGUGAAAUUUGGCAGGUCACUGAUAAUCCUCCAGGGGAUUUUAAAAGCAUGUUUCGUCACAUUUCUAAAGGAGGAUGGACAUUUUCUAAUAAAGAUCACGGAUGGCAAGUUUCUGACUGUACUGCAGAAGCCUUACUGGUAACUAGAGAUUAUUGAAAUGGCCGUUUUUGGGUAAACAUGGCAAUCAAAAUGGUCAUAAUUUUUCCUUAUAAUUUUCCAUGUGAAUUAAUAAUAUUUUUGUAUUUCACGGAUGUAGUGUUGUCUACACUUCUCAAUGAUGCCAUCAGAAAUUGUUGGUGAAAAAAUGGAACCCGAAAGGUUUUAUGAUGCUGUUAAUUACAUACUUUCUAUGCAGGUAUGAAGCGAUCAAUUUCUAUUUGCGAUCUUAUCUUUAUAUAUACAGCUUCCAAAUUUUACUACAUUCGAACGAAAAUUAAUCUUCGACACCAGUUGUAUAUAUGAAUAAGGAUUCUCUCCUAAUUUACGCUUUUCUAAGUUUUGUAGAUCAUGUUGAUGGUAUAUAGUUAGAAUUUAAUUAUUCUUAUAUUUUUAUCUCACAACUAUAUCUAUUAACCAUCAGUUGCAUAUCCACAUGUACACUUAUAUAUCUAGUAAAAUUAUAUGACAGAAUUUUUAUUGGAUGGAUGUACAUGCAAAUAAUUGUAUUAAAAAGACUUCAUUUAUGUACGUAUUUAAUUUAGACUUGCACAUUAUUUUUUCCAAAAAAAAUCUUUAUUGCCUGUUAGUUAUUCCAAAAUAUUUUAUGUAGAGUGAAACUGGUGGAGUACCAGCCUGGGAACCAAGGAGAGCACCAUCAUGGUUAGAGGUAAAAAUAACUUCAACAUAUAGAAAACCCUUCUACCCUUAAUCAAUCUCAAGGGUUUUAUUGAAUGGUUUUAAUCCGUUGUUUGACUAACUACAAAGCUCGAAUUCUGAGAAAGAUAGGGAAAACAUUUAUGUGGAAUAGUCCUAUUUCAUCAUCAUGCGCUGACGCUGACAUGAUACGAUUAUCGAAUAAAUUUUUAACACAUGAAAAAUAGAGAUAAUUUUUCAAUUUUGAGUGAUGGGAGCCACCACUUAAUUGUAAUGGAAACUUGGUUGGUCCCAUCAUUAAUUAAAAUUAAAAAAUUGCUUCUCUCUUCCAUAUGUCAAAGAUUUGUUGGAUAAUCCUGUCAUAUUAGCAUGUCUUAUGGUAGGACUGUCUCACAUAUGUUUUUCUUAAGAGGUAGUGGGGUAAAAAAAUAAAAUUGACCUUCACCUACCCCUACCUUAAUAAAAAGAAAACCUUUAAUAUCAUAUAUAUUCAUGAAUUGUUUGUGUUCCAUGUUCAGUUACUCAAUCCUAUAGAAUUCUUUGAGGAAGUUAUCAUUGAACAUGAGUAAGAUUUCUUCAAAUUUGUGUUUAGUCUUGUACAAAUAUUCUUGCUAUAAAUUCUGGUGGACUUAUCAGAAAUUUUGAAUUGUGUUGGAUCCAGUAAAGUUGAGUGCACUGCAUCGACAUUGAAGGCAAUGAAUUUGUUUAAGGAGUUAUAUCCGAAACACAGGGCAAAAGACGUUAAAAACUUUAUCCGGAAUGCAUCUAAAUUUAUUGAAGACACGCAAAAACCUGACGGUUCUUGGUACGUUUUCGCCAUAAAAGAAUGAUUAUGCCAACGUGUGUGCUUCCCCCCCCCCCCCCCCCGCCCCCCCCCCUUUCUUUACAAAUAGUUUGGUAGUAAUUCAAUUCUAUACUCAACAAGGGAAUUCAAUUCUCUACUAUCAAUCUGAGUGAACUAGCAGUAGCACAUUAUUAUAUACGAUAAAUGCUCCUUUGAAUCCUACAGUUUGAGCCAAUUACCCUAAAAUUAGUUAUUAUAUUUUAAAAAAUUAUAAAAAAUGUCUAUUAUAAUUCGCUUUAUUGUAUGGGAAAACACUGUUCGUUUUUCAUUUACUUCUUACUACUGGAUAUUUCAACCAAUCAUGUUAAUAUAUAUAUACACAUGUCAGCUAUCAAGUAGUGAAUAAAUAAAAAGCAAUUCUUUAGAAUCACCAAAGACUUUCUUCAUCACAUGUUGCAUUUUGCAUGUCUGAUUUGUAUGAAUUUUAAGUUAUAUUAGGCAGCGAAAAUAUUAUUUUACCUUUAAAAAACUAGAUCCCAUAUAUAUAGAAGUAAAGAUAGGGGUAUUUUGGAUAUUUAUUAAAAUAUAAGAUUAAUUAAAUGAUUGACUAUAAAUACUAAAUGAGCAAUUUUAGCCCCUUUUUUUAGUUCUUUUUAACUUUUUAAUGGUCAACAAAACCCAUAGAAUAAUUAAUGACAUUUAAAUAGUUAUUCAGUUACUGCCAAAAUUUUAAGCGGAGCCUAGAAAAUUAUAUAUGAAGAACUAAUUAUGCUUUUACAGGUAUGGUAGCUGGGGAAUCUGCUUCACGUACGGUACAUGGUUUGCAAUUUCAGGGCUAGUCGCUGCAAAAAAGACUUACAGUAAUUGUUUAGCUAUUCGCAAAGCAACAGAAUUUUUUCUCAAAAUUCAAUGCAAUGACGGUGGUUGGGGAGAGAGUUACCAUUCCUGCCCAAACAAGGUAACUUUAUUUGGAUUUGAUCAAUAAAUAUAAAUGUAAAAAAAGCCCAAUUUCCAAAAUAUCAUUGACUUUAUUGUUCACAUGAAUUCAUCGAUAAAUCGGAUUGGCGAUAAUAAAAUAAAAAAUGUUAGAUCCUAAAAUAGGUAGUAAUAUAAAAUGAAGUUCUGGUUCUUCCACUAGAUUUUGGCAUUUUGCUAUAGCAUCGCCAUGACUCAAAAUGAUCUGGUUUUAGUCAUUUAGAUAUUUUUACUUAACAUAAGUGUAAAAUUUUGACUUAACAUAUUUUCGGACUACAUAUAGUUUGAUAGCUUUAAUUAGUUUUCAUAUGAAAUGUAAGUCUGAAUCUGAUGAUAAAAAUUAAAUAGAAUUGGAUGUAUAAAUUUGAAUAAUAUGAGUUUUAUUUUUAUUUGUUCAUAUCCAAAUGAAAUAUGCGAAAAAUAUUGUUUUAUUGUUUUCAAAUAUUUAUUCUCAUAACAAAAUAUAGGUAAGGAAAAAGUUUUAUUAAGAUAAAUAUGACUCAAAUUUAUAUAUUCAGAUCAUUCAGAGUUUAGAGAAUUCAAAUUCGAACAAACAAACGACAAAUUGCUACCUAAAUUUUCAAUAGGUUUUCUUGGAGUAUGGUAACUAGUCUUCCAACUUCGUUUAUUAUCUUUUCAGUUUUACAAUAAGAAGAUUAGUGAUUUUUGCAGAAUGAUAAUCAGUGUGUUUGGUGAUGUAGAAAUAUGUACCUCUGAAAGGAAAUCGAUCGAAUUUAGUACAGACUUCAUGGGCUAUGAUGGCUUUAAUUCAUGCUGGACAGGUAAUUAGUUGCUAAUUAAUAAACAAUUAUCUCUUUCCAACUUUUAGAACUUCGAUAAAUUAGUUGCUGAUUACUGAACAAUUAUUUCUUUUCAACUACUUGUACGAAACUUAAGAAUUAUAGUCACUGCCAAAAAAUAGAAAAAAUAAUUUCUUUCAUUUUGUCAUUACAUGAAUUUAAUUUGUUUUUGUGUUAGAUGGAAAGAGAUCCUACUCCUCUUCAUCGUGCUGCAAAACUGUUGAUAAAUUCGCAGCUGGAAGACGGCGAUUUCCCCCAACAGGUAAUUAUUGCAUAAAAUCACUAGGAAAAUAAUUAUAUAAGUGUACGUGCAAUGGAAAUAAUUAUAUAAGUGCUAUUUCUCCCAUAAUUAUAUAGAAGAUUAGUGUACCACAUUUAAAAUGACUAUUUAAUUAAGGAAAAUAUUAUUCAUUCUAAAGAGGUAUAAUUGAUUACUUGCUGGUUGAUCGAUUGUAGGAACUCACUGGAGCUUUUAUGGGGAAUUGCAUGACACACUAUCCAACAUAUAGAAACGUGUUUCCGAUGUGGGCUUUGGCAGAAUACCGCUCAAAGUUUCUCUUGCCCAAGAUUUCUGAAACUAUUUAAGAUAUCCUAAAUAUCUUUCACUCAAUUGUGAGCCAAAAUCAAGGCCAUAAUACCAUACAAUAAGAAUUAUUGUCAUUGUAAUAUGCAAACACGGCAAAGUAUCUGUACAAUUAUGGUAUGCAAUGAUGUACUCAUACAGAAGAUGUGAUCAACCAUGUUUCUAUUAGUAAUUCAUAGUCUUGUACGAUAAAUUGGGCUUUUGACCCACAUUAAUCAAUUUGAGUUAAUGUAUAUCAUUAUUAUUAUUAUUUAUUUUCAUUGUGGUGGUGUUAGAGAGAGUUAGAGAGUUCUCAAAUACAUCAAAAUUUUGAUAGAUUAAUAAUACUCAGAUCAGAAAAAUUUAUUAAUUAACCAAAUUAUAAUUUUGCACGUUAAUCUCUAGUUGGGAUUGGUAAAACAUAUGAUUUAAUUAAGGGUUCAAUUCUUUGAGUAUUAAUUUAUUGAAAUUUUACUAUAAUUAUAUCCUUAUUAUGUAUUUUACUCCUUUUUUAAAGAACAAUGUUCUCCUAUUUUUUUGCUAAAUUAUCAAACAUAUUUUUUUUAGUUUGAAAACACCAUUUCCAUACUUUAUUUUUAUUUUAAAAAAUAACGUCUAAAGAAGCAUUUUAUAAAUACUCUUUAUUUUCAAACUUCAAAUGAGUGCCUCUUCCCCCCACCCCACCCGGCAAAAACAAAAACAAACAAACAAAGAAAGAAGAGUAAUGAUAUAGCCACAAACUCUUGUACAAACUUAUUUUGUACAAACUGACGUGGCAUGAUAAGAUUGGUUGAAUUAAAUAUCACUUGGCCCACAUGAUUUGUUUUUAUUAUUUUAUAUUUUCAUUCAACCAAUGAAUUAAUGCCAUGUUAGUUUGUACAAAAUAAGUCUGUACAAGAGUUUGUGGCUGUAUCAUUACUCAAGAAAGAAACACAUAUGAAUGCUACCUUUUUGUUUUUCCUUUUGAAAACAUUUUACACUCAUCUUUGAAAGUAGAUUUUAGAAACAUCAUUUUGAAAAUGUUCUCAAAUUCACUACAAGAAUAAGAAUACAAGUAGUAGGUGAUAGGAAUUAACUAUCAUAAAGGAGGGCGCAUAAUGGACAAUCUAUUCAUCUUCUAUGUUGUCACUUAUCUAUGAUAAAGACUUACUCGUAAUUAGUUUAUAAUAUGAGUUUCAAAUAGUCAUAUAUAUGUCACACCAUAUUGUAAUGGAAAAUUCAAAAUUAUUUGAAAUUUUAUCACUUGUUUUGAAUUUUUUGGUAGGAAAAUUUUUAUUAUUUCAAUUAAUGUUGUUGAAAAAUAUUUAUAUUAUUAAUUAUUUUGAAUUUUAUUAUUAUGAUUUGAAUAGUAUUAUUAUUAUUUUAUUACUAUUUUUACAAGAAUCCUGCAGAAUGACCAUGAAUAAGUAAAAAUUGGUGCUGGACUUGAGAAACAAACAAUCUUCAAAUCUACAGAAGGAUCAGCAGUCAUACACGAAAGCCCAUAAAGCAGAACCACUAAACCUGUAGUGGAACCCACUAGUGUUAAUUGCAGUAGAUUCAUAAGUCCAUGAACCACAUGCAUGACCAUGGACUUUGUAGAAAAUGUUAAAAAAAGUCCAUAUCCAAUCAUCACAAGUCCAUGAGACUAUGGUUCGAAUUCAUAGUUAAAGCUGAGCAAAACUCCACGUAUGGAAGAAUCUAGAAGCUUGUUCCAAAGAAACAUAGAUAGAAAUAAAUUAUGGUAUCACUCAUAGAGAUAAAAUCAUAGAAUAUCUUAAUCUUAAGUAAUCUAGAUGAUGAAGAGUUUGAAUUCAAAUUCUAUGCUAUCAAUAGAAGGCUUUAAAUAUAAAACCUCUCUUCAUGCCAAACGGGACAAGACAUUAUAACAAAAAUAGUUGUGUUUGUUUUCAAUAAUAAAGCCAUUUAAUUCAUGUCCAUGGACAUAGGCCAACUAGUGAACCAUGAUAAAUUCUGUGCUGCAUUUAUUAUAUGCUCCCACUUAGUUACUUUCCUCGUGAUGAACAUUAUUAAUAUAUUUAUUUAUAAUAUUUAAUGGACAUAAUUAAUAAUGGACAUUAUAAUAAAUAAUAAAGUAAUUAUUAUUUAGUGUAAGAUUUUUAAUGCUCUUAUCUUAUUAUGUGUAUUUUACUUUUUUUCUUAUAAAAUUUUAUGUUCACUUUACAAUAUAACCUUCCUUUUAAAUUUAGCCCGGAUACUUUCAAAUCCUGGAUCCGCCCCUCUGGAUAUGUCUCUUAAAAUAAGCAAAUCUAGUUUAAAUAAAAUAUAACUACUUUCUUAAGUGAUAUGACUAAUUCUCAAGAGACACAACCUCUUUUAUAAAAUAAAAGUCAUGUACGUAUAUAAAGGCAUCAAUAAUCUAUAAAUAGACACUUUUAUAUGUAUUUCACAUAAUCUUUAAUGAUGAGUUUAUGUUGGGAAAAAGACUAACACAAGUAGCUGCAAAUUAAGCGGAAACAAAACUAUUUCCCUCUUUAUAUGAUUAAAAUAGGAUGUGCUCCACAAAUAAAUAGAUAGAAAAAUAAACCAAUAAAUCCAAAGCAAAAGCCAACCACAAGAGAUACAGAUUUUUAUAUGAAAAACCCAAAGCAGGAAAAUUACGAGACCGUAGUCUGAUAUAAUCUUCCACUAUAUUAAUGGGAUUACAACACAAAUUCUUCUCUAAAUAAUACUAGAGGCUACCAACAUCAAAAAUCUCAAUAUUCUUGGCUUACAGUAACAGCCUAAUAACUAGCCAAAGAGGGGAUAAAAUAAAAAGUAAGACCAGUAAAAUUAUAGAAGGUGAUGCCAAGAACUUAAUCUCAAAAUUUGAAAGAAAACGAAGUUAAAAUCGCCUUCCAAUUAUCCAAUCAAAGAUUAAAAUUACUAUUCUUAAAUUAAAAACUUUUACUCGCUUUUCUCUCUCUCUCUUGCCGCUUCCCCUGCACGCACACGUUAUCUUGGGCAGCGGCUUUCACUUGCUUUUAUAGCCAAAUUUUAUAGCAAUUUUCACUAAGCCCCUCAAUGUUUCUUUAAUUACUCAAUUACCCAAAUUUAUUAAACUUUGGGCUUGGGCCACCCAAAUGAAAUUGACCCAACAAAUCUCCCCCUCCAGAUCAUAUAGGGGGUACAACCAAGCCCGCUUUCUACAUACAGCUUUUCAGCUUCUCCUUAGGCAAAGGUUUUGUCAUCAUAUUUUAUCCAUUCUCUGUUGUGUGUAUCUUCUCAACCUGCAACUAUUUCUUCUCAAGCACGUCUUAUAUCUAAUAAUACCUAACAUCAAUAUGCUUGGAUUUCGAAUGGUAUAUCGAAUUCUUUGCUAAGUGAAUGACACUCUGAUUGUCGCAGUACAUGACACGACUCAAAAGUGUAUUACUCUCAAGUAUAAGAGUGUCUAGUUAUAAUAUAACUCGGUGAGACCGGGGUCGAACCAUAGGGAGUUUUAAAUCUAGUAAAACUAAGAAAAUUAAUUGUGGGGAAAAUAAAUUAUUUGAAAUCAAUUUAAAAUAAGCUAAGGUUUAGGAUCCACUCUCUGUAUUCAAACUAUAAUUUUAAUACUCUCUCAUUUAUAUUUUGCCUCACUUUUACCAAUUAAUUAUUAUAUCAUUUAAUUCUAUGUGUGUGGAUAAAUAUAGAAUAAAGUACCUAAUGUGCCAAACUAUAUUAAUGUGUCGAUAUUAUGUCAAAAUACCAUAAAAUCCAGUGAGAUUUAUAAAUUAACAUGAUAUAAAAAUAAUUAGAAAAGAAUUAAAAAAAACUUAUUUGAGAAAAUAAUAAUAAUUAAUUGUUUGAAACAUUAAGCUUCACCCUUUACCUCAGCUUAAUAAAAUUAGCUACUCAUAUUGAAAAAAAGCACAACACUCUUUUUAUUUGAUAAACUUUUUGAAAUAUAUUACAAAGAAAAUUGAUACAAACGGAAAUAAGAAAAAGAAAAGAAACAAACAAAGAAAGAAAAUCUUCAGUCUCGGCUUCUCAAAUUUUACUCUCCAACUUCCCCUCGCUCUUCAAUUUCUCCUCCCUUUUUUUAGGCAACAAUUGCCUUUAAUUUUCUUUAUUUUAUUAUUUAUUUAUUAUUUUAUUAUUAUUUUAAAAUAUAUAAGUGUGUUGAAAUGUGUGAUGGUCAGGAGGCGUAAUGGCCUCCUGACCAUCACCAACAUGUUUUUGUUCUUUUGUUCUUUUUUUUGUUCUUUUUUUUAUUUUAUUUAUUUUAUUUAUUAUUUAUUAUUAUAUCUCUUUAAUUUUGUUCCAGUAGUUCUUCUUUGUUCCCGCUUUCAAUUCCAAUUCCAUCUUUAUUCCUGAAAAAUAUUUACAAGAUAAAAAUUAACAAAUUACGAAUUAAUUUAACAUAAAAUAUAUUUGGGGAGUAUUAAAAUAAUUUAGAAAUAAUGAACGCAUUAAUCGACACAAUAAGUGAAAAACUAAUAAUUUUAUCCUUAUUAAAUGUACAUUUUUUUAGUGUCAAUCACACCCCCCAACCAGCUUAUCGCUAGGCCCUAGCAAUUUAAGCGAUAAAAAUUUAGAGAAAUUUCAAAACCAAAUUGAAAUUUUUUUUAAAAAAAAAAUUGUGUUUACUUCCUUCAUCAGAUUAAUGACAACAAUCAAAUAAAAGUAUAAGCAUUAUCUUCAGCCUAAAGAAAAUCACACCGGCUCAAAAUAGUUCAGUAAAAUCCUGUAAAAUGAUCAAUCAUCAGAGCUACAUUAAUCAAGCCACUUUUAAGAAUGAUACAUCAAACCCCAAAAUCUCACGAUUAAGAGUGACUCUCUCAAAAGAAAAUAUACCACAAAUUAAUUUGUCACUCUAAAAAAAUGGUAAAUUUGAGAGAAUAAUAAAACAAUAUCACACGCUCUUACCAAGAUAAAAAUAAUGCCCACAAUUUAGAAAUAAAAUGAUCUCAAGUCCAAUGAAUUACUAGCAAAAUUUAUUUUUAUUUUUAUGCAUCACCACAUCUUUUAGUCCAUAUUACCAGCUUUUACUUUAGAUUAUAGUUUCCAAAAAUCGAGAAUGACUUUUAUUAGGACGUAACGUAGGCUAGGGUUAUGGCUAACAAAAAAGGUAAUAGGGAAAAUAAAAAUAUAUGUUUGAAAAAUAGGAGACUUGUUGGAGAUUAUAAGGUGCUCUUUUUUUUCUUUUUGCUUGGAUUUUUUUUUAUAUAUACAUAUCAUCUUUCUUUUUUUUUCUUUUUUUUCUUUUUUAUAGCACCAUUAUUAGGAAUACAUAAUCAUCCCUAUUUUUAAACAUAAUUGGGUGAUGAAAAACAUAAAACACAAGGUGAUACUCCUCAUUGGAGUAAGAAAAUAUGAUAGGUUACCAAAGAAAAAGUUUUUUUUUUUUUCAAUGGCUCAAAGGGGUUAACUAUGGAUUCUUUAUAAUAAGGUUGGCUAGAAAGGCUCAAACGGAUCAAAGAUGGCCUUCUAUCAUCUUUUAGGGUUCCAUAUAAUCUUUCAUAUCCACUAGUUCAAUGGACUUUUAGAUGCGGCUACACAAACUUUUUUUUUUUAAUAUUGAGAUUUUGUACAAUAAAUUGUGAAGCUGUAUAGGCAAACAAGGUUACUCUCCAACGAUAACAGGCUCAAAAACUCGCUUGGUCUUUUUAUAACAUGUACAUUCCUCCAAAUGGCUUAAUCAAUUUCACUCAUUCAAUUUCUCAAUAUGUACAUAAUUCAAGGCUAAAGAUAAUACGAAUACCAAAAUUUGAAAAUCAUCAUGUUAUCCAAUGUUAUAAGAUCACACUGAAAAAGAAAAUAAUUUUUUUUUAAAGAAAACACUAAAAAAUUGCGACUAAUUGUAGAAACUUAAGGGAGAUGAUUAAGAGAAAAAGACCGAAAACAAAAAGUUAGAAACAUUUUUUUUUUUGAAGAAAACACAAAAAUUAAGAAGAUGCGUUUCUAGAGACACUACAUUCUAUAUUCUGCCAUCUUCGACUCAAAUUUUAUCCAAAGUUAGUCUUUACAACAAAAAUUAGUAAAAACAUCACUAGGAUUGAGACGUUCCAUAAUUAUCAACUAUUCCCUCCCCCCAACCUGAAGGAGACAUUGUCCUCAAUGUCUAAAGAAAGGAGUAGAGUUUAGAAGAUAUCACCUGGCCACUGCUGGAAAUAUUUACAGACGGAGAGUUAAAUCUAAUUUACACUUUUUAUGAGAGUUACUGCCAUCGUCAUCAGUUGCCCAAUCCAACGCCAAAGUCAUGGGAUCUGGCUCUGGUUUGUAAGCUUGCAAAAGAUCAAGUAACUCAUUAGCAGUAGGAGCACAAAUGAAGAGUUUUUUCGCUGAGGAUGGAAUGAAAUAAUUUUUUAUUGCAUGAUUAAGAAAUGUUAUUAAGCCAUCAUAAAAGUUAUUAAUAUUUAACAAACCGAUGGGUUUUUUAUGGAUAUUCAAAUGGGCCCAAGAAGCAAAUGUAAUUAGUGCCUCCAAAGUUGCAAGGUCUGUUGGCAAGAAAAUAAAAGCGUCAGCAUGAUUUAACAUUUCAUAUAUUCUUUCUUGCAUACCUGAGACAACUAACUCUUCUCCAGUUGGUGAGUCUGGUAGACAUCCUAAAGGUUUUAAGGCUUUUGGAAUGAUGUCUAGCACUUGGCUUCCUCGAACGAAAGCGGCUUCAGAGACAAGCUUUGAUAACCCUCAGUCACCUCCUCCAUAUACAAGAUGUAGUUUCCUCUUUCCUAUAGCACGACUAAGAUCUAUGGAUGCUUGAACGAACUCCUUAUACUUUCCAUAGCGAAAUCCAGAAAGCACACAAAUGUUUUUAAGUUGACUGCUUGAAGUUGCUGCCAUUACAAAAAUUCUAAAAAGAAACAAUUUGUGAGUGCUUGAAAAGGAGUUCCUAUUUAAGAAUCUUGGUGAUGGACAUAAUGAUGUACAUCUGUAAAUGGGGUGGUGUGUUUGUCAAAUGACGUGUGAAGCUUUUAGCUUAAUAAUUCAAAUGCAAACAGUGAAAAGAAAAAACAAACAGUGAUUAGAUAAAAUAAAGAAAAAAAACAAUAAUAAUAAUAAUGCAAAAGAUAAAAGAACAGUAAAAUAAAAUGAUAUUUACUAGUAGUUGUGAUUGUAGCUCACAUCUUCGUCUGGUUUUACGUCCAGUAACGGCUUGAACGACCUCUAUGGGUCGAGGAUAGGCUUCCCAUCCAGUUUUCUUAUAAACUGGCAAACAGGAUUUUUUAGAGUCAAAUUCCCAAGACUAAACUGUACACUUUUCUUUUGGAACAACUUCCACAAAUUUUGAAUUUCACGUUGAACAUAUCCGCUCGGAUGUGUCUCAAGAGAUCGUAGGAUAUCAUCCAACGAUUCUUUACUCAUGCCAUCCUUAACGAAUUUGAUUUUAUCUUUAUGAUUUACAGAAACCAUUCCUAAAGCUUUACAACGUGGAUUUUUGCAAGCAAGUCUUACACAGUGAGAACAUUCAAAGCCAAGUCGCUUACCUCUUCUUUUCUUAGCAAAUGUACUUUUACCAAAACCAGGCAUGUAGGAAAUGAAUGGAUCAGAAAACUCACCUGCCAAUCGAACCUUUGCUUCAAUUAACCAGCGAAUGUCAGCAGGAAUCCCAUUGAUCAUUAACAAACGCAGUCGUUCACAACGAGGUUUGUAAAUCUUCUUAAGAGCAUUUUGAGGGAGAGAAUGAACAUGUUGAUGCAAAUUUUGUUGUAUUUCUUCCAUGCUUGACAUUGAGGUUUCAAUUAUUGUGGGAAACUGAGAAUACCGACUUAAAAAGUCAUGGAGUACCGUUAUCCACCAUUUAUAAGGGAGAGUGAAUCAAAACAAAACAAAUCAAAUCUAUAAAAUCAAAUCAAAAGUGAAAAAGAACAACAAAAUAAAACAAAAACACACAAGGAAUAUAACUCACCUUCGUCCUUUUAUUGAAUCAAGUUCCAAUUGCAGAUUAUAAAUAUCAUCCUCUAUUUCCUUGAGUUGUCUUUCUAGAUCUUUCACAUGAGAUACUAACUCUGGUGGUUGUAGAUCCCAAAUGGGAUGUAAUUUACAAAAUUGGAGCAAUUUCCUCAGGUGAAAUUUUACAUGAAAAAGCGUUUUAAGAUGAUCGAAAAGGAAAUUUCUCAUGGAGGUACUCAUGACAAGUAUAAAAAUUUGGUGAGCUAAAUCACAAUUGUCAAACAACACACAAUUAAAAUAAUGCAAUGCACUCCAUUCAAGACAUAGGGAAAAGGAAAAAGAAAAAGAAAAAAUCAAAUAAUUCAAACGAUAAAGUAACAGUAAAUCAAAUUCACAAAAUGUUAAAAUGAAAAGGCUUAAUCAAAAUUUUGGUGGAUCACUCAAAUGGAUUUUGGUAUCUGCUUCAUGUAGUUGAUAAUCUAGAUAUGGUUUCAAUCUUUGGCCAUUAACUUUAAAUGUGACACCAUCCUUUGGAUUCUUAAUUUCUACGGCUCCAUAUGGAUACACAUUUUUUACAACAAAUGGACCAUUCCACUUUGACUUUAACUUCCCUAGAAAUAAAUGAAGACGAGAAUUAUAAAGUAACACUUUUUGACCAAUUUUAAAUGUUUUCCGAAAAAUUCUUUUGUCAUGAAAAAAAUUGGUUCUUGCCUUAAUAAUUAUGGAAUUCUCAUAUGCAUCAUUCCUUAAUUCCUCAAGUUCAUUUAUUUGCAAUUUACGCACACUGCCAGCAUCAUCAAGAUUUGAAUUAAAAGCUUUAAUGGCCCAAAAUUAUUUAUGUUCAAGUUCUACUGGUAAUUGGCAAGAUUUUUCAUAAACAAGCCAAUAGGGUGACAUUCCUAAAGAUGUUUUAAAAGCAGUACGAUAUGCCCAAAGUGCAUCAAUUAGUCGAAGAGACCAAUCUUUACGGUUUGGAUUAAUUGUCUUUUCUAAAAUUUGUUUUAUCUCCCUAUUUGUUAAUUCAACUUGACCACUUGUUUGAGGGUGAUAAGGGGUAGCAACCUUAUGUGUAAUUUCAUAUUUCUUUAUUAAGGACUCAAAUGGCUUAUUACAAAAAUGCUUACCUCCAUAACUGAUAAUGACUCGAGGUAUUCCAAAUCUACUCAAAAUAUUUUCUUUUAAAAAGCGGAUCACAAUCUUGUGAUCAUUGUGCCGACAAGGAAUCGCCUCGAUCCAUUUUGAAACAUAAUCAACAGCAACCAAAAUGUAUACAAAUCCAAACGAUGAUGGAAAAAGGGCCCAUAAAAUCAAUUCCCCAAUAAUCAAAUAUUUCAAUGACAAGGAUGGGGUUUAAAGGCAUCAUGUUUCGCUUUGAAAUAGACCCUACCAUUUGACAAUUUUUACACAUUUUACAGAAUGCCUGUGAAUCUUUAAAUAAUGUAAGCCAAUAAAAUCUACGCUGUAAUAUUUUGCAGCUGUCGUUUUUGAAGAAAAAUGGCCACCACAUGUUUUAGAAUGACAAAAUUGAAUGACCAUACUUACCUCGUCGUUUGUUAUGCAUCUUCGAAAAAUUUGAUCAGAGCAGUACUUGAACAGGUAUGGUUCAUCCCAGUAAAAGCUUUUCACUUCUGUUAAGAAUUUCUUCUUGUCUUGGGAGCUCCAGUCACAUGGCAUUUCACCUGUUGCAAAAUAAUUAACAAUAUUAGCAUACCAAGGCAUUUUGUUUAUAGAAAACAAAAAUUCAUCAAGGAAACAAUCAUUAAUGGGUGUUGUUUCAAUUGAAGACUCAUUUGUAAGUCUUGAAAGAUGAUCUGCAACAACAUUCUCAGCGCCCUUUUUGUCCUUAAUUGUCAAAUUAAAUUCUUGAAGUAGCAAAAUCCAUCGUAUCUACCUUGGUUUGGCAUCCUGUUUUGACAUUAAAUAUCUCACAACAGCAUGAUCAGGAUAAACAACAGUAGAUGAACCAAUUAAAUACGAACAAAAUUUAUCCAAUGCAAAUAAUACAGCAAGUAGUUCUUUCUCAGUUGUUGUGUAAUUCAUUUGAGCACUAUUCAAAGUUCUACUUGCAUAAUCGAUGACAAAGGGCUUACCUUCCUUUCUUUGACCUAGAACAGCGCCAACGGCAUAAUCACUAGCAUCACACAUUAGCUCAAAAGGCAAAGACCAAUCAGGGGGUUGCAUUAUUGAGGCUGAUGUCAAAAGAGUAGUUAUUUUUUAAAAAGCUUGUUGACAAUCUUUAGUCCAUUCAAAUUGUGUGUCUUUUAUUAGGAGGUUACAAAUUGGUCUAGAUAAGACACUAAAGUCUUUUAUAAACCUCCUAUAAAAUCCCGCAUGUCCUAAAAAAGAACGAACUUCUCUAAUUAUUUUUUGUGAGGGUAAUUUUGAAAUGACUUCAACUUUGGCUUUAUCAACUUCGAUUCCUUUUGAAGACACAACGUGGACCAAGACAAUUCCAGAAGUGGUCAUGAAAUGGCAUUUUUCCCAAUUUAAAACUAGUCCUUUUUCUUUGUACCUUUCCAAAACUUUUUCUAAAUUAUCAAGACAUGUAUCAAAAGAAUUACCAAAUAUAAUUAACUGAUCCAUAAAAACCUCUAGACAAUUUUCAACCAUGUCACUAAAAAUGCUUAGCAUGCACCUUUGAAAUGUUGUAAGAACAUUACAAAGUCCAAAGGGCAUUCUCCUAAAUGUAAAUGUUCCAAAUGGACAUGUGAAUGUGGUCUUUUUCUGGUCUUCUAAGGCUAUAGGGAUUUGAUAAUAUCCAGAGUAGCCAUCAAGAAAGCAGUAGUAGGGAUGUCCAGCUACUCUUUCGAGAAUUUGGUCUAGAAAUGGAAGGGGAAAAUGAUCUUUUCUAGUGGCAUCAUUUAAUUUUCUGUAAUCAAUGCACAUGCGCCAACUAUAUGGAAUUCGUGUUGGGAUUGGUCCACCUUUUUCAUUUUUUACAACAGUUAUUCCAGGUUUUUUUGGUACUACUUGUGUUGGACUUACCCAUUUACUAUCAGAGAUAUGGUAGAUAAUUCCUACAUCUAGUAGUUUAAGGACCUCAUUCUUUACCACUUUUUUCAUAUGAGGGUUUAGUCUUCUUUGUGGUUGACGAAUUGUUUUGGCAUUUUCCUCUAAGUGUAUUCGGUGUGUGCAAAUUAAAGGAUUAAUGCCUUUUAUGUCUUUUAAGGUCUAACCAAAUGCAGUUUUAUGCCUUUUUAGUACAGAUAACAACUUACCCUCUUGAUCAUGUGUGAGUUGAGAAGAAAUUACCACUGGAUAUGUCUGCUGCUCUCCAAGAUAGGCAUACUUCAAUUCUUCUGGUAAGGGCUUUAAUUCGAGCUUUGGUGCUUCCUCUUCGUUUGCUUCUUCAGGUUGUAUUGUAUCUUCAAAGUUCGAUUGGUCAUCGUCACCUAUAGGUACCUGCAUAGAAUCAAGUGUAGGGCAUAUGUUAGCAGUAUCAAAAUCUAAUUCCUUACUUGAUUCAACAGAACCAGCAAAACAAAUUUCCUCAGAGUUUGUAAAAUUCUCAUCCUGAAUGUGUUCCUCAAUGAUUGCCUCGAUGAGAUCAAUUUCAUCAUUCUCAUUAUCAUCAUCUUCUUGGUGGUGAGGUUGUUUACACAUGUUGAACACAUUAAGUUCCAGUGUCAUGUUGCCAAAAGAUAAAUCCAUUAAUUCAUUCCUACAAUUUAUCAAAGCAUUAACAGUAGCUAAAAAUGGUCGACCCAAUAUAACAGGAAUUUGUUUGCAUUCAUUAGCAAUUGGUUCCGUUUCCAAAACAAUAAAAUCCACAGGAUAUAUGAAUUUAUCGACCUGGACUAAUACAUCUUCAAUUAUUCCUUUUGGAACCUUAAUCGAUCUAUCAGUAAGUAAAAGAGUGGUAGAAGUUGGUUUUAACUCACCGAGAUUGAGUUGUUGGUACACUGAGUAAGGAAGUAAAUUAACACUGGCACCAAGAUCAAGUAAAACAUGUCCAAUUUUAUGAUCCCCAAUAGUGCAAGAAAUAGUUGGACAACCAGGAUCCUUGUAUUUCAAAGCACUAUUAGUUGAGAGAAUGGAACUUACCUGUUCUGCUACAAAAGCUCUCUUUUACACCUUAUGUUUCCUUUUCACUGUGCACAGAUCUUUCAGAAAUUUAGCAUAAGAAGGCACUUGUUUAAUGACAUCCAGCAGAGGAAUGUUGACCUUAACUUGUUUAAAAACUUCAUAAAUUUCUGGACUGUGGUUUGAUUUCUUUGGCUUGGCCAGUGCUUGAGGAAAUGGGGGUACAAAAGGAGAGUUGGUUAUUUCUUCAUGGGCCAAAGGUUCGACAAACUCUUCCUUAUCUUCUGAAAUUGAAUCUUUACUUGUUUCACGAGGGUCCACAAUGUGUUUUUCGACUACUUUACUACCACGAAGGGUUAUAACCGAUUUGACUUGACUCAUAUUUUGGUUUCUUGAAUUUCCCAUUUGAGGAUGUUGUUGACUCUUGGGGUUUGGUUUAGAUUGAGCAGGAAACUUUCCUUUUUCAUGUAUGGUCAGAGCAGAUGUAAGUUUGGAGAUAGUUUCUGUCAAAUUGGUUAAGGUUUGCAUUGUUUGGUUAUUAAUCGACUCUUGUUUUUCAAUAAACGAAUCCAAUGUGUCUUCCAGAGUUUUUCUUGGUGGUGGGACAUAUGGUGGGUAACUCUGGGAGUUUUGAAAAUUUUAAUGUGGAGGAACUGGUUGUGAAGGUUGUGCAUGAUUGUCAUUUCUCCAACUGAAAUUUGGGUGGUUUCUCCAACCAGAGUUGUAAGUUUGGGAGUAUGGAUUUGGAUUUGGCCUUUUGAAAUUGUCAACGACAUUUACUUGUUCAUGCAAACUUUCUCUUAGAGCUGGUAAAGUUGGACAGUCCUGCGUAGAAUGGUUAGUAGAAUCACAAACAUAACAUGAAAUAUUUUGAACAAAUUUUACAUGAUCAUUCUUUUUCGACUCUAAUGCUUCGACUUUUCUAGCUAAUGAUGCAAAUUUGGCUUGAAAAUCAUGGUCUUCCUUAAGGUUAUGCAUGCCUCCACCAGAUGGAGAUGACUAGGGUUUACUUGAUGACUCAUAAGAACCAACUGUAUCCCAGUGCUGUGCAUUUUCUGCUAUAUAAUCAAGAUUGUCUAAUGCAUCUUCAGGACUUUUAUCCCUAAACUCACCAUUACACAUCAUUUCAACGACUUGUCUACCUUGGGAUGUUAAUCCCCCAUAGAAAUAAGAUAACUAAUCUCCAUGUUUCAAAACCGUGAUGUGGGCAAAUGUUAAGUAGUUCUUUAAACCUAUCCCAACAUUGGUAGAGAGUUUCUCCUAAUUUUUGAGUGAAAGUGGUAAUUUGUCUUUUGAAAGAAUUUGUUUUGUGGGGUGGGAAGAAUUUUUUCAACAAUUGUACUUGCAUUUCAUCCCAAGUUCUUAUGGAUUCUGACCUAAGAUUUUGUAGCCAAGUUUUAGCUUUAUCCUUUAGUGAGAAAGGAAAAAACUUAAGCCUGAUUAUAUUCAUGCUACAAUUUUGAUCAGUACAGGUGUCACAGACUUCCUUAAAUUCCCUUAAAUGCAAAUAUGGAUUUUCAGACUCAAAACCAUGAAAGUUAGGCAAAAGUUGAAUGAUACCAGACUUGAAAUUAAAACGUGAUGCAUCAAGAGGGAAAACUAUGCAUGAUGGUGACCCUGUUCUAGUAGGAUGCAUGAAGUCUCUAAGGGUCCUAGGUUGUUCAUGAAGAUUUUGCAAGGCUUGAUCAUUUUCGUGCUCCGAAAAAUUUUCAGCUCCUAUGUCAGCCAUAUUUAAGGGUGGUGAAGGUGAUUUUCUAAUUAAUCUACUACUAUUUGUAUGAGAUUAACGGCGCAUGCAAUGUUAAUGAUGUGUGCUAAACUAAUGAUGCAAAAACGCUAAAUGAAAAUUGCAGAAAUAAAAAUAAACUGGAAAUUAAAUAAGAAAAAAAAUGUGAAAUAAAAAUAAACAAACUGAAAAUUAAAUAAAUAAAUUAGGCGGUGAAACCAGCCAUUAAAAGAAACUGUUUAGGCGGUAUUUUAAAACCAGCCAUAUGAUAAAACAUAAAAUUAAAUAAAUUAAUGCACAAAAAUAAAUAAAUUAAAAUUAAAAUGCUAGGUGGUAGAACCGACCAUAUAAAUAAAAAUACAAAAUUUAAAUGACAGUUAGGCGGUAGAAUCGACCAUUUUAAAUAAAUGCGGAAAGUAAAUUGCAGAAAUUUAAAGAAAUAAAUUUGAUUUGGGGACUGAUUUGCAAAGGUGUCUGGGCUAAGAUAUAGUUUCUCACAAAUUUUAUGGAUAAUGUUAAGGUUUGAAAAGAAGAGGGGUGCUAACUGAAGUUUUACAAAAAGAGAAUAAAAUAGAAUUACGGAAAGAUAGUAACGACAAAACAAAAAAAUAUUAAAAUAAAAUAAAAAUAAAGUAAAGGCAAACUAACACCAAAUUUAGAAAAUUUCGUGGCAACGGCGCCAAAAACUUGACAUGACUCAAAAGUGUAUUACUCUCAAGUUAUAAUAUAACCUGGUGAGACUGGGGUCAAGCCACAUGGAGUUUUAAAUCUAGUAAAACUAAGAAAAUUAAUUGUGGGGAAAAUAAAUUAUUUGAAAUCAAUUUAAAAAUAAAUUAUUUGAAAUCAAUUUAAAAAUAAGCUAAGGUUUAGGAUCUACUCUCUGUAUUCAAACUAUAAUUUUAAUAUUCUCUCAUUUAUAUUUUGCCUCACUUUUACCAAUUAAUUAUUAUAUCAUUUAAUUCUAUAUGUGUGGAUAAAUAUAGAAUAAAGUACCUAAUGUGCCACACUAUAUUAAUGUGUCGACAUUAUGUCAAAAUACCAUAAAAUCCAGUGAGAUUUAUAAAUUAACAUGAUAUAAAAAUAAUUAGAAAAGAAUUAAAAAAAUCAUUUGAGAAAAUAAUAAUAAUUAAUAGUUUGAAACAUUGAACUUCACCAUUUACCUCAGCUUAAUAAAAUUAACUACUCAUAUUGAAAGAAAACACAAUACUCUUUUAUUUGAUAAACUUUUUGAAAUAUAUUAUAAAGAAAAUUGAUACAAGCAGAAAUAAGAAAAAAAAAGAAACAAAGAAAGAAAGAAAAUCUUCAGUCUCGGCUUCAGCUCUAAAAUUUUGCUCUCCAGCUUCCCCUCGCUCUUCAAUUUCUCCUCCCUUUUUAUAGGCAACAAUUGCCUUUAACUUUCUUUAUUUUAUUAUUUAUUUAUUAUUUUAUUAUUAUUUUAAAAUAUAUAAGUGUGUUGAAAUGUGUGAUGGUCAGGAGGCGUAAUGGCCUCCUGACCAUCACCAACAUGUUUUUGUUCUUUUUAUUUUUUUUAUUUUUUUUAUUAUUAUAUCUCUUCAAUUUUGUUCCAGUAGUUCUUCUUUGUUUCCGCUUUCAAUUCUAAUUCCAUCUUUAUUCCUGAAAAAUAUUUACAAGAUAAAAAUUAACAAAUUACGAAUUAAUUUAACAUAAAAUACAUUUAGGGAGUAUUAAAAUAAUUUAGAAAUAAUGAACGCAUUAAUCGACACAAUAAGUGAAAAACUAAUAAUUUUAUCCUUAUUAAAUGUACAUUUUUUAGUGUCAAUCAGUACACAAUAAAGUUGUCUUGCUUUAUACCCAACUCUUGUAGGAAAUUCUUCAUCCAAAAGGUUUCUUUGCAACCUUCAGUAAUUGCAAUAUACUCUGCUUUUGUGGUAGACAAGGCAGCACAUUGCUGAAGUCUGGAUUGUCCUGAGACUGCUUCCCCUGCAAAUGUGAGCAAAUAUCAUAAUGAGGAUUUUCUCGAAUAAACAUCUCUUACCAUAUCUGCAUCCGUGUACACUUGUAACACAUGUUUGUCACCAGCAAAACAUAAACAUGCCUUGGAAGUGCCUCUGAGAUAUCUGAGAAUCCACUUUACUGUUGUCUAGUAUUCUUUGUCCAGAUUAGACCAAAAUCCACUAACUAUACCAACUACAUGAUCAAUAUUUGGUCUUGUACAAACCACGGCGUACAUCAAACUACUAACUGCUGAAGCAUAAUGAACUUCUUUUAUUUCUUGCUUCUCUUUCUCACUUGUAGGACAAUACUCAAAACUAAACUUGAAAUAACCUACAAGUGGAGAACAAACAUAUUUUGCCUUACCUAUGUUAAAUAUUUCAAGAACCCUUUAACAUAUGCUUCUUGAGAUAACCAUAACUUUCCAACUUUUCUAUCGUGGGAAAUCUUCAUGCCAAGAUUCUGUUUCCCCAGUCCCAAGUCCUUCAUUGCAAAAGACUUGCUAAGCUCUCUCUUCAAAUUGUCAAUCUUACUAGCAUCCUGGCUAACAAUCAACAUGUCAUCCACAUAAAGUAAAAGAAUUAUGAAAUCAUUGUCACCAAACAUUUUCACAAAAACAUAAUGGUCGCACAUAGUCUUGUUAAAACUAUGAUUCUCCAUGAAAGAAUCAAAGUUCUUGUACCACUGUCUUAGUGCCUAUUUUAGUCCAUACAAACUUUUCUUCAACUUGUACACAAGUUCUUCUUUGCAUUUGACACUGAAUUCUUCAAGUUGCUCCAUAUAUAUUUCCUCCUCUAAGUCACCGUCCGAGAUAGCUACUUUUACAUCAAGCUAUUCAGUCUCUAAGUUCAAGCUAGCUGCUAAUCCCAGAACAACUUGGAUAGAAGAUAUCUUCACCACAGGAGAAAAUAUUUCUGUAAAAUCAACACAUUUCUUCUGACUGAAACCCUUCACAACCAAUCUAGCCUUGUACCACUAUUGUGAGUUGUUUUCAGUCUUCAAUCUAUAAACCCACUUGUUCUUCAGUGCCUUUUUUCCCUUAGGCAGCUUCACUAAGUCAUAAGUGUGGUUUUUAUUGAAAGAUUCCAUCUCUUCUUGCAUGGCUUUAACCCACUCACUUUUAUGCUGCUAAGACAUGGCUUCUUCAAAAUAUUAUGGCUCCCCUUCAUCUGUAAGCAUCACAUACUCAUGUGAAGCAUAUCUAGUGGAAGGUCACCGUUCUCUAAUGGAUCUCCACAAUUCUGGCUCAACUAGUGGUGAAAGUAGUUCUACAGGUGCCUGGUCAACUAGUUUUGCUAGACCAUCAUUAUUAUCCUCUCCAGCUCCCCUAUGAUCAUUAUAAACUACAGGUGGAGAAACUGAAGUUGGAAUAAUAGGAAUCUCCGGAGAUAACUGAGACUUGUCACUCUUCUCUGUAUCACCAACUAUCUGAUCUUCAAGGAACACAAAAUCUCUAAUUCUGAUCAAUUUUCUUGCCACUAGAUCCCAUAAUUUGUACCCAAAUUCUUCAUGCUUAUAGCAUAAGAAAAUGCAUUCCUUGUCUUUUCCCCUUUGCAUGUUGAAAUGUAAAUUGAGAAAUUUGAUAAGUGAAAAUGAUUAAGCCAUUUAAAGAAAUGUACAUUUCAUGAUAAUUCCAACUGAGUUUUUGAGCCUAUUAUCCUUAGAGAGUAACCUUGUUUGCCUAUAUAGUUACACAAUUUAUUAUACAAGAUCUCUAUAUUUUCCUCAAAGUUAAAAAAAAAAAGAUUUGAGGCCGCAUCUGAAAGUCCAUUGAAUUAGUGGAUAUGAAAGAUUAUUUAGAGCCCUAAAAGAUGAUAGAAUACAUCUUUGAUCCAUUUGAGUAUUUCUAGCCAUCUCUGUUAUAAAGUAUCCAUAGUUAACCCCUUUGAGCCUAUAUAGUAAUAAAUAAAUAAACUUUUUCUUUGGUAACCUAUCAUCUUGUCCCACUUCAAUGUGGAGUAUUACCUUAUGUUUUAUGUUUUCCACCACCCACUUAUGUUUGAAAAUAGGGAUGAUUAUUUAUUGUUGAUAAUGGUGCUAUGAAAAAAAAGGAUAUGUAUAUAUAUAAAUAAAUACAAAAAAAAGAAGAAAUAAAAGGAAAAAAAUUUCCAAGCAAAGAGCACCUUGUAAUCUUCAAAAAGCCCCCUAUUUUUCAAAUAUAUAUUUUUUAUUUUUCUUAUUACCAUUUUCUUGUUAGCCAUGACCCUAACCUACAUUACGUCCUAAUUAAAGUUCUUCUUGAUUUUAGGGAACUAUAGUAUGAACUAAAAGCUGGUAAUACAGACUCAAAGAUGUGGUGAUACAUAAAAAUAGAAAUAAAUUAAUUUGGUUAAUAAUUCUCUUGAGUUGAGAUCAUUUUAUUUCUAAGCUUUGGCCAUUAUUCUUUCAUCUUAGUAAGAACGUGUGAUAUUAAUUUAUAUUCUCUCAAUUUACCACUUCUUAGAGUCACAGUUUUUAUGGAGUAUAUUUUCUUUUGAGAGGGUCACUUUUAACCGUGAGGUUUUGGGGUUUGACGUAUCAUUCUAAAAGUGGCCUGAUUAAUGUAGCUUUAAUAAUUGAUCAUUUUACAUGAUUUUACUUAACUGAUUUGUGUGGGUGUGAUUUUCUUUAGACUGAAGAUAAUCCUUAUAUUUUUAUUUGAUUGUUUUCAUUAAUUCAAUGAAAGAAGUAAACACAAUUUUUCAAAAAAAAUUUCAAUUUGUGUUUGAACUUUCGCUAAAUUUUUAUCGCUUAAAUUGUUGGGGCCUAGAUAUAAGCUGGUUGGGGGGUGUGAUUGACACUAAAAAUUGUAUAUUUAAUAAGGAUAAAAUUAUUAGUUUUUCACUUAUUUUAUCGAUUAAUGCUUUCAUUAUUCAUAAAUUAUCUUAAUACUCUUCAAAUAUAUUUUUAUAAAUUAAUUUGUAAUAUAUUAAUUUCAUUUUAAUUUUAUAUUGCAGAUAUAUUUCAAGAAUAAAGAGGAGUUAGAACUAGAAGCAGGAACAAAGAAGAAUUGUUGGAGCCAUUUGGAAGCAUUAUCGAGGAGAUGUAAUUAAAAAAAUAAAAAAAUUAAAUAAAUAAUAAAUAAAAAAGUGGGCAAUCAUGUUGAUAAGGGUCAGGAGGCCAUUAAGCCGCCUGACCAUAACCUAUGUUUUGCUUGUUUGUGUGAUAAUAAUAAUAAAUAAUAAUAAAAUAAAAUAAUUUGAAGCUGAAGAUCACCUAUAAAUAGGAGCCGAGCGGGGAGUUGAAGCGAAGUGACGGGGGGAGAAAGCUAAAGAAUUCAUUUUUCUUUUUUUCUUUUUUUCAUGUGUAAUCAAUCUUCGUGUAAUAAAUUUCAGAAAUUCGCUAAAUAAAAUGAGUGUUUUGUUUUCCAAUAUGAGUGGCUAAAUUUUCUAAGUUGAGGUGAAAAGUGAAGCUCAAAAAUUCAAAUUAUUGAGUUAAUUACUCUCCCAAGUGAGUCUUAAAGUUUAUUUUAUUUAUUUAUAUUUUUCUUUCUUAUUGGUUUCUUUUAUGUCAUUUUAAUUUAUAAAUAAAAAUCUCUUCAGAUUUAUACGGUAUUUUGACAUAAUGUUGACACUUCAAUAUAGAUGUGGCACAUUAGGUACUUAGUCCUAUAUUUAUCACAUUAAUGGUUAGUUAAAAAUUAAAUGGCAUAAUAAUUAAUUGGUAAAAGAAAUACAAAAUAUAAAAUUUGAGGAGUAUUAUAACCAUAAUUUGAAAUCAGAGAGUUGAUCUCGUAACCUUAGCAUAUUUUUAGAUUGAUUCAAAUUAAUUUCUUUUCCUACAUUAAAUUUUCUGAGUUUAAUAAAUUGACUACUAGAUUUUAAAUUUCCUGUGGUUCGAUUGUGAACUCAUCGGGUUAUAUUAUAACUAGACACUCUUAUACUUGGGAGUAAUAACACUUUUGAGUCGUGUCAGUCCACACCACACAUAUAAACAAAGUUAAUAUUUUCAUGGCCAUACAUUUGCUAAUUCCUCUAAUCAAAUAUAAAUCUAACUCAAUCUACUAAAGCACAAUAAUUACCACACCUGAUAUAAUAAAAACUUAUUCCACUAACAAUUAUCACACCUAACAUGGUAAAAACUUAUAAUUUCACAACAAAAGGCGUAGAUUCUCCUUGAUAGUGACUUAACUUUUUUGGACUUCCAGAUUCCAAAUUUGACAUACGUUUAUUUGUUUGGAGCCUUGAAUUGUGUGAAGUCAUUAUACCCAAUAAAUACAUAAAAAUACACAAAAUAAAAUAUUUAGAAACAUAAUUAGAAAUUCAUAAUAUGUUACGCAAUUACAAAUGUAAAUUAUAAUAUAAGCGCGAAAUAAUAUUUUUACCCUUUAGUGAACAUAUAUUUUUUAACAUUAACCACAACCCCAACCAGUUUAUUGCUAGACCCCAACAAUUAAGGCAUUAUAAUAAAUUGAGAUUUACAAAAUUUACAUGCAAAUUAAUAGUUGUUCAUCUAUCCUAUAAACUAUCAAAUAAAUAAACUCUCUCAAAUUUCAUUACUUAGCUUUUUGUUGUUCACCCAUUAUUCAGGAUAUCACCAAACCUUCUUUUGUGCUCAAGAGAUUAACAUAAUACAUAUAGGGCUUCAUUAAAGGAAAACAAUGUUUUCAUUCUAAAAUUCAUUGGAAAUUUUAUCUUUAGGCAGUAGAUUAUUCACACAUCUUUUAAAAUAUUACAUUUUUAAUCCAUAUAGUGAGCUUUAGGCCAUUGACUCCCAGACUAGUUGUUCUUAAGGCAUUAGGUGUUAAAACACCCUUAUGGACUUAGUAAACAACGUCUUUUAAAGUCAAAUUCCCAAAAUUGAACUAUGUACUUUCUUUUUAGAAUAGUGUCUAUAAAUUAUAAAUCUCACACUAUACAUAUCCACUUAGAUGCUCUCAACAGAUCACAAGAUAUCAUCUAAUGAUUCUUUACCUAAACCAUCUUUAGUGAAUUUAAUUUUACCUUUAUGAUUUUUAGAAAUCAUUCCUAAAGUGUUAUAGUGUGGUCAAUUGCAAUCAAGUCUUACAUAGUUAAGACAUUUAGAGCCAAGUUGUUUAGCCCGCUUUCUUUUAGCAAUGUGUUUUUACCAAAACCAGACAUGUAAAAACAAAUGGAUCAGCAAACUCACCUGCCCAUCAAACCUUUGCUUCAAUUAACCAACAAAUAUCAACAUAAAAUCCAUUGAUAAUUAACAAAAGCAAUCGUUCACAAGGAGCUUUGUAAAUUUUCUUGAGAUAAUUUUGAGGGAGAGAAGGAAAAUACUUAUAUAAUUUACGUUGUAUUUCUUCUAUGUUUUGAUUUUAAGGUUCUAGUUACUCUAGAAAACUAACGAUACUAACUUAAAAAGCCACAGGGUACCAUUAUCCAUCAUUUAUAUGGGAAAGUGAAUUAAAGCAUAUAAAAGAAACGAAUCAAUUCUGCAAAAUUAAGUCAAAUGUGAAAGCGAAUAAAACCAAAAAUGAAAAACACACAAUGUAAAAAAAAAAAAAAAGGGUCUAAUCAAACAUUCAACUCAACUUCAUCCUUUUGUUGAGUCAAUUUCAAGUUCUAAUUGGAAUCCUUGAGUUGUCUUUCUAGAUUUUCAAUAUGGAACACUAACAUUGGUGGUAAUAGAUUCCAAAUAGGAUGUGAUGUACAAAUUCAUAUCAAGUCUCUUUAGUGAAACUUCACUUGUAAAAAUUCUCUAAGAUGUUCAAAGAGGAUCUUUUUUAUUGAGGUCUUAUGUCAUAUAUCAAAAAUGAUAAAAGAAAACACAAUCGUCAAACACACUUAGGCAAGAGAUAUCACGAUACUUAAAAUAUGUGCCAUGCACAUCAUCUGAGACAUAAAAAAACAACAAUCAAACACUUUCAAAUUGGCAAAGUAACAGUAAAACAAUAUACUAAAAAGUAAAGUGACUCAUCAAAUAAAGAAAAAAAAACCUAAAUCAAGAUUUGGUGGGUCAUUCAAAUUUAUUUUGGUGCUUUCUUCUUGUGAUUGGUAUUCUAGAUAUAGUUUUAAUCUUUGACUAUUAACUUUAAAUGUAACACCAUUCUUUGAAUUUUCAAUUUCUACAUCCCCAUAUGGAUAUAGAUGUUUUACAACAAAUGGACCAUCCUAGUUUGGCUUUAACUUCUCUGGAAACAAAUGAAGACAAGAAUUAUAAAGCAAGACUUUUUAACCAUUCUCAAAUAUUUUUCGAAAAAUUCUUUUAUCGUGAAAAACUUUUGUUCUUGCCUUAUAAUUCUUGAAUUUUCAUAUACAUCAUUCCUUAAUUCCUUAAAUUCAUUCAAUUACAAUUUACGUAUAUUACUAGCAUCAUAAAUAUUUGAAAAGCUCUAACAGCCCAAAAUGAUUUAUGCUCAAGCUCAACUAGUAAGUGGCAAGGUUUACUCUAAACCAGCUGAUAAGGCGACAUUCUAAAUACGUCUUAAAUGCAGUACAGUAAGCUUAGAGUGUAUCAAUCAGUUAAGAGACCAAUCUUUGUGGUUUAGGCUAACCGUCUUUUCUAAAAUUUAUUUUAUCUCGCUAUUUGGUAAUUCAAAUUGACCAUUUGCUUAAGGAUGAUAAAGGGUAGUACCUUUAUGUAUAAUUUCAUAUUUCUUCAUUAAGGACACAAAUGACUUGUUACAAAAAUACUUACCUCUAUUACUGAUAAUGACUCAAGAGAUUCCAAAUUGUCUUAAAAUUUUUCUCUUAAAAAUUUAAUCACAGUCUUGCUAUCAUCAUUUCAAAAAGAAAUUGCUUCAAUUCAUUUCGAGAAAUAAUCAAUUGCAACUAAUAUGUACACAAAUCCACAAGAUAGUGCAAAAUGAACUUACGAAAUCAAUUGCAACUAAUCAUGUUUCUUUUAGCAAUUGAUCCCAAUUUUUUACAGUUCUCACAAGUUUUACAAAAUUCAUAUGUGUCUUUAAAUAUGGCAGGCCAAUAAAAUCCACAUUACAAAAUUUUAAUAAUAGUUUUUCUUGAAGAAAAGUGUCCACCAUAUGCUUCAAAAUGACAAAAAUUUAAUUAUACUACUUAUCUCAUUGUCAGGAGUACAUCGCCGAAGAAUUUGAUUCGGGCAAUAUUUGAACAAGGAUUGUCCCAAUAAUAUAUAUUUUUUUUUGCUUCAACAAAAAAUUUCUUCUUAUCUUCAGUGUCCAAUUGCCAAGGCAUUUUCCCUGUAACAAGGAAAUUAACAACUUAGCAUACCAUGCAUUGAAGUAAUAGAAAAUCAAAAUUCGUUUGGAAAAGAAUCAUUAAUAGGUGUUGUGUUUAUAUAGAAUUCAGAUGUAAGUCUUGAUAAAUGACAAGCAACGAAAUUUUUUGCUCCCUUUUUAUCUUUGAUGGUGAGACUAAAUUUUUGGAGUAACAAAUUCCAACAAAUUAGUCUUGGUUUAGAAUCAUGUUUAGUCAUCAAAUAUAUCACAGCAACGUGGUUAGUAAAAACAACAUAUUUAAAACUGAGCAAAUAUGAACGAAAUUUAUUUAAUGUAAAUACCACAACAAGUAAUUCUUUUUCUAUUGUAAAAUAAUUCAUUUGAGCAAUAUCCAAAGUCUUCCUCGCAUAAUAAAUCACAAAGGGCUUACCAUCUCUUCUUUGUCCUAAUAGCAAAAUCACUUGCAUCACACAUUAAUUGAAAAAGGUAAAUAUCAAUCAAGAGAUUGCAUAAUAGGUGCAGAUGUUAAAAGACAAAACAUUAGUUCAUUCAAAGGAUGCAUCUUUUAAUAAAAGGUUACAAAGUAAUUUAGAUAUUACAUUAAAUUUUUUUUAUAAACCUCCUAUAAAAUCUUGCAUGUCCUGAAAAGAAUUGCACAUCUCUAAUUAUUUUUUAUUGUAGCAAUUUGAUAUGGCUUCUAUUUUUGCUUUGUCAACAUUAAUUCCUUUAACAGAUACAACAUGAUCUAAAACAAUUUCUAGAAGUAACUAUGUAAUGACAUUUUUUUCAAUUCAAUACAAUUUCUUUUCAACACGUCUUUUUAAUACUUUUCCAAAAUUAUCUAGGACAUCAUCAAAAGAAUUCCCAAACACAGUCAAAUUGUCCUUAAAAACCUCUAAAUAAUGUUUAACCAUAUCACUACAAUUACUUAGAUUGCAUCUUUGAAAUGUUAUAAGAGUAUUACAAAGUCCAAAAAGUAUUUUUUUUUCAAAUGCAAAUGUUCUAAAAAGACGUGUAAAUAUGGUAUUUUCUUGAUCCUCAAGUGCUAUAGAAAAUUGAUAAUAGCUUGCAUAUCCAUCUAAAAAACAAUAGUAGGGAUGUCUAGUAAAGUCCAUCUAAUACAUUUUUAUACUUUUUAAAAACAGAUAGCCACUUACCUUCUUGGUCGCCUAUUAGAAUAAAAGAAAUCACAACAGGAUAAGUUGGUUACUUUUUAAGAUAAGCAUAUUUCAAUACUUCAGGCAAAGGUUUCAAUUUAAAUUUAAGUGCUUCUUGUUGUUCUAUCUUUUCAAUGAUACUAAGCUCUUUAAAUUUUGGUUAUUCAUCAUCAUUUUGUAAAGUCUGAGUAGAAUUAAGCAACAAAUUUAUAUUAGAAACAUCACGUUCAAGUUGCUUAUUUGAUUUAAUUGAAUUAACUAAACAAAUAACAGUAAGUUCAGAAAAAAAAAUUCUUUUUGAAUAUUUUCCUCUAUACAUGAUUCACGCAAUUCAUUUUGUUAAUUAGUAUCAUCUUCAUUCUCAUUUUCUUCAUUAGGUUGCCUACACAUGUUGAAAACAUUCAAUUUUAGAGUCAUACUUCCAAAUUAUAAAUUCAUUAAACCAUUCCUACAAUAAAUCAAAGUAUUAACAGUCGCUAAAAGUGAUCGGUCCAAAAUUAUAGGAAUUUGUUUAUAAUUAUUGACAAUAGCUUUAAAUUUUAGGACAAUAAAAUCCACAAGGUAUAUGAAUUUAUCAACUUGUACUAAAACAUCUUCCACUAUUACUUUUGGUAUUUUAACUGAUUUGUCGAUAAGCAAAAGUGUAUUUGAAGUUGAUUUUAACUACUAAGAUUAGAUUAAAGAUAAACUAAAUAUGGAAGCAAAUUAACACUACCAUCAAGGUCUAGUAAAGCAUGCUUAAUUCUGUGAUCACCAAUAAUACAAGAUAUAGUAGGACAAUUAAGAUCUUUAUAUUUUAAUGUAUUAUUAGUAGAUAGAAUAGAGCUUACCUAUUCAUCCAUAGUAACUCUGUUUUUUACCUUCAAUUUCAUCUUGACAGUGCAAAAGUCUUUCAAAAAUUUGGCAUAGGAAGGUACCUGCUUAAUGGCAUCUAAUAGAGGAAUGUUAACUUUCACUUGCUUAACGAUUUUAUAAAUUUUAGAAGAGUGGUUUGAUUUCUUUGGUUUAUUCAAUGUUUGCGAAAGUUGUGGUUCAAAUAGAAUAAUAAUUAUUUCUUUAAGUGGUGUAAGUUUAUUUAGUCCUUCAAGCCUUUUGAAUUUUCACUGUCUUCACCUUCAAAAAGUUCAAGAACAGAUCUUUCAACAACCUUACCCCUACAAAGAGCUAUUAUUGACUUGACUUGGCCCAUAGGUGGAUUUUGUUGGAUCUUAGGAGUUUGUUGUGGUUGAGCUAUAUAUUUACCUUUUUCUUGAAUUGUGAGCACAAAAGCAAUUUUAGUAAGAGUACCUUUCAAAUUAGAAAAGGUUUGUGUAUUUUGAUUAUUAAUAACAUUUUACUUUCCAAUGAAUGGAACAAAUGAUGCAUAAGGCUGAGUAUUUUGAAAAAUUUUUUGAGGUAGUGCUUGUGAAGAUUUUGCAUUAUUAUUAUUAUUUCUCCAACUAAAAUUUGGAUGAUUCCUCCAACCAAGAUUGUAAGUCUGUGAAUGUAGGUUUGGCUUAUUAAAAGUGUUAAUGGCAUUAGUUGGAUCAUGGAGACACUCUUUAAGUGCAAGUAGAGUGGAACGAUCUUAAAUGAAAUGAUCAUUGGAACCACAAACACUAAAUACAAUUUCUUGAAUAGAUUUUACUUGAUCACUCUUUUCAUAUUCUAAAGCUACAACCUUCCUAACUAGGAAUAUAAUUUUUUCUAGUAAAUUAGGAUCUUCUCUAAGGUUAUGGAUUCCUUCACUAGAUAGAGAUGGUUGUGGUUUAUUUAUCAAUUCAAAAGUUCAAUAGUAUCCCAAUGUUGUGCAUCUUAAGCUAAUUGGUCAAGGUUAUGCAUAUUCAUGAUUUUUAUCUCUAAGUUCACUAUUACACAUCAUUCAUAUUCAGAAUUUUUAGCUACUUUGGGGUAUCAAGCCUCUACAGAAAUGAAUGACCAAUCACCAAGUUUCAAAACCAUAGUAUGGACAUAUGCUAAGCAAUUCUUUAAACCUAUCCCAAUAUUGGUAUAAUGUUUCCUAUAUUUUUGAGUGAAAGAAGUGAUUUGCCAUUCAAAUGAAUUAAUUCCAUGAAGUGGAAAUUUUUUUUUGAAAAAUUGUUCUUGCAUGUUAAUCCAAGUACACUCAGCUUAUUCCAUUAAUAAUUACCACACCUAUCAUGGUAAAAACUUAUUCCAUUAACAAUUACUGCACUUAACUUGGUAAAAACUUAUAAUUGUGCAACGAAAGGGGUGGAUUUUCCUCGAUAAUGACUUAAUUUUUUCAAACCUCCGGAAUCUAAAUUUGAUAUCUAUUUACAUGUUUAAAACCUCGAAUUGUGUGAAAUUAUUAUUUUACCUAAUAAAUAUACAAAAAUACACAAAAUCAAAUAUUUAAAAAUAUAAUUAGAAAUUCACAAUAUGUUACAUAAUUGCAAAUGCAAAUUAUAAUAUAAGCACAAAAUAACAUGUUUAUCCCUUAGUAAACAUACAUUUUUUAACACUAAUUACCAAUGUAACUAAAAGUGUUUCACAUAAAUAGUGUUUAUUAUUAUUGUUGUUAUUGUUGUUGUUGGUGGUGGUGGUGGUGGUGGCAAGGGCGGCAAAUAACUAUGUCUAAUUAAUAAAUAUACGGAAAUUAUCAUUCAUAUACCUUAUAUUUGCUCUGUUAUAAAAAAUACUACAACACUUUGAGGGUGUAUCAAUCGUUCACCCUUAGUUGACAAAAUGUAUCAGCCGACCACCAAACCGUUAGUUGUCGUUUGAAAGUUAACGGAGUUACAGUGAAUUGACGAUUUUACCCUUGAAAAUUAUCACUUGUAUACCCUUAAAUUCUCUUUUUAUCACUUGUAUACCCUUAAAUUAUCACUUGUAUCAUAUGAAAAGACCAAAUUACCAUUCUGACAUCAUCAUACUUAAACGGCAACUAACGGUUUGGUGGUCAUCUGAUACAUUUUGUCAACUUAGGGUGGACGAUUGAUACACCCUCAAAGUGUUGUAGUAUUUUUGAUAAUGGAGUAAACUAAGGGUAUACAAAUGAUAAUUUCCCAUAAAUAUAUCCUAGUGGGAGCUGAUGAAUGGUAUUAAUAUUUUUAUAUAUCAUGUUUAAUGGACAUAAUUAUUAAUAAGGGACAUAACUAAUCCUCAAGAGACACAACUUCCCUUAUAAUUUAAGAGUCAUAUACCUAUAAAAAGAUUUGAUGAACAGACAUCAAUAAUCUAUCAAUACACCCUUUUAUAUGUAUUUCACAUCAUUUAUAUUUACGAGUUGAAGACAUUAGUUCUUAGAAACUCCUUUAUCUCAAUGCUAUAGUUGUAAGAUUUUUUUUAGUUUAACACUAAUUCUCUCAAGAUUACUUAUAUAAAGACCAACAAUUAAUUGACUAGAUUUCUACGUCAGUAAAUUACCACACACUCUAGGGAUAGUAUAAUUAGUCGCCAUUAAAAGUUAUAAAGUGCCAUCAAAGCACAAGUCAAUGAAACCAAUGCGACAAACAGAGCCAUGAAUUGCCAUGGAUUUAAGCCCAACAUAGAGGAAGUAUAACAACUCUAGGCUACAACUACCAAUUACGCAGUAAGUGGCUGACUUGGUAUAAAAUAUGACUUGGGUGAUCAAAUACAUAGAAAACCAAAUGAACUGUAAGCUAGCUCUACUAGUUAAGGAGCAUCAACAUGAUCAGGGAUUAGUGUUGUGCAAAUUUUAAUGAACUCGCAAGUGCACGAAUCUAUUGUAGUGUAGAUCAAUGGUGACGAGUGUCGAUCCCACGAGGAGGUGGAUUUUAAUUGCGUGUAGAAUUAAUUUUCUAAAUGGGUGGUUGGAUUUGUGGUGAAAAUGAUUUGGAUUAUCCUAAAAUUGGAAUUGAAAUGGCUAGAAUAAAUUGAAGAUAAAUCUAUUGAAAUGACGUACUUGGGUAUCUGGAUCUGUAUCAACAUGCACCAUGGGCUAAAUAUUCCUUAUUAAUGCCAAUUAAAUCAUGAGGGGGGAAUCAACACCUCAUGAACGACACUCUAAUCAAUAUGGUGCUAAGGGCUUAUCGUGCCAAAUAAUAAUAACCUUGUACCAGGGAGUUAAUGUAAUCAGGGCGGUAUCUAGAAAAUAUUAUUAUUAUUUGUCGACGAAAAGUCAAAUCAUCCACAAAAAUUAGAGGGGAAAAGAAAAUAAAUUUACCAAAUAAAGCCCAUGACACAUGUUGAGACUUCACCUUCAACCCAAGCUUGAAAGAAAAUUAGCUACUCAUAAUUGAACUAGGGGUAAAAGGGGAAUUUAUUAAAAUACGUAGAAAAUACAAGAUGAAGAGGGAAUUACAGAAAAUGGAGUCCAAAAAUGGAUUCAGAGGUAUCAAAUUAGGGGGGGAGGCCCCAUUUUUAUAGAUACAUUGAGUAAAUCGUAGCCAUCGGAUUAAAAACAGUUUAGACGCUCAGGAUUGCGCCACGUCAUCAAUCAACAGUACGCGGUUUGACUACACUUGUGAACAGUAACACGGUUUGACCCGGGUUGAACAGUGACGCGGUUUGGUUGAAAAUAAUCAUGUGUGAUGCAUGUACCGUACGCGAGAUUUUUGGUCCACUGAUAUGCUGCCACGUCACCAUCAACAGUACAUAAGAAUUUUAGUCCAACAGGAUCGUGACACCUCAUCAGUCAAUGCCACAUCAUCGGUCAAUGCCACGUCAUCGAUCCGUCUAUGUAAACAGUGUCGUGAACAGUAACGUAGGCAGUACCGUACACGUGAAUAGUACCGUACAUGUGAACAGUGCCAUUUUUCCUUUUAUGCUCCUCCUAAGGUUUUCGACCGUCCUGAGUUCAAAAGUGAUAUCUGUUUUGUCGUCUGAUCUCUCGUUUAUUGUGAAAUAACCAUGAUGCCUCUAAAAUACAUAAAAUACUUAAUUAAAAUAAAACACAAAUAAUUAAAUUACAAGAAGCUUAAAUACAUAAAAGUAAGGGUUGUUAGUAAGACGUGAAAUAUAAAAUGACAAUUUUCUCCUUUAUAAAUAUACAUUUUCUAACACUCAACAAUUAGCAAGGAGAAAGGUCUAGUAAAGGCCUUCUCAAGAGGAUAGAUUUAUUAGGAGAACAAGAGCCCAUGCAAGCCAAAAUAAUCGUGAAAGUGGCAAUCUUCAACAAUAUUGAAGUCUAGGCAGGACUUGUGUUAAAGGUUGAAUGCAACACAUAAGUCAAGAAGGCAUGAGGAGUAGAAUCUAGUACUAAUUUAACAAGCCUUGAAGUAGAGUUAAGGAGAUUUAAGAAGAGGAUAAAUGUUAUAGAGAAAAAUCCUGCUAGAAUAGUUUUGGAACAUGUAGAACCUUAUUUCAAAGGCAUUACUUCCCUCCAAAGUUCAAGAUGCCUCAAAUAAAGUUAUUUGAAGGUGUAAGACAUAUAGUUAAGCACUUAGAGACCUACAAGUCAUGCAUAGAGUUGUAAAGUGCAUACAUAGGGCUUUUUCUCUAAUUCUCAUAGGAGCGGCAUGCAAGUGAUACAAAAAUCUGAAGCCAGGCUUAAUAAUUUCAUUUGCUCAGUUAAGUCAGAUAUGUGUUAGUCAAUUUGUGUGAGCUAGAAACUAUUAGCUUCUUAUAACUAAUCUUUUAUCAAUUUUACAAAAGAAUGAUAAGACAUUGAAAAAUUAUAUUGAUCAGUUUAAUAAUGAUGCGACAAUAUUGGAAAACUACCCUAAAAAAGUGGCCUUCAUUGUCAUUAUGAUUGGUUUAUGACUAGGGCGAUUUCAUUACUUGUUCACAAAGAAUGCAUUAACAACCUUCAUUGAGUUAUUAUUAAGAGCUCAAAAGUAUUCUAAUGCAGAUGAGUUAGCUAAUACAAAGAGGAAUAUAAACCCAAACUAAGAAAGUGUAGUAGACAAAAAGGAAAUUGAUAAGUAAAUGGUAAAGAACAAAAAUAAAAAGGAAAAUCAAACGAAUAACAAAAAUUAGAGUUGUAUAGUCUCUUUUGUAUUGUUCAAAAUAAGAAAUCUAGUUUUUUGUUGUUUGAGCAAAAUAUAUCCCCUGAUUUUAUAUAAAGCUAGGGAAUGCAUGAGGAUAAUGCCAAUAUGAAUUGUUUGGCAAGGGUACAAAUAUUUCACCCCUCAGUAAGUAGCAAGGAGAUGGUAAAAAUCUAAUUAGUUGAUAAGACCAGAGAUACUCCACCUCUUAAAAAGAAGUCCUAGCAAAGGUUAGGCUCGACAUGACAUCUUGAAGAAUGUGCAGAAAGCUGUUGAACUAAAGAAAGGCCAAAUGAGUGGCAGGCACCCUUAGAAAAGAAUUCAUGCUUUUAAAAACAAACAAAGCAAGAGAAAAAUUCUUGUUUUCCUAAAGAGAAGGAAAACAGAAAAGUGAGAAGAAUUCUUUCUCUCCUAAAGAGGAUACAAGCAGGAAAGUUAAAAGGAAUUCUUACUCCUCUGAAGAGGAUGGAUGCAGAAAAAGCAAGAAAGUUAAUAGAAUUCAUGCUCUCCUCGGAGGGGAAAGAAGCAGAAAAGUUAAAUUUAUGGUCUAGCAAAUUAAAGUGAAACAGGAAAGUUAGAAUUUUUCUUAGAGUUUUAAAGAUAUAAAAGCAAGAAAGUUAAAAGGGAGCAAAGAAUACCAAGAGAGCAAUAUUAAAAAUGCACAACUUUAUUAUGUAGGGAGAUCGUACAAAAAAUCAUUCUUUAUAGUGCAGGCGUUGAAAAUGCUAAAAGCAAAAUACAAUAUAACAUAACAUAUAUAAGAAAGUAGAAAGAUACGAGAGAUGUGAAUUAGUCAUCUUCAUCAUUGUCUAGAAAAGAAAGGUCGAGUUAAGGAUAAUUGUCAUUACUUAUAGCUCUCAAUUGGUCGGCAACUCAACAUCCACUUUCUCCUUACCAUGUCAAUUUUUAACUUUUCUAAUUCACUGGUCAGUUCUUCGUCCUCUUGAAUUAAUCUUUGAUUUUUAGACAAGUAGUAUGCUAAUUCUACUUCUGAGUAAGCAAUGGAAAGAAUUUUCUCAAGAUGAGGAAUAAGAAUUUCAUCCUCAAAAAGAAUUAUUUAUGUAAAAAAAAAAGAACAGAAAGCUCGAAGAUGCGACUAAAAAGUGUAAAAAGAUAUAUAAAGAAUUUAGAUCUAUUUUAACAAAUGUAAGAAAAUUAAAACACUAGAUAAAUUAAUUUUUCCUAAUUAAUAAAUCUUAAAAUUACUAUUCUUAUAAAUCAUUCAAGCAAUACUGUUACGAUUCACUAUUCAUACGAUCUUAUUCAUAAUUAUUGUUCAUCAUAGAUAUUUACCACACUAUUCACAUUACUAUUCAUUGAUUAUAAAUCUAUCAAAUAUGUUAGAAACAGUAAAUUACAAAAGGUAAAGCACACAGAGGGUUUUACAUGUUUCGAGUUACUACAUACAUCCACAGGGUCAUGCCCAGAUAAUAAGCAAUUCAUUAAAUAAUGAAAAGAUUAAAACCUAUUAGACUCUUAAAUAAUUUUAGACACCCUCUUACUCUAGUCAUCACCUUAUUGUAUCUAACUUAGUUAAAUUUGCUUAUCGAGCAACCCUUGUCUUCAAUUAUGUUUGCUGCUUUCCUUGAGAUCUCCUCAACCAACAAACGACCUCUUCUUCCCAAAGAAACUAAGUAAAUAUAAAGAAUGUUUAAUGAAAGACUUUAUAUGAUAAAGACUUGAUGAAGAAGACUAAAGCAUCAUAUAGAUAUGAAACAUCAUGUGCAGCUAAAUAGGAUUUUUUCUUGUUUUCUAUGUUGGAUACUUCUCUGAUAUAAAAUACGAUACAUGUUCUUCUCUGUCUUCAAUGUGUAAAAUAAUUAUCUUUAUAUAAGAGUAGUAUUUCAUCCAAGCCCUAGUAGAGGAGUACUAAUGCUUGGACGUAAGUACACACCUUUAAUAAUAUAACAUGCAAUAUGAAGUAAUUAUAUCCAAAGAUGUUUAGUUAAUUUCUUAGAAUUUAACAUCGCAUGCGCCCAUCUCCUGUAAAGUUCUAGUUUUCCUUUCAACAAAUCCAUUUUGGUCAGGAGUAAUAAGUACUGAAAAUUUAUGCGGUAACCAUGUCUAUCAUAAAUUCUGCAAAAUUGGCAUUUUUAAAUUCUUUUCUAUGACCACUUCUAAUUUUGCCAAUAUUGUGAUCGUUUUCAUUUUUCAAUUCAACACAUAUAAGCACGUCAAAUGUAUCAUAUUUUUCUCUAAUAAAACCAACCCGUGUGCAUCUAGAGAAAUCAUCUACGCAAACAAAAGCAAAUCUUUUUCCAAUAAUACUUUCCACUUGCUUUGGACCCAUAAGAUCUGUAUAAAGCAAAUCGAGUACUUUAGAGAUGGUGAUGUAUUGCACAGUCUUGAGCGAUGUUCUUUAUUUUUUACUGAAUUGACAAGAAUUGCAUACUCCAAGCUAUUUCUUGUUGAGCUUAAGUAUUCCUCAUAUAAUUUUUGUACUCACGAGUUUAGUUGAUAAUUUGAAAUUUAAAUGACCAAGUUUUUAGUGCCAUAUUUCAAUCUUACCAAAAAUAGCUUUAUGACAAGAAUAUAUUGGAUUAAUUUAUAACAAUCAUCAGAUGAUCUAGUUCCUUCAAGCAUACACUUGUCCUUGUUAUUAAACAAUUGACAUUUACUGCUAUCAAAAUUUACCAUUAAGUUUUAGUCACAAAUUUGGCUAAUACUCAAAACAUUAGCUUUCAAAUCUCUAACAUAUAAAAUAUUUUCAAGUCUCUAACAUAUAAAAUAUUUUCAAGUCUCGGAAAACCAUCAAACAUUUAAAGUUCCUUUUCCAAGCAUAUGACUUUUAAUACCAUCAACAAAUGUUACAUGUUCUUGAUUGCAUUCUUUAUAAUUUAUUAAGGCACUACGAUACCAAUCAUGUGUCUAAAACAACUACUAUAAAACUACCAGAAAUUAUUAGUACAAGCUCAAGAAGAUGUAAAUGACACAUAUGCUUUUAAUUUAGUUUUCCUAAUCCAAAUUGUCCAAUAAAGUUAUCUUUAGAUUGAAGCUUUAAUUUAAGACAUAGCCAGAUUUAUCAUAUACAUAUAAAUUAGAUGAAACAACUUUCUUUAUGUAUUUCAUGAGCUUAAAGCAUCUAGGCCUUAUGUCAUUUUCAGGGCAAAAGUGACAAGUAAGAACCAACCUUUCAUACUUAUCACGUGAGCCUGAUUUCCAAUGUACCAUCAAUUUAUCUUUCAUUUCAUUAGGGAGCUUUGCCUUAGAUAGUGGCAGUUCAGUCAUUGGCAGAAAAGCUUUAACAAAAAUAGUAUUUGAAUUUAAAAUGAUUCAAUUAUUAUAUCUCAGACCAUGAUAAUCUGAACUAGCUGUUUCCAUAAUUAAAAGUUGAUCAAGUUGUUUUGUUCGAGAAUUCAUUAUUCUCAAAGAUUUUUUAGUACUUUUUAGCUCAGUUGAAACUACCUUCAAUUUUUCUUCUUUUUCAAGAAUAAUGGUUUGAAGGUUGAUUCCCUCACUUUCAAACCUUAACUUUUCAUGAAAGAGUUCUGACAAUUGAGCUUCCAUUUUCUUGUAUUUUUCAUUCAUUUUAUCCAUUUUGAAUACAUGCAAUUAUAUGCUUCACUCAUAAAUGUAGCAACGACAUCAAUAUCAUAACUACUUUUGGCUUCUGAAUUACAUUCUUCAUUAAUCGACUUCAUACUUGAAAUUUUAAUAUUAUGGAAAAGAAUACAUAAAUCACAAGAAGGACAAUCAUCACUUGAUUUUGGUCUUUCAUCAUCAAAAUCUUUCAGUUUCAACUUCUUAACAUGAACAACAAGUUUGCCAACAAUAUCUUCAUCAUCAACGCUCGAGUUAUCAUUAUCACUCCAUGUUGUUUGCAUUGCUUUCUUCUUUUUCAAGAUUUAGUUAGGAUAUUGAAUUUGAAUAUGGCUGAAACUGUCAAAAGCAUUGCGUCGAAUACUUCAACCUAUAUUAGUUUUAAACAAAUUGGAGCCAGAUUUACCUUAUUGUGCAAGUUAUGGCUUUGAUGAGAAUUUCUUUUUCUUUUUGUUUAUAGAAUUUCCUCAAGUCAAAUAUUAAAUCUCCUUGGUUAACUUAACCAGGGAUUUUUGUACGUCUUAACUUCAUUAGUUGCGUCUAAAGCUAUUAACAUGUAGAUGUUCGUUAUAUUGAUUUUGAUGAUAACAAACUUUAAAUGUUUUUGAUUAAAAUGUUGGAGUUUUCAUUAAUAAACAAUUUCUCAAAAGCGGUAUAAUCUUUCUAAAUGUGUUCAUGAAAUAUGGAGAAUCGUUAACUUUAAUCAGAAAAUCAUUCCCUGCGAAAUUUAGUUAAAACUGUGAUUCUAGAAGAAAACGGUGAACCGUUAACUUUCAAACUGUUAACCGAUAAUUACUAGAGAGGAAUAAAUCCUUAAGCUUGAACUGGUUAGCAAAAACGGAUAAGGGAAAUGAGUUUUGCAGGUUACUGGAAUUAAACGACGGACCAUCAAUGUCAAACGGCUAACCGAUAAUUUUCAGAAUGUCAUUCCAUGCUAACCUUCAUCAUUUAGCAAGAACGAAUAGCAGAAAUUUGUUUUGCAAGUCUUUGGAAAUUAAUAGCAAACCGAUAGUAACAAACGAUCAACCGUUUAUUUAAAAUUCAACUCAACGGUCACUUGGACCAAUCAAAACGGUUAACCGAUAACGGUUUAACGGCGAUUCGAUUUUGGACAAAAAGUCAACAACGGUUAUUUUUCAGCUCCAACUAUAAAUAAGCUUAAUCAAAUUUAAACAUGGGUUGAUCACAACGUUAUCAUUAAGCUUAUAAUCAAUAAUACAACAUUCAUUGAGCUUCAAAUUUAUUCUUGUUCAUUUAUUCACACAUUAAACAUUGAUUUGUAAUCUUAUAUAUUGUGUGAGAAAAAAAAAUAUAAUCUAUGUUUUGAGUGAUUGUAAGCGUUGGGAUACACUUGGGUUAAGAGAUUAUGGAUAAUCUCUAGAGGUAAAGGUUGAUUGAUACCUAAGAAGUCAAUUGUAAGUGUUCUUGAUGACUUGAAGGCUUGACUAGUGGAAUCAUCAAGCUCGGUGUGCUUGGAGGCGUGGAUAUAGGCAAGGUUGGCCGAACAACGUAAAAAUAUUUGUAUUUGAAUAUCUUUUCCUUUAUCUUUUUAUAUUUUGGUUGAUUUAUUUAUUAUUGCUUUAAAUUCAUUUAAGAUUUGCAUUAAAUUUGGUUCAAAAAUUGUAAAAUUUUUAGAAACCCAAUUCACCUUCCUCUUGGGUUGCUUAGAUAUUAUUUCAUUUGGUAUUAGAGCAAGGUUCUCUUAUUAGGACUUAACCGUCUAGAGUAAAAGAUCCAUAGCAACCCAAAAUAAUUCAACCUUUAGGGAAAGACAAUCUACAACUAGACCAUCGUUCUUUGACAGUAAUGACUACCCAUAUUGGAAAACUAUAAUGAGAAUUUACUUGCAAGCCUUAGAUUACGAAUUUUGGGAAGUUGUUUGUGAUGGUCUAUUUAUGCCUAUGACUAAAAAUGAAGUAGAACAUGAUAUUCCAAAACCUUCAAAUCAAUGCAGUGAGUUAGAAAAAAAAAAUAUGUUUUUAAACUCCAAGGUAAUGAAUGCUCUAUUUUAUGCUCUUAAUAAGAAAGAAUUUCAUAGAGUAUCUAGUUGUGAGAGUACACAAGAAAUAUGGAACAAACUUGAGGUUGUCUAUGAAGGGACAAAUCAAGUUAAAGAGUCUAAAAUCAGUAGAUACACUCAUCAAUAUGAAUUGUUCCAAAUGGAACAAAAUGAAAGUGUGUAUUCUAUGUAUACACAAUUUACAAACACAAUGAACACUCUUGAAGCCCUAGGAAAGACUUUUUCAAAUAGCGAGAAAGUCAAGAAAAUCAUUAGGUCACUUCCAAAAGAAUGGAGACCUAAAAGGACUGUCAUUAAAGAAGCUAAAAAUUUAAAUACUUUACUUAUUGAUGAUUUAAUUGACUCUUUCAUUUCAUAUCAAGAAGACUUGGCAGCAGAAAAAAAAAGGCAUCUGGAGAAUAAGAAAAGCAUUGCUCUCAAAGUUUCAAAACAUGAAAGUGAUGAUGAUAGCGAGCUGGAUGAUAAAGAGAUGACUAUGUUGACUAGGAGAUUUAGAAAAUUGUACAAGAGAACUAGUGAGCGGAAGAAGUUCAGAAACUUUAAGAAUCAAAAAGAGAAGAAGAAGCCAAUCAAUUGCUAUGAAUGCAAAAAGCCUGGACACAUACGAUCAGAAUAUCCUCUUAUCAACAAGCUCAAGAAGAAAGCAAUGGUAGCCACAUGGGAUAAUAGCGAUGAGGAAACGAGUGACGAUAAAGAGCAUCAAGAGAUGAUAAAUUUAGCUCUCAUGGCGAUCGAGGAAGAAUCAUUGGAUGAACUUGAUGAGGUAAAGAAUUGCAUGAUGAGUGGAUAAAAAUCGGUAAAAAGAAUGCAUGCCUUAAAAAGAAAAUGUUAGAACUUAAAAAUGAAAAGGAUGUCUUGGAAAAAUGCAAUAAUUCAUUGAAUGAGAAGAUAAAGGAAUUAGAUUUAGACAAUAAAAUGUUGCAUGAUAUGAUUGCAUCUCUUAAAGGUAAACAAAGUGCUUCAUAUGAGCAUGAAAAAUUACAUGUUGAUGAAUUGAUAAAAGAGAAUGAAGUGCUUAAGAAGAAUAAUAAUGAGCUAAAUGAGAUUGUGCUAAAAUUCACAAUUGGGCCAAAGAUGUUGGAUAACUUACUUAACUCACAAAAAUGUGUGUUUGACAAAGGAAGUAUUGGUUAUAAGCCAAAUUUGAAACAAAAGUAUUAUAAGAAUAUUAAGUUAAAUCAAGUUUUAUGUCAUUAUUGUAAUCAAGAUGGUCACAUGAAAAACAGAUGUCCAGUGAAAAGAAAUGCAUAUUAUGGUGUGAAAUGUGUUUAGGUUCUAAAAGAAACCAUUGCUAACACUCAAGGACCCAAGAAGUUUUGGGUACCUAAAACUUAGAAACUUUUUCUGCAUGGAUCAAAGAAAAGGAAAAAUAAUUGGUACUUGGAUAGUGGAUGUUCCAGACACAUGACAGGGAAUUAUCAAGUUUUACCAAGAUCGAAAACGGUGGAAAUGUAUCCUUUGGAGAUAACUCAAAAGGAAAAAUCAUUGGUAUCGGAAAUUUCGGUAAUGUAUCCUCUACUCUUAUUGAAAAUGUGUAUUUGGUUGAAAACCUAAAACACAAUUUACUUAGCAUUAGUCAAUUGUAUGAUAAGGGUUAUAAAUAUGUUUCUUAUAAGAAUAGAUGUGUUAUUAAGAAUGCAUAUGAUGGAAAAAUUUUGUUUGUAGUAAAUAGAUGUGUUAAUGUUUAUACUAUUGAUAUAGAUGGUGCAUCUACCCAUGAUAAAUGUUUUUCCGCAUUGCAUAAUGAUGGUUGGUUAUGGCAUAAAAGACUAGGACAUGCAAGCAUGGAUUUGAUUUCAAAGAUUUCCAAAAAUGAUUUAGUUAAAGGACUUCCAAAAAUUAGUUUUCAAAAAGAUAGAAUUUGUGAAGCAUGUCAAUUUGGGAAACAAAUCAAAACCUCUUUUAAAAGCAAAAACCAUAUUUCUACUUCAAAACCUCUUCUAUUACUUCAUAUAGAUUUAUUUAUACCUUCAAGGUAUGCUAGCUUGAUCGGAAAGUAUUAUACUUUGUAAUUGUUGAUGACUUUUUAAGAUACACAUGGGUAUUAUUCUUAGCUAAUAAGGAUGAUGCUCUUUAUGUUUUUAAAGUGUUUUGUAAGAAAAUUCAAAAUGAAAAAGGGUAUGGUAUUGCAUGCAUUAAGAGUGAUCACGGAGGAGAGUUUGAAAACCAUGCAUUUGAAAUCUUUUGCAAAAAUUUAGGCAUUGUGCAUCAAUUUUCAUCGCCUAGAACUCCACAACAAAAUGGAGUUGUUGAGAGAAAGAAUAGGUCGAUUCAAGAAAUGGUUAGGACCAUGUUGGAUGAAAAUUCUUUGCCUAAGUAUUUUUAGGCCGAGGCCGUCAACACCGUUUGUUAUGUUUUAAAUCGUGUAUUGAUUAGACCUCAUCUUAAUAAAAUUCAUGUGAGUUUUGAAAAAAUAGAAAACCCAACAUUAGUUAUUUCAAAGUUUUUGGAUGCAAAUAUUUUAUUUUGAACACUAAGGAUAAUCAUGGCAAAUUUGAUCUAAAAUUCAAUGUUGGCAUCUUUCUUGGGUAUUCAAACUCAAGCAAAGCUUAUAGAGUGUAUAACAAAAGAACUCUAGUUGUGGAAGACUCUAUGCAUGUUACAUUUGAUUAAUCUAACCCCUCCUCUGCGGAGAAAGUUAUUGUUGAUAACGAUGCAGAUGAAGAACUACUAAAAAAGUCAUCAAAGGAUAACUAAAAGGAUGCACCACAUGGAAAUCAAGAGGAGCAACAUGAAGAAAUGAAUGCAGAGCAAAAUGAAGGUACUUCUCAAUCACUCCCCAAGGAGUAAAGGUAUGUUUCUUCUCAUUCUAAAGACUUGAUUUUAGGAGAUCCUUUACGUGGCAUAACAACUAGAUCAUCAUUUAGAAAUACUUGUGAGCAUGCUGCAUGCAUAUCUCAAAUUGAACCAAACUCUUUUACGAAUGGGGAAAAUGAUGAAUCUUGGAUUAGGGCAAUGCAAUAGGAGUUAAAUCAAUUUGAGAGAAACAAUGUGUAGGAAUUAGUUCCUAAACCGAAAUAUCAAUCCAUUAUAUGCAUUAAAUGGGUCCUAAGAAACAAAAUGGAUGAAUCCGAUGUGGUUGUAAGGAUUAAAGUUAGAUUAAUGGCUCAAGGCUACAACUAAGAAGAGAAUUGAUUUUGAUGAAACAUUUGCACCUAUAGCUAGACUAGAAUCCAUUAGGAUGUUCUUAACAUUUGCACGUCAUAAAGAUUUCAUUUUAUUUCAAAUGGCUGUCAAGAGUGCUUUUUUAAAUGGUUAUAUUAUGGAGGAAGUUUAUGUGAAACAACCCCCUAGUUUUAAAAAUGAAAAUUUUGCAAAUCAUGUUUAUAAGUUGUCAAAAGCAUUGUAUGGAUUAAAAAAAGCACCUAGAGCAUGGUAUGAUUGUCUUAAGAAUUUCUUAUUGGAUAAUGGUUUUUCGAUGGGUAAAGCGGAUACUACUCUCUUUGUUAAGUAUAAGAACCAAGAUAUACUUGUUGUUCAAAUUUAUAUUGAUGAUAUUAUAUUUGGUUCUACUAAUGAGUCUUUGUGAAAGGAGUUUUCAUCUUGUAUGAGUAAAGAAUUUGAAAUAAUUAUGAUGGGAGAGUUGAAGUACUUCCUUGGGUUGCAAAUAAAAUAAAAUGAGGAAGGAAUCUUCAUAAAUCAAGUCAAGUAUGUGAAAGAUUUACUCAAAAGAUUUGGCAUUGAUGACUCAAAGACAAAAAGUACUCCAGUGAGCACAACUACCAAACUUGACAAAGAUGAAAAAGGCAAAGAUGUUGAUAUUAAAAUGUAUCGAGGUAUGAUUGGUUCUUUACUUUACCUAACUGCUAGUAGACCCAAUAUCAUAUUUAGUGUGUGUUUGUGUACAAGAUUUCAAUUAUGUCCCAAGGAAUUUCAUUUGCUUGCUGUUAAAAGAAUUUUCCAUUAUUUAAGCGGAACCAUAGAUCUUGGCCUUUGGUAUCCUAGAGGAACUCACAUAGAUUUAACUUACUAUUCGGAUGCGGAUUUUGCGGGUUACAAAGUCGAUAGGAAAAGUACUAAUGGAACUUGCCAUUUACUAGGUCAUUCACUUGUUUCGUGGUUCAGUAAGAAACAAAAUUCGGUUGCACUCUCAACCACUGAGGCUAAAUACAUUGUUGUAGGUAGUUGUUGUGCACAAGCUCUUUGAAUGAAACAAACACUUAGAGACUAUGGCAUUAAUCUUGAACAAAUCCUUAUUAAGUGUGAUAACACUAGUGCUAUAAAUCUUUCAAAAAAUCUCAUUCAUCACUCUAGAACAAAGCAUAUAGAAAUUAGACAUAAUUUCUUGAAAGAUCAUGUUCAAAAGGGAGAUACUGUAUUAGAGUUUAUUUCCACGGAAAAACAACUUGCCAAUAUUUUUACAAAACCUCUUUUCAAAGAUCAAUUUUCAAAAAUUCGGCAUGAACUUGGGAUGAUGAAAUUUUCGCGUUAACAUUUCUACUCAUGUUAUUGAGUCUAUUAAAAUUGAUUAAUUGAUGAUUGUUGAUGUCUAUGAAGUAUUUUGAGCAUGACAUAAAAGUGAUGUGUUUGAAUUAUUAAUUUUUUAAAUGCUUAUAUGAAUUGAUUGUUUGAAUACAUGUGAGUUCAUGAAUCAUGCAUUAAACUAGCCUUUAAAACAUUUUGGAUCAAUGAAAUAUCUUAGAAAGUAUUAUUUAUUGGCUAAAAAUUAAAACAAAUGUGCGAAAUCAUAGAUAAAAUAAACGAAUAACUAUUUCUCCAUAAAUGGUGCACCGUUUAAAUUCAGAAACUAUGAUAUGAUAUCUGUAAAUUAUCGGCAAACCUUUUACUGAAGAUGGUCAACUGAUUAAAAAUUGAGAGCUCAUUGGAAUUUACUCCUUCACCGUUAAUGACUACCCGUUAACCAUUUUCGAUUAAGUGCUCUCUAGAAAUUAUCAGCUCUCCAAUUACAGAAAACGGUUCGCCAUUUUCGUCCGAUAUAAAUUGUUCAUAGGUUUUUCUUCUUCAUCUUCAUUAACCUCUCACCGUUUCCUCCAUUGACGCAAAACCGCAACUUUCUCUCUCUCCAAUCCAUCAAUUUUCUUGCAAUUUCUUGCCAAAUCACUCCAUUAGAAUCAUCUCUAAUUAUCAUUAGAUCACUUUUACCGAUUCAAAACAUCAAAUCAAUCCCCAAAUUCAAAUUUCCCAAAUCAAAACCCUAAGGGCAGCUGAACGGGUUUCAUUGAUUUUAGCUGGAUUUUUGUCCUGUUUUGGCCAAAUUGAACCUCCCAAUCAGUUUCUUUACUCUCUCUUAACCCUUAAAUCGGUUCCCUUUCCUCCAUUUUCAUCUUUUUCAAAUUUUCCUCAUUUCCUUCAGUGUAUCUAUAGCUGACACAUCUCGUCGAACUCGGAAGAGAAAAGCUGCUCCUAGUAGGACUCUUAUACCUCUAUGGGAAACCUCUCAAUUCGAAAGAAUUCAUUUCCCCACAACCCUGUUGGCCAAGUGCUUCACUUCAUAGGACGAAAAGUACUUGACUCUUACUAUGUUGAUAUAUAAGACUUUAAAGAGUUGAUUGUUUGUGGUAGAGUAUUAGGAAUAUGCUACUACCUAAGGAGUCGGCUAUAGAUUUUGAUGAAAGAAUAUAUCCUAAUCUAGUCCGUGUUUUCUAUUCAAAUAUGGAAAUUUCUGCAACUCGAUUAAAUAGGAUAGUUACUCAAGUUGGGGGGUGUUCCCAUUGAAUUUGAUGUUGAGGCCUUAAACAACAUCUUGGGAAUUCUGAAUGCUGGUCAUAAGAUUUAUACAUCUAGGAAAGCUCUUCGUUUGCCAGUUUUGCUCAUCAUCUUGGUGUUCGAAACAUUUGUCAGCAUCGGGAUCUUACUAGUGAUAUUUGUGUUCUUCCUUUUCAGUCGCAAUUAUUCCCCCGAUCAACUUCCUGACUUUAGGUUAGGAGCUCACGCUCCACCUCUUUAUCGUUGAUCUGUACCCCAGCCUCCAGUCGAUGCCAACACUGAAGAGCGUGAGAUGGAUACUGAUCAUCCUCCAAAUCUUGAGCAGCCUCCAGCUUUAGAGCAGCCUCCAGCUCCAGAGCAGCCCCCAGCUCAUGUGGAGCCGCCAGCUUCGAACACUCUGCAACAUUUGGUUAAUGAUGUUCGCAGACUUUCCGAGCAACAGUAGUAGAUACUCGAAAAAAUGGAUGUCCUCGCCAUGCAACAGCAACAGCUCCAAUCCAAAUUUCAGACCUUUUAGGAACAAUGUAUAAACCAGCAACUCGAACUCAUUGCUGGACAGCACACCCUCCUUCGUUAUUUUGGAUAUGACCCUAGGAGUUCAUCUUCGCAACCUCCCUCUUAGUUUCUGACUUUGUUUUUCACACAUACAUUUCAUGUUAUAUUUAUAUGUGUGUUUUGACAUAUAUAUUUAUGUUUGGAUUGCAUAACUCUUUCUUAAUGAUUUGAUGAGGGAUAGUUAUAUGUGUAUGGAUUGAUAAAUUGCGGGAGUUAUUGGUUUAUGCAAGUUGUUUACGCUUAUGUGGAAGUCUUUUAACCUUGAUUUGUAUUUGGAGAUAUGUCCAAUUUUAAGGGGAGACUCUACCGAAAUUUUUGCUCGCACAAAAUGGGUAAUAUCUUCAUCUUGCUAUUUGUUUUACUAAUCAUGUUCCAAUUAUCCUUUUUCUAUCUUUUCUUUUUUAUGAUGAAGGGGGAGAUAAAUAUGAUAUAUCUUGCAUUUUGAAUCUUGAAAAAUUUUCAAUAAUUGUUUUAAUGAUAUGUUUUAAAAAAAAUUUAUAUUGCCUAAAAUUUGUUUUUGGUUAAAAAUGUAAUUGAGCAUACUUUUAGGGGGAGCAUACAUUUAGGGGGAGUAAAAUAUUGAAAGAGUUUGUCAUUAUUAAAAGGGGGAGAAUGUUAACAUGUAGAUGUUUAUUAUAUUGAUUUUGAUGAUAAUAAAAUUUAAAUGUUUUUUAUUAAAAUGUUGGAGUUUUCAUUAAUAAACAAUUUCUCAAAAGCUAUAUAAUCUUUCUAAAUGUGUUCAUGAAAUAUGGAUAAUCGUUAACUUUAGUCAGAAAAUCAUUCCCUGCGAAAUUUGGUUAAAACUGUGAUUCUGGAAGUAAAUAGCGAACUGUUAACUUUAAAACGGUUAACCAAUAAUUUUCAGAGAGGAAUAAAUCCUUAAGCUUGAAUCGGUUAGCAAAAAUGGAUGAGGGAAAUGAGUUUUGCAGGUUACUAGAAUUAAAUGACUAACCGUUAACGUCAAACGGCUAACCAAUAAUUUCCAGAAUAUUAUUCCAUGCUAACCUUCAACCGUUUAGAAAGAAUAGAUAGCAGAAUUUUUUUUUUGCAGGUCUUUGGAAAUUAACGGCAAACCGAUAGUGACAAACGGUCAACAAUUUAUUUGAAAUUCAGCUCAACGGUCACUUGGACCAGUAAAAAUGGUUAACCGAUAACGAUUAACGGCGAUCCGAUUUCGGGCAGAAAGUCACAAACGGCUAUUUUUCAGCUCCAGCUAUAAAUAAGCUCAAUCAAAUUCAAACAUGGGUUUAUCACAAUAUUAUCGUUGAGCUUAUAAUCGAGAAUAUAACAUUUAUUGAGCUUCAAAUUCAUUCUUGCUCAUUUAUUAACACCUUAAGCAUUGAUUUGUAAUCUUUGUUUUGAGUAAUUGUAAGUGUUGGAAUACACUUGGGUUAAGAGAUUGGGGAUAAUCUCUGGAUGUAAAGGUUGAUUGACACCUAAGAAGUCAAUUGUAAGUGUUUUUGAAGUCUUAAAGGCUUGACUAGUUGAAUCCUCAAGCUCGGUGUGCUUCGAGGCAUGGACAUAGGCAAGGUUGGCCAAACGACGUAAAAAUCUUUGUGUUUGAAUCUCUCUUUGCUUAACGUUUUAUAUUUUGGUUGAUUUACUUAUUAUUGCUUUAAAUUCGUUUAAGAUUUGCAUUAUGUUUUGUUCAAGAAUUGCACAAUUUUUAGAAACCCAAUUCACCCCUCUUGGGUUGCUUAGAUAUUAUUUCAAGAGCAUCAUCAACAUCACUCUCUAAAUUUGGCAUCUCAGCUAAAACAAAAAUACCGUUUUUUCUUUCUUUUUCUUCAAAUGAUUAGUCUCAAAAGUCUAAAGUUUGCUAAUCACUUGAUUUCUAGUCUUGGUGCUAAUAUCAUAGUAUUUUUCUAUAAUUGCAACUUUAAUGAGAAAUCUAUUAGCAAAGAUCUCAAAAUUUUCUGGCCAAUUCUUCCUCAGAAAUUCUUUCACCAAGAGAAUAUAAAGUAUCAUUAAUCUUACAAAGUUUAGCAUUUCAAUCAGCAAUUUUUUCAUGUUCAUACAUAUUAAGAUUCUCAAAUUCAGUUGCAAGUUUUUGAAGUUUAAAAUGUUCUACUGAAUUAUUUCCUUCAUAAGUAUCACAAAGAAUGUCCCAAACUUCCUUUUAGUACAUGUAGAGAUUAAAUAAUGCUGAUUGAUGUCAACUCCAUUGACAAUAGCAUUGAACACCUUGGAAUUAAAGCCAGAUUCUAGAAUUUCAGCAUUGAAAUAUUCAUUAACAUGCUUAAAUAUUAAGUUCCAUCUCGACCAGACAUAGUGGGUAAAGUAUAGCCUUUUCUAACACAUUCCAUUACUCUUAUGUCAAAUGGAUUCAAUAAAAGUAGUUAUCCUUUGCUUCCAAUGCUAAUAAUUAGUGCCAUCAAGUAAUGGUGGACCAAUAGUAAAUCCUCCUUCUCUAUGCAAUUCCACACCUACAAAAAAAUAUCAAGAUCCUAAAAUCUUACUAAACAAGCUAUUAGUGACACUGCUCUAAUACCACUCGUAAAGAAUUUAGAUCUAUUUUAACAAGAGUAGGCAAAUUAAAGCACUAGAUAAAUUAAUUUUAUAGUUAAUAAAUCCUAAGAUUUAUUGUUCAUGUAAACUAUUCAAGUAAUAUUGUUACAAUUCACUAUGCAAUGACAUUGUUUAUAGUUAUUGUUCAUACAUAUUGUAUACAAGUUACUAUUCAUAAUUACUAUUCAUUAUAACUAUUUACCUAUUGUUCAUGUUAUUUUUCAUCAUCACAAAUCUAUCAAAUAUGUCAAAAAUAGUAAAUUACAAGAAGUAAAGCAUAUAGAAGAAUUUUACAUAGUUCAGAUCACUAUCCUAUAUCCAUAGGGUCAUGCACAAACAAUAAGCAAUUUAGUAAAUAAUGAAAAGAUUGCAACCUAUUGAACCCUUAUUCUAAAUCAGUCGACCUCGCUUAGUAAGCACUUGUCAUCUUCAAUUGUGUUUGCUCAUUUCCUUGAGAUCCAUUUAACACAACAAAUGAUUGAUUCAUCCUGAAGAGACCAAAGUAAAUAUAAAGAAUAUCUAAUGGAAGACUUCAUAUAAUGAAGAUUUGAUGAAGCAAACUAAAAUGCCAUAGAAAUAUGAAACAUCAUAUGCGGCCAAAUAUGUUUCAUUCUUUUCUCUGCAUUGGCUACUUCUCUGGUAUGAAAUACGAUAUAUCUUCAUCACCUCUUAAAUAUAUGAAAUAAUUCCCUUUAUAUAUGAGUAGUAUUUCACCCAAACCCUAGUAAAGAAGUAGUAGGAUAUACUUCCUUAAGAGUCCAAUAAUUUAUAAGUACUUGAUAUACUUACCAUUAUAGUACUUGUAUUUAUUUGGAACUUUUUGAUAUGAAAUCCUACUUACACACUAAUUUCCUUCUUUAUGCCUUUAAAAAUAUUCGUCAAUAUUCCACAUAAUCUAAUAUAAUUGAUUCCCAAGGCUAGAUAAAUCUUUCAUAAUAGGAAACAAAUCCUUAAUAAGAAGAAUAAAUAAAUUACAAUAUUAUUGACACAAUGAUGUUAAUAACAAAACCCCUAACAGGAUGUUUAUGUAGAAAAUAAAUAUAGAGAAUGACAUUAGCCCUUGUUAGCUUUUGGUAGCUCCAGAGGCAGAUCCAUUGGUGGGCUAUACCGGGCUGCAGCCCGGUAUAGAAAAGGAAAAAAAAAUCAAAUAUGCUAGUUAAAUUUACAAUCAUGCCACUAAUAAUUAAUUACAAGAGUGCCAUUGAAACCAAAAAAAAGCAAAGAAAAGAAACUUUACCUAAUUCACUUUUUCUUUGCUCUCAACCGACAACAAUUAUCAAAGCCAAGAAUUAAAAAAAUCAAUUGUCCCCUCCACGAUUCUUCAUCUUCUUCGUCUUCCAAUUUCUUGGGCUUUGCAUAUUUUUCUACUAGUAUGCUUUCACAACUUAUAUAAAAAUCUUAUUUUUUUGUGAUGGAUUUUACUAGUUUGCUCUAUAUUUUAUUUUGAUUCAUUAUUUUGAAUUUCUAAUUGGCUAAUUAGUUUUUGUAAUUGGUUUUGCUGAUUUGCUCUGUAACUUGUUUUAAUUCAUUAGUUUGUAAAGUUUCAAUUUUGAUUGCUAUCCAUAUAUGUCCUGGUAAAACUCAAGCAAAUUGAAUUUAAUCGUUGUACAACUUUUAAAAUGGAAUUAUUAAUUGUUUAAUAAUUAAAUUGAUUGAUCGGCUUAAUAAUUAAAGAUGAACAAAAUUAAAUUGUUUAAUUUAUUUAAGCAUGCUAAUUAAGCUUGUAAUUAUUAAUUAAUUUAUUAAUUCUUAUGUAUUUUCAUGUUAUAGUUUCAAACUAAUUGAUUUAUUUUACAUAUUAUUUUAAUUUAUUAGUGUGAAUGUUUGAUUGGCUUUUUUUUAAUUAGUUUUGUGAUUUAUUAGUUUGAGUUGAUUUAUUAUUGUUAUUUUUCACUAAUAAUUUUUUUUAUAAUGGAAAAGAUGAACAAAAUUAAAUUGUUUAAUUUAUUUAAGCAUGCUAAUUAAGCUUGUAAUUAUUAAUUAAUUUAUUAAUUCUUAUUUAGUUUCAUGUUAUAGUUUCAAACUAAUUGAUUUAUUUUACAAACUAUUUUAAUUUAUUAUUUUGAAUGUUUGAUUGGCUUUUUUUUUAAUUAGUUAUGUGAUUUAUUAGUUUGAGUUGAUUUAUUCUUGGUAUUUUUUCACUAAUAAUUUUUUUUAUAAUGGAAAAGAUUAACAAAAUUAAAUUGUUUAAUUUAUUUAAGCAUGCUAAUUAAGCUUGUAAUUAUUAAUUAAUUUAUUAAUUCUUAUGUAGUUUCAUGUUAUAGUUUCAAACUAAUUGAUUUAUUUUACAAACUAUUUUAAUUUAUUAUUUUGAAUGUUUGAUUAGCUUUUUUUAAUUAGUUUUGUGGUUUAUUAGUUUGAGUUGAUUUAUUAUUGUUAUUUUUUCACUAAUAAUUUUUUUUAUAAUGGAAAAGUUGAACAAAAGUGAAUUGUUUAAUUUAUUUAAGCAUGCUAAUUAAGCUUGUAAAUUGUAAUUAUUAAUUAAUUUAUUAAUUCUUAUGUAGUUUCAUGUUAUGGUAAUUUAUAGGUAAUAGGUUAUAAUGUCCGGUAAAUCCAAGUUAAGGAAAACUCUCCUUUCAUUCUUUGCCAAAGUAAAUGGUGGUCAAUUAUCAAAUGAAACAACUUCUCCAUGCAGUAUUGAUACCUCGAGUUCUCUUAAAUCUCAAAGAGCUGAAUUUGAGAAAGUUGAUACUCCAAAUAGUAUUGACACCCCUUAUUUAGAACGUGGUCCCGGAUUACGCAUCUCAAUCAAAACUUAUCCUAUUGAUAAACAAGAAGAUGUACGGAUGGUGUACAUAAAUAUGGGACCAUUCCGACCCGAUUUACAAAAAUACCCACCGACUAAACAUGGUAUGCAAAAUCGUCGAUUUCAAUUUUCUUGGUUCUCAAAAUUUCCUUGGCUUGAGUAUUCCUUAUCAAAAUAUAAAGCAUUUUGUUUUCCAUGCUUUCAUUGUUGAUGGUUGUCAAAAUUGGAAGUAUGUUUCUUGUGACAAAAAAAUGUCCUUUUGCACUGCAUGAAGGGAGUCAUGGUUCUUUUCACAAUGCCGCCACGGAAAAAUGGAGCAAUUUAAAGGAUCCAUUUAAACAUAUUGAUAAAAGAAUGAAUGCACAAUCUUCACAACAAGCUUGUGCUUUUAGAGGUCAUGAUGAGUCAGUUAAUUCUCUUAAUCGUGGAAAUUUUAUUGAAUUAAUCAAGUUGUUAGCAACAAUGAAUGAGGAGAUUAAUAAAGUUGUGUUAGAAAAUGCUCCUAAAAAUGCCCAAUACAUAGCACCAAAUAUUCAAAAGGAGUUAUUGAGUAUUCUUGGUAAUAAAGUGCGAUACAAGAUUCGGGAGGAAAUUGGAGAUGCUAAAUUUUGUAUUCUUGUUGAUGAAGCACUUGAUGAAUCUCACAAAAAACAAAUGGCUAUUAUUGUGAGAUUUGUUGAUUGUGAUGGGUUUAUUAGAGAGUGUUUCUUUGAAGUUGUGAAUGUUGAUGACACAAAGGCCUCAACUCUUAAAAAUGAGAUAUGUAAUGUGCUUGCUCAGUACAAUCUUUUAGUUGAAAAUUUAAAAGGUCAAGGGUAUGAAGGUGCUAGUAAUAUGGCUGGAGAGUGGAAUGGAUUACAAUCUUUAUUUCUUAGUGAUUGUCCAUAUGCCUGUUAUGUACAUUGCUUUGCUCAUCGGCUACAACUUGUACUAGUUGUAGUAUCUAAAGAAGUGCAUGAGGUGUGGUUAUUUUUUUCUAAGUUGAGUUCCAUUGUCAACUUUGUUAAUGCCUCUUCCAAAUGUUAUUCUGAGUUGAAAUCUGCUAAAGAGAAAUAAAUUAUAGAAUUGAUAGCUUCAGAAGAGCUUGAGACUGGUACAGGUGCUAAUCAAGUUCGAACUUUACAAAGGGCGGGAGAUACUCGUUGGAGCUCACAUUUUACUUCAGUUAGUAGGCUUGUUGAGAUGUUUGGUGCAACUCUUGAAGUUCUAAGAAAGAUUAUUAAUGAUGGGCUUAGUCGAGAUAUGCGUGAAGAACCUAGAGGUGCGUAUAGAGAAAUGAAAUCCUUCGAGUUUGUGUUCAUUUUACUUUUGUUGCAUAGAGUUCUGGGGAUCUCUGAUAUUCUUUGCCGAGCAUUACAAGCAAAAUCUUUAGACAUCUUGAAUGCUUUGAAUUAUAUCACAAGUACUAAAAGGCUUUUGCAAGAAUUUCGAGAUAAUGGUUGGGAUGAUUUUAUUAGAAGUGUGGAAUCAUUUUAUGGAAACCAUGACAUUAGUGUGGCUGAUAUGAGUGUUCGUUAUAUGGAAGGUACAAGACGCUCGUGUCAGCAAAAAGAUUAUAUUACAGUUGAGCAUCAUUAUCACUUUGAUAUAUUUAAUGCUGUAAUAGAUUUUCAAUUGACAGAGAUAAAUAGCAGGUUCGCAUAGCAAACUAUGGAACUCCUUACUCUAAGCUCGGCUUUGGAUCCAAUCAAUGGGUUUAAAUUAUUUGAUAUAGUUCGUAUUUGUUGUUGAUAACUCUAUGAAAUGAGAGUUAUUACAGCAAUUCUAGACUUAAAUCAAUAUCACUUAGAGAGUAAAUGAGGUGUUUUUAUUAUAUUUUGGUUAUAUUUUGCAUAAACAUUCAUUUUAGUUGAGUAUUAAUAAGUUUUGCUUGAAUUAAAGUAAUUUGUACUCAAAACAUGUACAUAAUUCUAGGUUUUCAGAAGUUUAUAAUUCAUGAAGGGAUGCUGAGAUAUUAGACUAGCAAGAGGAGGAAAGAAUAUGGCCACAAAAGAAGUGAAGCACAACCGGGAACCGUGUAGUGUUAUAGCCGUUGUUAGAGCAACCAUUGCUGUAGCAAUCCUGGAGCACUGAGGGAGAAAACUUAGCGUGGGUCAACUACAGAAUUGCGAUCAGCAGUUUCCUAAUUUAACUCAUGCACGCCCAAGGCUUUUGUUUACCCUAAUUUUUAGUUAUAAAAGGAGACGCGCACCACAUAAAACCGCGGCAAGGAAUUAACAUUGGAAAAAUCGAGAGGAAGAGAAGAAAACAAUCCGAAUUCAAGAGAACCAAUUCUGCAUCAAUGACGAAUCCAGCAGAGUUAUUUAGAUUCAAUCUUCAUCGUUCUCUACUUGUUCUUUUCCUUACUCGUUGAUUGAACCGAUGUAUUUCAUGAUUAAUAUUUUUAUGUUUUUUUUUUCUCUUUCAGAAUAUGAACUAAAUUUGCUUGUAGUUAGAUGACAAACAAUCUAAUGGGUUCUUAACUGUUUUUAUAAGUUGUUAUGUCAUUACUGUAGCAUUUUACUCUAGUAGUUAUAAUUAUAACUAUUAUUUCGGUUGACCACCCAUUUAAUAGUUCAAGUUAAGAUAGAGCCGCAAAAGGGCAUGUCUUAGCGAAUAUUAUUGGAGUAAUAAUUGAUCUUAAUUUAAGUUUCCUGGAUUAAGUUUAUCUUGAAUCCCAUAAGGGCUUUACUUGAAGUUAAGAUAUGUGACAAACUGGACAUAGGUACUCACCUUGUAGGGUGGAGAGAAUAAAGAUUCAUAAGGUCAUGUCGUAGGUCGAAUAACAACUGGUCAUUGCUAAUAUACUUAAGGGUGUGAGAAUUCCAACACGCGACAGCUGAGGAUGCAAAAUAAUUCUACCCAGUGCUCUAGCAAUUGCUGUAACAACUUGUGUUAACUUGAGAAAAAGCAGUCAGCCCAUAAAAAGAGUUUGAUUAUUCAAUUACCUUGUUCUCAAUUGAUUCUUCGACACAUUUUAUUUCAUUACUGCAUUGUUUCAUUUUAUUCUGUCACAAUUAUCAAUUUCAAUAAAACCAACUUUACAUUUGUUAGUUUCGGGAUUAAGGUAGAUUGCACUAUUGUGAUUGCUGUAAUAUUUCUAGUAACAUCAAUCCAUGUGGAGAUGAUCUUGAAUAGUCAUCACUUUAUUACUUGUUAUGUACACUUGCACAUUGGCAUCGAUAGCAUUUGAUUAUAAUAAAUACCAACAGUUGUCUUGCUGAGAAUUUUAUCCUCAUAAUUUCACUGCGAAUGAGAUUUUUGCUUUGAGAAGACAAAUGGAGCAUUACAAGUUUGAUGUGCUUUCUCAUCCACUUUUUCAAAAAAUUUCAUCACUUUCUGAGUUAUGUCGACGAUUAAUUGAAACAAAGAAGUCACGACACUAUUUUUUUAUUGAUAGAUUAAUUCGUCUGGUGUUGACUCUUCCAGUGUCUACAGCCACAACCGAGCGUGCAUUUUCAGCCAUGAGCCUUAUCAAGACAUCACUUCGCAAUAAGAUGGAAAAUGAGUUUCUUUCAAAUUGUAUGGUUGUCUAUGUUGAAAGAGAAAUUGCAGAUACUAUUGUUCCAGAAUCCAUAAUUGAUGAAUUUUAUUAUUUGAAGCCGCGAAAAGUACAAUUUUAGUUAUAUUUUUUUAUUACAUUUUUAUUUUUUAUUUUUAUAUAAUUAUUAUUUUUAAAGUAAUUAUUAUUUAGUGUAAUAUUUUUAAUGCUCUUAUCUUAUUAUGUGUAUUUUAUUUUUUUCUUAUAAAAUUUUAUGUUCACUUUACAAUAUAACCUUCCUUUUAAAUUUAGUCUGGGGUACUUUCAAAUCCUGGAUCCGCCCCUGGCUAGCUCAGCUUGAAGAGCUAAGGGAUUAUUGUUGUUACAUGAAAUGUGAGAAGUUACAAUAAUAAUAAUAAUAGCUAGAAUCAUGAAUCUUAUAAUAGAACUAUUAGUCUUGUAGCAAGACCAUGAAUAAGUGAAAAGUGGUGCUGGAGUUGUGAACCAGCUAAACCUGUAGCAAAGCCCAUAAAACCCAAAAGCCCCACUAAACUUGUAGUAUAGCCCAUUAGUCCAACAACAGAACCAUAUAAGUCAGUAGACAAGAUGCAAGAUUGUGGACUAUAUAGAAGAUGAGUAGAAAAGUCCAAAUCCAAUCACCACAAAUCCAUGAGACCAUGGUUUGGAAGUUAAAGCUCAGCCCCAGCUUAGAUGUAGAAAAAUCUAAAAGCUCGAUCCAAAGAGAUAGGGACAGAAAUAAAUUGUGGUAUCUUCCAUAGAGAUAAAGUUAUAGAGAAUCUAAAUCUUAAGUGAUGUAGAUGAUGAAGAGUUUGAAUUCAAAUUCUAUUAUAUCAAUAGUAAGGCUAUAAAUAGAACGUCUCUUUUAAUACAAAAGGGACAAGACAUUGUGGGGGAAAAAAAGUUAUGUUCUUUUUUAAUGGUGAAGCCAUUUAAUAACUAAGUGUUGAACUAUGUUAAAUUUUGUUUUGCAUUUAUUGUAUGCCCCCACUUAUUUUAUUUUUUAUUGAACUAAUAUUGGCAUAUCAUCAUUUGGAUUACAUAAAUUUUUUAAAUGUAAAAUUAAUAUAAAAUAAAAUAAUUAAAUAAUUAACAAAAUAUUUGAAAUUUAAUAUAUAUUCAAACUACAAUAUUAUUUAACUAUAUCCACUAUAGUUUUGAAGUAUUUUCAAACUGCAUCAACCCGAAAUUUUGUAAAAUAUAAAAAUAUAAGUAAUCACUAGCAAUUCAAAGCCCAUCAAAUUCCAAUGUAAAAUAAUUGAGGAAUCGUAACAGCAAGGGAGCUAUAGCAAUUACUCCUCCGAUCACCACCACGCUUUUAUUCUUUCCUUCAAAUUAUUGAUGCCUCUCCAUUCUUUCACCAUAGCCUCAACAAAAAUGCAAUUAUGCAAUGAUACGAACUAAUUGGGCAAACAUGCAACCAUAUUAUCAUUACUAUAAUUAUUGUCAAUCAUGUAUCUAAGUACCUGUGUAAAAAAAAAAAAGGUUUCUUUAGGUGGGCUUAUAUACAUAUUUUCGAGUCACACAUUUAUCUUCAAAAUAGCUAUUAUUAAUUUUUAGACAAUUUAAGCUAUUUAUAUUUUGAUAGUUAUAGAAUAAAACAACAUAUUUAAUCAUUUCGCUUAGUACAAAGACAAGAUUUUGCAUUGUUUCAUAUUUUAGGAACAUAGAUGCUAAGUAUGAAAGAGAAUAAGAAUCUUAUGCCAUGUUUGGUUGACAGCAAAACACACGGGAGAGGAGAGCAUUUGGAUUUCUUCCAUGAUUUCCACUGUUCGGUUGGCAACAUUAGAUGGGAAUUGAAGAUAAUUUUGGAAGAUGGAUUGAGAAGCCAAAAGAAGUAGAGCAUGAGUUUUGCAACUAUUUCACCAAUCUUUUUACAUCAACCCAGCCGAGCCAAGAUCAAAUUGCAGCAGCCUUGGAAGGAAUAACUCCGAGAGUUUCAGCCAGCAUGAAUGAGAGUUUGGGGGAACCGUUUACAGCCGAGGAAGUUUUGGAAGCUUUGAGUCAAAUGUGCCCAACGAAGGCUCUGGGGCCGGAUGGUUUGCCAGCAGUAUUUUACCAAAAGCAUUGGCAUACGGUUAAGGAGGGAGUGCUCACCACUUGUCUGCAUAUCCUCAAUUCACAAGGUACCAUAGGCCCUCUAAAUCACACUUACAUUGCUUUGAUACCAAAAAUUGGAAAGCCUAGGAAAGUGAUAGAUUUUAGGCCUAUUAGUUUGUGCAAUGUUAUCUAUAGAAUUGUAGCUAAAACAGUUGCUAAUAGAUUUAAGCAAAUUUUGCACAAAAUCAUCUCUCCGUCGCAAAGUGCCUUCAUCCCCAAUAGGUUGAUCACUGACAACAUCAUAGUUGGCUACAAAUGUUUGCACAAGAUAAGGCAUUGUAAAGGCAAGUGAAAUGGAUUAAUUGCAUUAAAGCUUGAUGUUAGUAAAGCUUAUGACAGAUUGGAAUGGAAUUUUUUAGAGCAAACUUUGAAAAAACUAGGCUUCUCGCACCAAUGGAUUAGCUUGAUCAUGAGGUGCAUUAGUUCGGUUUCAUUUUCUGUGUUAAUAAAUGGCUCAGUGAAAGGCUUAAUUAAACCCCAAAGGGGGGGCUUAAGACAAGGUUGCCCCCUCUCUCCGUAUUUGUUUAUUACAUGUGCAGAGGCCUUUUCUUCCUUACUACAGUAGGCUAAGCAACAACGACUUAUUCAUGGGCUAUCAUUUGGAAAUGAUUUGAAGAUUUCGCACCUUUUAUUUGCUGAUGACAGCCUUGUCUUCAGCAAAGCUUCAGCAAUGUCCAGACUUGCUGGUGGCAAGGGUCCUGCAAGCCAAGUAUUUCCAGUCAAAAAAUUUCUUGGAUGCAAAACUCGGCUCAAACCCUUCAUCUAUUUGGAGAAGCAUUCUGUGGGGAAGGAAAAUAAUUUGCUCGGGCUCUAGGUGGAGAGUUGGCAAUGGUCAGAAAAUUCAUAUUCAUAAGGCUAAUUGGAUCCCACAGCCUUUAACAUUCCAGCCAGUGGUUAAGCCAACUUUGCCUUCUGAUGCUAUGGUCUCUGAAUUAAUCAAUGAGGCAAACUGCUGGAAUGAGAAGAGGAUUUAUGAGCAUUUCGACGGCAAACUGCUGGAAUGAGAAGAGGAUUUAUGAGCAUUUCGACAAAAUGGAUGCUGAUUUAAUUACUAAGAUUCCUCUGCCUCGAAGACCAAGGGAGGAUGCGCUGAUUUGGCAUUAUGAAAAAAAUGGCCAGUUCUCGGUUAAAAGUGGGUACCAGACAGCUCUCCAAAUAAAGUUUCCAGCCACGCCUUCAAGCUCAGUGGUUUCCAAAAAUGAGUAGAAUAUUAUUUGGUCUCUUACUUUACCUCAAAAGAUCAGAAUUUUUGCCUGGAGAGCAGCCAAAAACCAACUCCCCUCAGUUGAGAAUCUGUGGAAGAAAAAGAUAAUCUAGGAACCCACUUGCCAAGUGUGUAAAAUGGGAAUGGAAAAUGUUUUUCAUGCUCUAGUGGCCUGCAAAUCGGCUGAGAAGGUAUGGAAGCUAAUCCAUUUUGAAGAUGAUAUUCAUGCAGCUCACAGUCAAGAUUUUUUAAGUUUGCUGCAUGCUAUGAAAAGAAUGAGAAACAGAGCUAACCUGGAGCUGUUGGUAACAAUUUGUUGGGUAAAAUGGAAUGCUAAGAAUCAGUUGCUUUUCAAAGGAAAAAAGGAGAACCCCCAGAUUAUGGUAGCUAAACCUGAAGCUAUGAUUGCAGCUUAUAAGAGGGUACAUUCUUCAGCUGAGGCUUGUAGUGAAACAAAGCAGAGGGUACCUCCUCAGACAUGGAAUCCCCCUCAAGAUGGCUUUGUAAAAGUAAACAUUGAUGCAGCUAUCAACUUCGAAAAGAACAUUGUAGGGCUGGGGGCAGUGAUCAGAUAUGGUUCGGGGCAUGUUACAACAGCUGCUAUCAAGGUUUCUAAGUUUCAUGGAGAUGUUUCUUAUGCGGAAGCAGAAGCUAUGGAAUGGGGUAUGUUGGUGGCGAGAGAAGCAAAAGUGAAAGCUGUAAUCGUGGAAUCAGAUUCUCAAGGUGUGGUCAGUUUAGUUAACAACAAGCAGGGCAGCAAAUCCGAGAUCUAUUGGGUUGUUUCAGAAAUUCAGAAGUUAGUGGAAAACUUCGAACGUGUUAGUAUUAAGUAUACGCCUAGAUCUUGUAAUGUUAUUGCCCACUCUUUAGCUAAGUUAGCUUUAGAAAAGUGCGAGACUGUUGUGUGGAAGGGUUCAUAUCCUUCACAAGUGAUGUAUCUCCACUUAUCGUUGAUUUAAUUGAAAUCUCUUUUCAAAAAAAAAAAAAAUUCUGAUGGAAAUCUAGUUUCCAUAAGUUGAGGAAUUUGGUCUCCUCUCGCAACAGUGAGGAAAUCUAAAUUCCACACAAAUGAAAGGCUUAAAUUCUCAAUUUUACUCUUAAUUAUAUUUUUAUUCCCAAUUCUACCCUUUGACAAAUAACCCUCAUUUGCAAAUUAUUCUGCGAUUUCACAGCUCUCAUAACUCAAAAUCAAAUCAAAGCCUCUCAAAAACAAAAGUUAAAAUCUCAAUUUCCGAUAGCGAGUUUCAUUUGUUAGCCAGUGAGCUACGACAAUGGGUCCGUUCGCCGAAGCUAUCUUAGUAAGUAUCAACGCCUUAGCUUCACGGUUUCUCACCGUAGGUACGAUUUUUCAUCUCUUUUCAUCUGUUUUAGUGUUGUCACUUUUAUCGUUUUGAUGGUAUUGUUGAUUUGUUAUUGUUAGUUGUUGUAAUUAUUCUUGUGUGGCUAUUGUGGUUAUUUAAUGAGUUUAGCUUAUGAGAUGAUGGAGAAUGAGUUUGAAGAGGGCUAUUUGAGAUUUUGUUGCUUUAAUUUGAAUUAAUUUUGAAUUUUCAGAUGUGUCAUUUUGUUUGAAUAAGUUAUUAUGAGGAUUUGAUUGAGAUUUUGUUUCAUUCUAUUGUGAAUGGAUGGGUUUAUAGAUAUAUGCCUACCAAGUGUUUAAUGACCUGUCUAAGAGAAAAAUGUUAAUUUUGCCCUGAAAUUAUGAUUGCAUCUAGAAGCAUAUUUCCAAUCCGUAAUUGACUUUACUGAUGUCUAUGUUUUGUGUUUGGGGAUGCCAAAUUUUUUUGCUGUAAUCAUAAGAAAUAAAUUUGAAUUAAUAUACAGUGGCAUUUUUAAGUGUUAGUAGAAAUUUUGAAGGAAUACAUAUAAAGGGGUUUGGUAGUUUUUCCUUUUGAUUUAUCUCGUAAUAUAUGUACAAUUCUAGCUUUCAUUAAGGCUUGCAAGACAUGUAAAUAUGUAAUGAUGAUCACUUUGAUUUCAGCGAAAUCUAAUUGGUCUCUUUCUUUUUGUUUGCUUUUUCAAGGAUUGUUCUCACUAUUUUCACAACAUUCAUUAACAUGUCAAUCCAAGUGCCGUGCAAUUUCUCUUUAGCUUUCUUUAAUCUUUAUGUAUUAAGCCCUCGUUCGUCCCCUCAGGCUGACUUUAAUUUCUUUGUCCCUUCUCUUUAGUAUAAUUUUUUAGAUUAAUUAAAAUAAUAUGAACCUAAAAAAAAAAACCUGAGCUGACCCUAUUGAAACUUUUAUUUAGACUCGCAACUUUGCAACAUCCUAUUUUAUUCUUGUCCCUUGACUUUGGAAUUAGAUACCAAUUUAAUUUAAGAACAAUUUUCUACUUUUCCUUUUUUAUUUAUUGUUUUAUUUUUCCCCUAAAAUCUUCACUCUUACAUUUAUAUCACGCCACAUUAAUGUAUAUGAAUGGGUUUUGUAAAUAAUAUAUAUCUGCAGUAUUUUUUUCCCUCGUAAAUGAAUAAAACUCGUAGAUCAACUUAAAUUGAUACAAUUUGAAUUUAACUUCAAUUUCAUUUUGUUGUUGCAGUAAUGGAUGACUUAAGUUUAACUGAGACAAAUAAUUUUAAAAAGAAGAAAUUGGCUACAUUUAUGGACUGGUUUCAAACUAUGCAAGUAGUUGUUUGCUUAGUGAAGUUUAUAAAAUAUGUUUGGAGAAAUAAUUUGUGACACGACUUAAAAGUAAUUUCUAACUCUCAAGUAUAAGAGUAUCUUGUUAUAUUAUAACUCGGUGAGUCUGAGGUCGAUCUACAAAGAAAUGAUUUAAUUUGUUUAUUUAAGUUUAUAAAAAAAUUAAAAUUAAAAUUAAAAACAUGCAAUUUAAUUUAGGAAAAAACUAUGAAAUUGAAUUAGUUAUGGUUAUGGAUCCACUCCUAGUAAUAAAUAUAAUUUAACAAAUUAUUUUUAUUUUAUUCCCAAAGGAUUAAUUGUAUAAAUUAAAAUUAUUUUCCCAUUUAUUUUAUUAUGGAUUAAGAACUUAAUGUGCCAAAACUUAAUUUGUCUACAAUAAAUCAAAAUACCAUUUUACCAUACUUUAUACUAAGAUAUUAAGAAUUCAUUGUGCCAAACUCCCCUGUUUGUUUACAAUAAAUCAAAAUUUCAAAAUAUAAAAUAUGGAUAAAAUUAAAUAUAAAACAAUUCGAUUUACAAAAUGAAAAAUAGAAUUUGAUUAAACCAUAUUUUUACUAUUAAACCAUAUUUUUACUAAGAGUUUCACUGUAACACCCCAAAUCUAAUACGUGCGGAGCACGUGAAGAAGGAGGUUACUCACAAAUCAUAAUCUUUACUCAUAAGUUUCAAACUGAAAUUCCUCCAAUUCUUAUUCAAAUAAAUCCAUAAAUCCAAACGUCAAAUACUAAAUAAUCUCUCUCGAGGACAUAUAAAAAUAAUAACAAAAGUCUCAAACUCCAAAUUACACGUUCAUAAUAAAAGUAACUAAAUAGAAACACAAGUCUAUUCCUCCUCUUAUUCAAUAGCAAACGGAAACUGGAAAUCAUUAACUCCAAAGCUAAGUGCACCUCUCAAAAGAAACUUAAUCUGCAAAAAAAGUAAUGACGAGGGGUGAGCCGUCAACUCGGUAAGUAAAACCAUUCCUAACACACUAGGCCUAUCGAUACCAAAAAUAUUGCAAGCCUUCUUUUGUUUAAAGCAUAUAUCAUAAUCCAUAAUUUUCAUAAAACGAUAUAUCACAAUAACAUAAGAUAAAUUCUUAAUAAUUCAGAAUAUUCAAAAGCAUAUUUACUUACGAAUCAAAUCAUGUAAUACGUAUACAGAAAACAAACAGGUUAGCUCAUGUCACAUAGUGUCACCUAUAGUCCCGGUGACCCGGCCAGAAACAGAAUCAGAAUAUCGCGUGCACAUUCAGAACAGAAACCCAGUACUGGUCCAGACAGAUAUAUCGUAUAUUACGAUCAGAAUCAGAAUCAGAAUAACUAUGGACAAUGAGCCAAAACAUUAGGAAUCUCAUACAAUUAUCAGUAAUUGAAAUCAUAUAUGGGUACAAAACAUUCGUAUCAGAUUUAUAAAAGUUCAUAACAAUAAUUUAGGCUUGUAUAACAUUUUAAAGAUAAAAUCAUAAAAGGUUGUCAUGUCAUAAAAUCAUUUACAUAUUAAAAAGCAUUUAUAAAAUACUUUGUUAAAAAGAAUGGUUUGAAAACAUUUACAUAAAGCUAAUUUUGUUAUCAAAAUUAGUAAUCCUUUAAGUAGUAUCAAAACAUUUAUACUUAUAAUAAUAAUAUCAAAAUACUUCUACAUAUCCAGUACAUUAGGAAUGAAGUUACUUACCUCGACAAAUGAACUUGGAUUAACACACCUCUAAGCUUCUAAGAGCCUCAAACACCUUCAAAACCUUAAACAAAUACAAGAUAUGACAAUCAAUAACUUAUUCUAAGAAUUUGAUUUUCUAAUUCAUACCCGUACAGGUCUGAUUCUCAGAAUUUUAACUCUUAAUCCAAGUCUCAGAAUGAUAUAAAAUCCUAUGGAACCAUUCUGGACAUCCAUGAGUACCCCAUGUAAAAUUUACAAGAGAAUCCGAUAUCAAAAACAUUUUAAAAACUAUUUACUUCUCAGCAAAUUCGAAACUGUUUUCACAUAAUCUAAACCAAACAGAACGGGUUCCGUGAUUUUUAUAAAAUAAAAUACUAAUCAGAAAAUUAUGAAAUUAAAACUGCGAAUCCUAGACACAUAUAUUAACAUACAUAAAAACUUUCAGAAUGUUUUGAGUUCAUUUGGUGGUACAAAUAGUCUUUUGAAUCUGAUCACAAUACUGGAAUCGUGGAUUUCCAGUGCAGUGGUUUCUAUUUCCAAAAUACGUAUAAAAUUGAAAACGAAGUUGAAUUUAAUGAAAUAAAAUUUAAUCAAGAAGCCCUACAUGUCUAGUUUCCAGAAAUAUAAAUUUUAUAAGAAAAUUCGUUCAGAAAAUAUAGCUUUAAAAAUUCGAGAUACUCAUGCUGUUCAGAAUAAACGUUGUGAACUUACCUGUCGCUUUGAGUCUCUCCUAAACAAAGGUUUGAAUCCUAAGAUUUGGGUAGGAGCGUAAAGAGCAGCAGAGAAGAAGGAUAAACGUUGUGAACUUAGGGUUAUGGAAGGGGGAAAAGUAUGUAUUUAUAGGGGAUCUUAAGAAACCCUAUUCAAUAAGGAAAAAUAGCCCUUUUCCAAAAUGAUCUCAUAAAUAACCUCUAUUUAAUUAGUACCCCUUUCUAAAUAAGGGUUAUAGGCCACCCAUAAUUCUCAAUGAAAGCCCAAUUUCCAUAAUUUAAUAUGUAUGCGAAUUUGUGGCGUUACAUUCACAUUCCCCUAACUACUAAUAUUUAGCUAAACAUUUUUUGAAAUAAAGAAAAUUAUUAAAAUUGAAAAAUGCAUAAUUAAAAAAUGGAAUUUGAAAAUUGAAAUAAAACUAAUUUUAUUGAUUGAAAAUAUAUUACAAAGAGAGAUGAGAAGAAGAAUUUGGGGGGAAAGAAGAGAAGAGAAUGUGUGAAGAGGUGUGUCCCCCCCCCCCCUCUAUUUAUACUAAUAUAUGGUAAAUCAACACCACACAAAUAAAUAAAUCUAAUUACAUCUUAGCCUUACAUUUGUCUCACUAAUAAAAUAUAAAUCUAACUUAAUCUACUCAAACACAUCCAACACAUUCCACUAACAAUUACCAUACCUAACAUUAUAAAAACUUAUAAUUUUACAAUUAUCAUAUUUAUCGUGGUAAAAACUUAAAAAUUUACAACAAAAGUCUUGGAUCCUCCUCGACAAUGACAUAAUUUCUCGGACUUCCAUUUGUUUGGAGCCUCAAAUUGCAUGAAAUUAUUAUUUUUACCUAAUAAACACAUAAAAAUACAAAAAAUCAAAUAUUUAGAAAAAUAAUUAGAAAUUCACAAUAUGUUACACAAUUGCAAAUAUAAAUUACAUUAACAGCACAAAAUAACAUUUUCACCCCUUCAUUACCAUACGAUUUUUAACACUAAUCAAUCUGGAAAAAUCAUUAAGACAUGAAAUGUAUGUGCUCGAUUUCUUCACAAAUAGAAAAAAUUUUCACCGAUUAGCUUAUGAUAGCGACGCAACUUGCAUAGCCCAACUUAGAAUGGAUAAGCGUGCAUUUACAAAUCUAUGCACUAUGCUUGAAAUGAACGGGGAGCUAAAACCAGCAAAACAUUUAUUAGUCGAUGAUCAAGUUGCCAUGUUUUUACAUAUAAUAGUGCAUCAUGUGAAAAGCAUAGUGAUUAGGUUUAAAUUUUUUAGAUCGGGAGACACUGUUAGUAAGUAUUUUCACAAUGUAUUGCAUUCUGUGAUACGACUCCAUGGAGAAUUAUUGAAAAAGCCUAAGCCAGUUUCAGAAAACUCCACUAAUGAGAGAUGGAAAUGGUUUAAGGUAUAUAUCAUUGUUAUAUUCAUUUUUCUUAUAUGCUAAAUAUGUUGUAUGAUAUAAAUAAUUAUUUUUUUUCUUUGGCAUUGAUAAUAGAAUUGUUUACGAGCAUUAGAUGGAACAUAUAUUAGAGUGAGGGUGCCUGCAGCAAAUAACCCUAGGUACCAGAAUCGAAAAGGGGAGAUUGCCACUAAUGUCUUAGGAGUAUGUUCCCAAGAUAUGCAAUUCAUUUAUGUUUUAGUGAGCUGGGAAGGUUCAGCUGCUGAUGGUAGAGUCUUUCGUGGGGAUCUACGGAAAAUAAAUGGUUUGAAUGUACUAGAACUAAACGAGUUGUUUAAUAUAAAAACUUUAGUUAUCUAAAACUUAAUAUUUCUUAAUUCUAGAAGUUACUACUAUCUAGUGGAUGUUGGGUAUGCUAAUAGUCCGGGAUUUCUCACUCCUUAUCGUGGACAACGAUAUCACCUCAAUGAUUGGAGGGAAAACUACCAACCUACUAACCCACAAUAUUUUUUUAACGUGAAGCAUCCAUCCGCUAGGAAUGUUAUUGAAAGAUGCUUUGGCAUGUUGAAAAACCGACGGGCAAUUCUUAGGAGUCCUUCCUUUUAACCUAUUAAGACUCAAAAUAAGAUUAUCAUGGCAUGUUUCUCGUUACACAAUUUUGUUAGGAGGGAGAUGCCAUGUGAUCCUUUUGAGGAGUCAUUUGAUGUUGUAACUGGGGUCAAAUCAUUUAGAAGCUUAAUAUCGAGUAUCAAAACUUCGAAAGAGUAGAAUGUAUGGAGGGCAAACUUAGCUCAACAAAUGUAUAAUCAGUGGACAACAAGUAGAUUGAUGACAUGGAAAAUGAAUGUAUUACUCAUUUUUAUUUUUCUGAAAUUUUGUUGUAUUUUAGUAUCUGUUGAAACUUUUGAAACUAAAUUGACAAUAUUAUUUUGAAUGUGACAUGGAGGAUUUAUUUUAUUACCACUUGUAAUUUAAUUUGAGUUUGUUUUGUUUCAUGUUGGUGCAAUUUUUACUGUUUAGUUUUUUGUUUUAAUAGCUAAAUGGCAUUACAACCUCCAAAGUCAAGAUUUUGGACCUUAGAAGAAGAUAUUAAGCUCGUGGAGUCUCUUUUUGACUUUUAUCAUGAUGGAAAAUUUUAUGCUGACAAUAACUUUAAAAGUAGCUACUUAAGAGCUCUUGAGACUACUUUGGAAACAAAACUACCCGGAUGUGAUAUAAAAGCAAAACCACACAUUGAAUUAGGGGUGGGCAAAAUACCCGACCCGAUCUGAUCCGACCCGACUUGACCCGAAAAAUUGUGAGUAUAAUCUGAUCGGGUGUAUUUGUGUCAACCCGAUCAAAUCUUGAUCGGAUCGGGUUACCCAAUCGGGUUAGCUAAAAAAAAUAAUUAACAAAUAAAAAACAAAAUAAAAUUAUAACACAAGCACACAACCACAGACAAACAUAUGCACACAACCACAAAUCAUUUCGCUACCUUCACAGAUCAUAGUUGUUAGCCUAUAUCCUAUAAAUAUUGAUUUUGAUGAUAACAAACCACAUGUGUUGGUUAAACAAAAAUUUAUGUAUUGUGCUUUUAUAAUAAGAAAAUGGUUUUAUGGAGUUAAAUUGUUUUUCAAGUUAUGGACUAAAAUGAAAGAAUUAUUACAAUCUUUGAUUUUAAUAAAUAUUGAUUUGAAUUUCGGAUUUGAACCUAUUUGAAAAUAUUUAAAUAUUUUGGGUCAUUCUAUAAUUUCACAUAUUUUGGGUCAUAUCAUAACUUCAGAAAGUUUUGGGACUGACGAAGCAUUAUUUUGAAAUUUUGAAAUUGGACCUAUUUUGAAAACUUUCAUAACGUUUUGGGUCAUAAUACAAUUUUAUAAAGUUUUGGGGUCAAAUUGUAAUUUUGGAAUAUAGUUCACUGUAGCAGUUACUGUAGCAAGUGGCUAACUGGAUUUGACAAGCGGAAGACCGGAUUUUGGAUAGUAAGCUUCUGGAACAUAAACGGCUAUCCGAAUUUCAAAAGCAGCUAUUCGGAUAUGAAAAGCGGCAUGCCGGAUAUUCUGAAAUUCAAAUUUUUGUUGUAACGGUAAAAUAAAAGCGGCUAACCGAAUUCCAUAAACAGUAAGCCGGUUAAGCCGGUUAUCACCAAAAUGUGCAUAACGACUAGUUUUUGAGUUCAAACUAUAUAAACUCAAAUCCAAUUUAUUUUCAAACUCUCUCUAGCAAGUAAAAACAAAAAGCACAUAUCAUAUCUUCAGCUCUCAAUUCGUAAAUCAUUAUUCAUUGAAUCAUCUUUGUUCUUCAAUUUGUUCAUCUACUCUUUAAGUGAGUUUAUUCGAUUGUAAUUUUCAUUUCUUCAUCUUAAUUGUGAGUGUUUGAGUGUGUGAGACACUUGAAUGAAGAGAUUGAGAGAUAAUCUCUUUGUUGUAAAGGUUCAUUGGCACCUUGAAGUCAGUUGUAAACAUUUGAAGCCUUGAAAGGCUUGGAUAGUGAAAUGCUCAAGCUUGGAUCGCUUGGAGGCGUGGACGUAGGCGGGGAUUGUCGAACCACAUAAAAAAUUCGUGUGUUUGUUUCUCUUCUCUCUUACUCAUUUGUUAUUGUGCUUUUAUUGAACUUAUUGCUUUCGAAUUUAUUAAGGCGUUAGAUUGGAUUGUUGUGUGGUUUUGUUAGGAUAAUUUUUAAAAUACCAAUUUAUCCCCUUCUUGGAUUGCACACUUGUAUUUCAAUAGCCUCACGGCCCUCACCCUCACAUUCGCGACUUCACACACACACACACAUCGCAAAAGCUAAAAGCAAAGCAGCUGCCAACAACUAAUGCAGAGAAGACACGGACGAAGCGCAGCCCGCGCAUGCAGCCACCUAACCUGCUACCAGAUCUAUUCCUCUGCGACCCACGACCGGAUCUUCUACUGUUAGAUCUGCUGCUGUAAGAUCUGUUGCUGUUGGAUCUACUGCUUGCCAGAUCUACGGCUUGCUGGAUCUGCUGCUGUAGCCUCCACCAUCACCAAGUUCUUCUAGAACUGGAAACCCGAAUUCUUUUUUUUUAUGUUUUGAUGGUAUAAAAUAAUAUAUUAUAUAUUAUCUGUUAAUUGUUAAUUGUUAAGUAUAUGCAUUGUUAAAUGUUAACAAUAAAAUGAGGAAAAUUCUUGUAUUGAAAAUUGUAGAGCUGGAUCGAUUAGGCAUGUGGAAGCUUAAAUUAUAAGUAUGAAUUCAUUUUCUUUUUUUGUUUUUAAUGAAUAGAUUAGUUAGAUUAAACAUUAAAAUUAAAUAUUUUAUUUUAUUUUAUUUGUGUAGUAGCUUUGCCCGAUCCGAAUUAACCCGAAUUUAACUUGGUUAUUUGACUCGAUCUGAUCCGAACAUAUUCGAAUCGAAUCGGAUCGGGUUACAGUUUCGGGUUGAGUUCGGAUGAAUUUGUUUCUAACCCGAUCAACCCGAAAUUCGAUCAGGUUGAUCCGAACCCGAAAAUGCUCACUCCUACAUUGAAUCUCGUAUAAAGACUUUAAAUAUGCAAUUUCGAAUUAUACAUGAGAUGUUAACUAGACCGAAUUGCAGUGGCUUCGAUUGGGAUCCAGAAAAGAAAAUUGUAAGGGUAGAGAAGGUUGUAUGGGAUGCUUAUGUUUUGGUAUGUGAGAUGUUAUUGUUUUAUUUGCUAUUUUUUAUCGUUGUUAUAGAUCUUUGCUAUUUUAUUUGUUAUUUUUGUUGUUUUUGUUGUUUUGCUUGUUGUUUUACUUAUUUUUAGUGCUAUUAUGUUUGCUGGGUACUGAUGUUUUUGUUGUUAUACCAACUGGUUACUACUUUUUUUUAUGUUUUACUAUUUUACUUACUGUUUCACUUAUUGCUUGCUACUCUUAUAUUUUUUGGGUACUGUUGUUUUUACUGUUAUACUUGCUGGUUACUACUUUUUUGCUAUUUUUACUGUUUUGUUUGUUGUUCACUUGCUAUUUACUGCUGUUAUAUUUGCUAGGCACUACUGUUUUUGCUGUUAUACUUGCUAGUUAAUAUUUUUUUUGUUGUGUUUUGCUAUUUUACUUUAUGUAUCCUUUGUUGUUUGCUACUGUUAUAUUUGUUGGGUACUACUGUUUCUGUUUCCUUUGCUAUUUACUACUGUUAUAUUUGCUUGGUACUACUAUUUUUGCUAUUAUACUUGUUGGUUACUACUUUUUUUGCUGUGUUUUGCUUUUUCUGCUUUGUUUUACUAUUUUACUUAUUGUUUUUACUGUUAUAUUUGUUGGUUACUAUUUUUUUACUACUGGUUGCUAUUGUUAUUACUGUUUUACUCACUGCUUUUUAUUUUUACUCAUUUGUUGCUACUAUUAUACUUGCUGGUUAUGAUGUUUAUUAUUGUUCUUUUUCACUAUUUUAUCUGCUGUUAUAGAGUCAUAAAGGGGCAACAAACUUCAAGAAUAAAGCAUUCCCAUAUUAUGAGAACUUAUGUAUGAUUUAUGGUAAGGACCAUGCAAUUGGAAAGAAUGCAGAAGCUCCUGCAGAUGUGGUUGAGGAACUUGAGAGGACAAAAAAAAAAUGAAGCUCAAGAAGACAAUUUGGAUGUUGAGAAUAUGAGAGAUGAUAUUGAUGACAGUGUCUCUUUCUCACUUGCUUCACGGAACCGUCCAAAAACUUCAAACAGCUCGUUAAGAAAAAAGGAGAAGAAAUGAAGAGUCGGAAGAGCUUGGAGAACUUAAAGAGCUAACAACUCUUAUCGUUGCACAAAUGAAAGACACUUCUAAUGUGGUGAGUUGAGCUAUGGGACAAGAAAUCAAUGAGAAACAAGUGGGAUUAAGUGAAGUGUUGAAGAAGAUUAGCAGUCUUACAACAGUAGAAUGACUUAAAGCCACCACUCAAAUUGCUCGUGAUAGUACGGCACUUAAUGUUUUUUAUACUCUUUGUGAUGAGGAUAGAGAGACAUGGGUUAAAAUUUUCCUUGAUGGGGAAAUUUAACUCAUGCUUAGAUGUUAUGGUUUAUUAAUGUCUAACUUAACCCAUUUGUGCACUUAAUAUUUGAGCACUUGAAAUUUGACCUAGUAUUUUUUGUUAUGUUUUUGCUUUUUCAUAAUUUGGAAUGUCUUUGAAAUUUGAAGGUGUUACAGUCAUAUUUUGAAAUUUGACUAAGUAUUUUUUAUUAUUUCAUUUGAUCAUUUGAAAUUUAAUAUACUUUUAGUAAUACUAUGGGCUAGUUUUGAAAUAAUAUUAAUGUUUCUUAUUUAAAAAGAAAUAUAUUUGAUAAAAGCAUUUGGAUAAUAAUUGGUAAAAGUACUUUUGACAAUGAUAUGCAAAAGCACUUUUAAUAAAAGCACUAUAAAUGCAGCUAGGGCAUUGAGAAUGAAACAUUAACCUUGAGUCUAAUUUUAAAAUAAUUAAACAUAUUUGUAGUUUAUAAAUUAAUUUAACAAUAAAUAUUAAAAAUCUAAUACAAGGGUAAAUUUGUCCAGAUAAAAAAUUAUAAAAUUCCUUUCCUUUGCUAAUUCUAUCUUAAACCGAACAAAGGAAAUCAAAAUCCCUACUCUUUUCUUCUCUUUUCCUUUCUCCUCCUCUCUUUUCCUCUCCUCUCCUCUCUCAUCUUUUGCUACAACCGAACAUGGCCUUAGAACCAAAAAUAAAUGUUGGAUUAGUCGACUUGCCAGUUUUGGGUUGGAUGAAACGUCGGUUUAAAGCUUCGAACACAUGCAUGACAUCUAACUAAUGUCAUAUGAGUACAAUUUGUGAAGCAUGUGCUUUGCACGUGAUUCACUUAAAACAUUAUAAGCUUGAAACAAUGAUGUUGGAUGUCGUUUAACUCACUUAUGGACCCCUUCACAUGUAAGAGGUUGUUAAGGCAGUUAAAAGAGGUGGGAAAUUUCUUGGUUUGUUUUAACAAACCCAGAAUGCAAGCUGGCUUCUUAACCAAAUUGCUGGAUCAUUCUAGAGUAAUAUAUAUAGUCAUUUAGCUUGUACCCUGGUACGUAAAGUUGAUUGAAACUUUCUAUGUAAGCUUGUAACUUGAUUUGCUAUAAUGAAAGAACCUACAGAUUUGUUUCUCAAGAGGAUGUAGGCCACCAUAGCUAAACCUCUAUAACUCUUGUUUGUCCUAUUUUCUUUAUCUUCUUCUGUGUUGUUUGACUUUAAAUGCAUUUGUUAAGCAUUUUUUAUCUGAAAUUAAGAGUGUGAUGUAUGAUCUUAGGCUAAAGAUUGGUUAUCUCUUAUCUUUAUUCGAAAAAUAAAGAAUAUACUCAGUGAGUGGGCUUGCUAGAAGAACAAUUUUCUCUAACCUGGGACACUGUAGACAAAGACUCUCCAAAGAAAAUAAAUUCUUCUCAUUCCCUCAUUAGAGUAUAAUCAAAUAAAUAGUUUAUUUCACAAUAAAUAUGUUUGUGACUCUAUAGUAAAUCAUCCGAUCUUUAUUCUCAGCAACCAUGUUUUCCUUGAGACAACCAUAGUGGCAAUUAUAUCAUCUCCAUUAGCCAAAUUAGAGCAUUACCAAAACACUCAUCUAAUUUUACUUUUCAAUACUUAUUUACAUACCUAUGUGGCAAAUAAAAGAGUGAAAAAAUAAAUUCUCUCCCAAAAGACUCUUCAAAAAUAAAUAAGUUUAUAUUAUUUUAUCAAAUUCUUUUACUAAAUUUAAAUACCCUCCAUUUUUUCAAUAAUGUAGUUAUAAUACUUCUUUCUCUUCAACAAUGAUGAUAUAAAAUAUAAUAUAAUAUUAUUUGAAGAGAGAAAAGUCACUCUUCAAUAUUGAAGAAAGAGAAGAACAAUUUUAUUUGAAAAAUCUCAUUUGAAGGGUUUUUUGGAAUCUUUUUGCUGACGUAGCCCUGAAAAUAAGAAUUGAAAUCUCAUUUGAGGAGCAUUUUAGUAAUGCUAUGAAGGUAAUUUCGAGGAGUGGAGUGCUUACAAAAUGUUAAUGGAAAUUUAAUCAAAAUUUUAAAAAACAAAACUCCCAUUUUAUAUCUGAAAAUCAGUAGUCUUUAAUUAAUAAUUCAUAUUUAAUUCAAGUAAUUACUACUUGUAAAUUUCAUUGUCAUUUUCAUCCAUAAAAAAAAAAAACUUGUCAUUUGAAUUUGAAAAUUGUCCCUCAUGCCAGUUAACAUAAUUUUAUGCAUUUUGAAAUAUCAUUGUUAUACAUUUAAAACACUAAAAGUAAUGUAAAGAUAUUUUGUAUCAUUCUUAUUUACCGUUUCUAUAUGAAACUCGUUAUGAUGAAUAUCUUUAAAGUUAGAAAGAUUUCUUCUAGACUUGGUUGAAUACAAAGCAUCAUGGAUACAUAAUAUGUUCCAUUGUUCCAUUUGCUAAGAUGAAUACGACUCUAUAGAGCCCUCAGUCUGAUCUACAGGACUUGCUAUGGUAUUCACCUUAACUUCAAAUAAUAUUAAGCUAAUGAAGUAUUUAUUAUUACAAACAAUAGUGUGUGUAAUCGCACUGUCAGCUAAACACAUCUCUCCAUCAUGUAAUCCGUUUUGCAAAUUCAUAUCCUUUCACAAAAGAAAAAAUUUAUUAGACUAUAUCAAUAAUACAAUUACAAAAUAGAUAUAUUAAUAAAAACUAGAGACUAAUUUAAUUAGCUUAGAUAUCUCCAUCACCAAUUAAGUCACUUAGCUUCUCAUUAUGAUCUUCAAAGAAGUCUGAGACACCUAGAUUUAUAUUAUCAUUAACUGAAAUAGCAUAAUUUAUCUCAAUAUUCUACCAUUUCUACUUGAUACAUGUCAAUAAACUGCCCAAGUAUAUGACAAGAUCUCUAGAAUGGCGUCCAUUUCUAAUAAUUUUUGUUGUAACCACUAUUAAGUCUAUAAUUGUGAUUAUGUCCAUGACCACAGUCAAAACCAUGAUUGCAUCUUUGAUUACACAAUCACUGUGUGGAAUAGUAUUCCCUUAAGCAAUAGCUUGGCAUCAAUUCAAGCAAUAGCUUCGUAUCAGUUCAAGCAAUAGCUUUGUAUCAGUUCAAGCAAUGGCUUCGUGUCAAUUGGAUAAGCUUGAUUGCUUUAAUAAAGCCCAUGGAUUCUAGAUGAUGAAUAACAGAUGCACAUAGCUUGUAGUUGAAUCUCAUAAUCCAAGGUAAAUUAUUUUCACCAGAAAUAUUAAGGGCUUCAGGGUCCAGCUUCAUUGGAUUCAUCGUCUUCAAUCAAUCUUCAAGGCCUCGGAAUAUUUAAAUUUAUGGCUUCAUAUGUAUAGGCUUCAAUAUGAAUUUUGUACACUUUAAUCUUAAUUUUAUAGGUUUCAGUUGCAUGCUUCAAUCUUUGCCUGUAAUGUCAGUAGUAUAAAAUAAACAAGAAAAAUGUAAUAACUAACUUAAUUUUCUUAUGUGGAUGAUCCAAAUUAAUGGCAACUAGAGAGCAUACUUGCAAGGAAAUUUUUAUUAAAUAAAUAAAAUAAAAUAAAAUAAAUACUUCUUUAUCUCCUACUGAUGACGUGUUAUAACAUUGAAGAGAAUUUUACAAGAAGUUAUUGAUAAUUUAACUAAAUAAUAUAAAUAUGAGAGGGGCUAUAUGAUAUAAGACUAGAGAACAAAGUACUUAACCGAGGCUUUUAUUUCCGUGAACUGGAAAUUAAAAAUUGUAAUUAAUACAAAAGUCUUGCAAACCUUUUUAUAGGCAAAUCACAACCAAUCAAACUUUAACACCUCAGCAACAAUAUCAAUUUAAGUAGUGUGCACUUAAGAGAGCCUAUCAGGCCCAAGUAGGUGAUACACAGGUCGAGCAGUGUGCCUACGCAUGUGGUCUCCAUCAAUGUUGUGUCUACUUUUUGGAGUGGGAAUGUGGAAUGUGGAGUAUGAAUUCCUCUCACUCUAAUGUUUAUUUACUAUUUUUAAGGAGGGAGUGGGAUUCCCACUCCGUGGGUCCCACCUAAUUUUGGAGUGGGGAGUGGGAUUCCCACUCCCAUGGGGGGAGGUGGGAGUGGGAAUCCACUCCCCCUCUUCCCUUUUUAUCCUAAUAAUUAAAAUAAAUAAAUAAUAUUUAAUAAAAUAAAUAAUAUCAUAUUUAUUAAAAAUAAUAAUUAUAAACAUAUUUAUUUUAUUAAAUUUAAUAAAAUAAAAAAAUAUUAUAUUUAUUUAAAUAAUAAUAUUAUUUUAUUUUAUAAAUUAAAUUCAUUAAAAAUAAUAAUAUUAAACAUUAAUUAUAAUAAAUAUUAAUUAUUUAUUUAAUUAAUAAUAAUAAAUAUUUUAUUCUAAGAAAAUAUUAAUUUUGUACUAUAUUAUCAAUAAUAAUGUUUCAUUUGUGUUGCUAUUAUUAAUAAUUUUAUUCACAUAAUUUAAAUUUAAAUUAAUAAAAAAUUAUGAUUUACAUAAUUAAGAAUAUUAAUAAUUAUUAUUAAUUUACAAAUAUAAUAAAAUAUUUAUUUUAUUUUUAAAUAUAUUUUUAUUAAUUUUUUAAUUACAAAUUAUAAUUCUUUAAAUAAGGGUAAAAUUAUAAUUUAAAACUAUUUACUCCCAAUCAAAGACAAUGUAAACACAUAAAUUGGAUUCGGGUUUCAAUUUCAUUCUCUCAUUCCAAUGUAAGUAAACAACGUACUCCCACUCUCACUCCACACUCUCAAUCCUAAGAUUCUCACUCCUCAAGAUUCUCACUCCUAUCCAAAAUGUAAACGCUACCCAAAUGUAUUUCCCAUUAUAUCUCCAGCUAGUGAACCAAGCAUCAAGCAUCACAAGUAGUAUUCCUCAAUUUACCACUUAACAAACCACUGAUGUUUAUCCUCCAAUUGGUGCAAGCGGUGUGUGCACUUUACUAAUCCAAGAUGGCGGAUAGCCACACUAAAACAUCAUAACAUUUUAAAAGAAAAAAAAAAUCUUUUCAAAAAAAUUAUAAGUGAACUAAGAGUUUCACAUGGGCAUGUCUAAAAAUUAAAAAUCACCAAGGGUAUUUUUAAAAUUUUCAAGAUCAUCAGGACUGUUUUGAUGAUAUAUUAUAAGAACAAAUUUCUUUCAAAGCCCAAUUCAGACAUUUCGCUCAUCUCAUCCCAAAACCGCCCAACAGUUACAAAUGUCUUGGUUCAAAUUUAGAAUGUGCCUUAAUCAGAUUAGUAUCAAUAAGGCUCAAAAUCUAUCGAAAAUAAAUAAAUUACAAAAAUCACAGAAAAAACGCCAUUGAUAGUGUUUGGGAGGGAUACUGUUUGGGGCAAAUGCGUCGAAGGGACCAGGAAUGACGAGCAGAUAUCUGACGGCGGAGUUCUGCGAACCGGUGUGUUCCGUUAAAGCCUGGCGCGUGGAAGAACAGGAGCAGAAACAUCCUGCUCGUCCACGAUGUUGUCGUCCGCGAGGCCAAUUCCUAUAAAAGGCAUAAGGCCAUUCCGGCUAGAGAUCGAGAGGCGAGGAGACCCGGUCGACGGCAGUUGGCAAGACGUGCUCUCCAGCACGAGAAUCUAGGCACAACAGCCACGCUUUCCCCAGAACCGCGACGUAACACGCAAGAUCUCACAGAGCCAUGACAGCCACACUUUCCCCAGAACCGUGGCGUAACACGCAAGAUCUCACAGAGCCAUGACAGCCACACCUUCCCCAGAACCGUGGCGUAACACGCAAGGUCCCACAGAGCCAUGGCAGCCACGCUUUCCCCUGAACCGUGGCGUAACACGCUAGAUCCCAUGUUUUGCCCAUAACGCAGCAGUUGGAGUCCCAUACCGUCUCGAAAAGAGCGGAAGACUGAGAUUCAGAGGAAGCCUAUAAAAAGGUAGCCAACGAAGGUAAAAAGGUUGGCAUUCUUGAGAAAAGGGGAGAAAACCACAAGAAACGCCAUAAGACCUGUGGCAAGCUUUUCCCGAACCUUCAUAUCUGACUUGAGCGUCGGAGGGUUUGCGCCGGGAAAACAACCGGCGUACUCUGACUUAUCUGUGUACGCAGGGACCUCCGGGGAAGAAGCCUGGCGAGGAGACCUCCUGGUCGUGACGAAGUUGAUCGAGCAGAGAUCCUGAUCGUAGAACGAGGAGAACCGGAAUCUCGCAUCAACAUUUUGGCGCCGUCUGUGGGGAUCCAGAGCAAAAAGCUUCUGUCGAUAACAAGAAGAGGGGUGGAGUAAGCGAAAGGCAAUGGAGAUAGGAGGAAGUAGCGCACAAGGGGGUGACAUAAGGCUUAACGAUUCCGUGACGCUGAGGGAGGUGAUCAGCGAAGCACGGGAAAAAGUCAUGUUCGACCGGAUGGAGCGAAUGGAAAAGCAGAUGGAAACCUUGACAACCAUCCUGCAUGAGCUGUGGAACGAGCGAAGGGUAACCCAAGAGGGAAGGGUGAGAGGCGGUGGAGCGACACCAGGUACCGAUAGUGCGGAGAGAAGUCAAACCGCUGGGAGAUUUGACGGUGAGAGAGGUAACGUACCUCUGCGGGGAGAAUUUCAUAGAGAAAGAGAGCAGUCCCCGGUAAGACAGACUUGUGACGAGGGCGACGGGGUGGUGAACGCAGAGGAAACAGAACUGAGGCAACACUUACAUGAUGUAGAGCGAGAGCGGGAUCAAGCUGCAGCGCGCGACCCUGGUCGCGCAGGACAGCUGGAGGAGGAAGUGCGAAGGCUAGCGCAAAUAAUUGAUGACAUGCAAGGGAGGAACAGAGCCCCUGGUUGGAGGAUAAUGCUGGACGGGGAAUCACCGCUCGCAGUAGAGAUCAUGAGGGCAGUUAUUCCAAGAGAUUUCCGCCUCCCCGACCUCAGAUACUCGGGAAGAACUGACCCGCUGGUGCACAUAGAGCGCUUCAACGACAUAACGGGGGUCCAGGGAUUAUCUCCAUCCCAAAGGUGCAGGGUGUUCCCACUAUCCCUUGAGGGACGUGCACGAGAAUGGUACAGGAAACUUCCUCGGGGCAGCAUAAAAACCUUCGAGCAGAUGUGCCAGGAAUUCGCAGAGCAGUUUAGUGGGGCAAUGUCACCGGAAGAUGACGUGAUGGAGCUGAAGAGCAUGAAACAGGGGGAGCAAGAAACCCUUCGGGAAUUCAUCAAGAGGUUUCAUCGGGCUGUCCUCGACUUGGAAGCCUUCAACCACCCUCAGGCGUUAAGGGGACUGAAAGAAGGGGUGAAGAUAGGAAGGCUGUGGUACAAUUUGAGAAGCCCAGCUAUUCAAACGUAUGCAGCCGCAUACGAACAGGCUAAAAGAGACAUCGAGAUUGAGGAGGAGAAGGCUGCACGGAUCAAGACAGACCAGUUGGAAGGGUUAGGGAGGAAAGAGAAGAAAGCAUUACCAACUAAUGGACCGAACAGGUGGAGGGACCACCAGAUCUCCGGUAGUGGAGCAGGAGGUAGGGUAAUUGCUUACCAGCCUCAUCAGAGGCCGCCACAGUAUCAGCGCAGCAGGGCGCCACCUCCUUGCUCCCCAGCUAGGGAGCCUUGGAGAAGACAUGAUUCGGCAUCCGGCGAUCUUCAUCAACAUUCCCACGGUAGCAGGACGAGCAGACCAGAAGCACUCCCACCGCCCCCAACUCACAGUGGGGCAAACAGAGAAAGAGCAGUGCAUCUGGUCGACCAGAACCAGGACUGUGGGCGGUACACUCCCUUGAAGAUGCCCCUGGAUGAGGUGUACGAGGCCAUAAAGGGUCGAGGGCUGCUGCACCUCCCUACACCAAUAACAAAGCUACCCAACAGGAGGGAUAGAGGACGUUAUUGUAAGUUCCAUGGCACCCAUGGCCAUACCACAGCAGAGUGUAGAGAUCUCAAGACCCAGGUCGAAGAUUUGGUGAGAAAUCGGUACCUGGACGAGUUUAUGGAUGGGACUUUCCCGAUGGUGGCCACCACGGAUGAAGGGGAGCAGAGUGAUGGAAUCUUGAGACGCGAGCCGCCCGCAGCGAGGGUGAUAGCUGGGGGCCCAACGUUGGCCGGAGAUUCGAACAGAUCGAGAAAAAAUUAUGCCAGAUGUUGAUGCGAGAUUCCGGUUCUCCUCGUUCUACGAUCAGGAUCUCUGCUCGAUCAACUUCGUCACGACCAGGAGGUCUCCUCGCCAGGCUUCUUCCCCGGAGGUCCCUGCGUACACAGAUAAGUCAGAGUACGCCGGUUGUUUUCCCGGCGCAAACCCUCCGACGCUCAAGUCAGAUAUGAAGGUUUGGGAAAAGCUUGCCACAGGUCUUAUGGCGUUUCUUGUGGUUUUCUCCCCUUUUCUCAAGAAUGCCAACCUUUUUACCUUCGUUGGCUACCUUUUUAUAGGCUUCCUCUGAAUCUCAGUCUUCCGCUCUUUUCGAGGCGGUAUGGGACUCCAACUGCUGCGUUAUGGGCAAAACAUGGGAUCUAGCGUGUUACGCCACGGUUCAGGGGAAAGCGUGGCUGCCAUGGCUCUGUGGGACCUUGCGUGUUACGCCACGGUUCUGGGGAAGGUGUGGCUGUCAUGGCUCUGUGAGAUCUUGCGUGUUACGCCACGGUUCUGGGGAAAGUGUGGCUGUCAUGGCUCUGUGAGAUCUUGCGUGUUACGUCGCGGUUCUGGGGAAAGCGUGGCUGUUGUGCCUAGAUUCUCGUGCUGGAGAGCACGUCUUGCCAACUGCCGUCGACCGGGUCUCCUCGCCUCUCGAUCUCUAGCCGGAAUGGCCUUAUGCCUUUUAUAGGAAUUGGCCUCGCGGACGACAACAUCGUGGACGAGCAGGAUGUUUCUGCUCCUGUUCUUCCACGCGCCAGGCUUUAACGGAACACACCGAUUCGCAGAACUCCGCCGUCAGAUAUCUGCUCGUCAUUCCUGGUCCCUUCGACGCAUUUGCCCCAAACAGUAUCCCUCCCAAACACCGGUCCCCCAGUUUCUGGUGUUGGGUAGUGUAGUGGACCAGCAGUAGAAACUCGAUAGUACUCGCUCACGUGGGUUUGGAAAAGGCUGCCAGGAGUCAUGUCGCAUUUAAUUGCGGACGAGGUGACGUGGCAGAAAUCCCCCCCUCCAUUUGAAUUUCAAACCGACGGUUACGGGAUUCUCGGAAUAUGCGUCAUUAAAUGCUGGCAGCCCAAGAGUUUGCUUCUCAGUAAGGAAACCCAAAAUCUUCAAACACGAACUCGUCAUUUUCUCCAUUCUUGUCUCUCCGGCGAAUGAACCUCGGCGUCAAAGCUGUCAUCCCUGUCUCUCUCUGACCGAGUCCCUGCUUCAGGUAUUUCUUCUAUUUUUUUUUCGGUAUUGGUUAGUUGUAGGUAAUUUCCUUUCUCUCUGCGUUGCUUGAGGUUGUAGUUGGCGGUGGUGUUUUGGUUAGAACUUAAGAUAUGUCGAAAGGGUAAGGAGAAGGUCGUUGAGGUUGGUGACGACGAACUAGGUUUUUUGCCUAGUCUGCCCGCUGAUUUUGCUUUUGAUCCCGGGNNNNNNNNNNNNNNNNNNNNNNNNNNNNNNNNNNNNNNNNNNNNNNNNNNNNNNNNNNNNNNNNNNNNNNNNNNNNNNNNNNNNNNNNNNNNNNNNNNNNNNNNNNNNNNNNNNNNNNNNNNNNNNNNNNNNNNNNNNNNNNNNNNNNNNNNNNNNNNNNNNNNNNNNNNNNNNNNNNNNNNNNNNNNNNNNNNNNNNNNNNNNNNNNNNNNNNNNNNNNNNNNNNNNNNNNNNNNNNNNNNNNNNNNNNNNNNNNNNNNNNNNNNNNNNNNNNNNNNNNNNNNNNNNNNNNNNNNNNNNNNNNNNNNNNNNNNNNNNNNNNNNNNNNNNNNNNNNNNNNNNNNNNNNNNNNNNNNNNNNNNNNNNNNNNNNNNNNNNNNNNNNNNNNNNNNNNNNNNNNNNNNNNNNNNNNNNNNNNNNNNNNNNNNNNNNNNNNNNNNNNNNNNNNNNNNNNNNNNNNNNNNNNNNNNNNNNNNNNNNNNNNNNNNNNNNNNNNNNNNNNNNNNNNNNNNNNNNNNNNNNNNNNNNNNNNNNNNNNNNNNNNNNNNNNNNNNNNNNNNNNNNNNNNNNNNNNNNNNNNNNNNNNNNNNNNNNNNNNNNNNNNNNNNNNNNNNNNNNNNNNNNNNNNNNNNNNNNNNNNNNNNNNNNNNNNNNNNNNNNNNNNNNNNNNNNNNNNNNNNNNNNNNNNNNNNNNNNNNNNNNNNNNNNNNNNNNNNNNNNNNNNNNNNNNNNNNNNNNNNNNNNNNNNNNNNNNNNNNNNNNNNNNNNNNNNNNNNNNNNNNNNNNNNNNNNNNNNNNNNNNNNNNNNNNNNNNNNNNNNNNNNNNNNNNNNNNNNNNNNNNNNNNNNNNNNNNNNNNNNNNNNNNNNNNNNNNNNNNNNNNNNNNNNNNNNNNNNNNNNNNNNNNNNNNNNNNNNNNNNNNNNNNNNNNNNNNNNNNNNNNNNNNNNNNNNNNNNNNNNNNNNNNNNNNNNNNNNNNNNNNNNNNNNNNNNNNNNNNNNNNNNNNNNNNNNNNNNNNNNNNNNNNNNNNNNNNNNNNNNNNNNNNNNNNNNNNNNNNNNNNNNNNNNNNNNNNNNNNNNNNNNNNNNNNNNNNNNNNNNNNNNNNNNNNNNNNNNNNNNNNNNNNNNNNNNNNNNNNNNNNNNNNNNNNNNNNNNNNNNNNNNNNNNNNNNNNNNNNNNNNNNNNNNNNNNNNNNNNNNNNNNNNNNNNNNNNNNNNNNNNNNNNNNNNNNNNNNNNNNNNNNNNNNNNNNNNNNNNNNNNNNNNNNNNNNNNNNNNNNNNNNNNNNNNNNNNNNNNNNNNNNNNNNNNNNNNNNNNNNNNNNNNNNNNNNNNNNNNNNNNNNNNNNNNNNNNNNNNNNNNNNNNNNNNNNNNNNNNNNNNNNNNNNNNNNNNNNNNNNNNNNNNNNNNNNNNNNNNNNNNNNNNNNNNNNNNNNNNNNNNNNNNNNNNNNNNNNNNNNNNNNNNNNNNNNNNNNNNNNNNNNNNNNNNNNNNNNNNNNNNNNNNNNNNNNNNNNNNNNNNNNNNNNNNNNNNNNNNNNNNNNNNNNNNNNNNNNNNNNNNNNNNNNNNNNNNNNNNNNNNNNNNNNNNNNNNNNNNNNNNNNNNNNNNNNNNNNNNNNNNNNNNNNNNNNNNNNNNNNNNNNNNNNNNNNNNNNNNNNNNNNNNNNNNNNNNNNNNNNNNNNNNNNNNNNNNNNNNNNNNNNNNNNNNNNNNNNNNNNNNNNNNNNNNNNNNNNNNNNNNNNNNNNNNNNNNNNNNNNNNNNNNNNNNNNNNNNNNNNNNNNNNNNNNNNNNNNNNNNNNNNNNNNNNNNNNNNNNNNNNNNNNNNNNNNNNNNNNNNNNNNNNNNNNNNNNNNNNNNNNNNNNNNNNNNNNNNNNNNNNNNNNNNNNNNNNNNNNNNNNNNNNNNNNNNNNNNNNNNNNNNNNNNNNNNNNNNNNNNNNNNNNNNNNNNNNNNNNNNNNNNNNNNNGGAAACGCUUUGGGCCUCCAACAACCGAUAGGGACCAAGACAAAGAUGCUCCCGCUGCGAAGCGAAAGAACAUCGUGCAGCAGGUUCCUCCUUGGCAGGCUCUCCCUCCUGCUUCUGCUAAAGUCGGGAAUCCCAGUAGAGCAGCCACUGAUCCUGCUUUCUCUUCUCCACCUGUUGUGCCUCGGUCUCGCUUUCCCGACAGCCGACCAGAACACUUGGUCCCCUAUCUCAAUGAGUUGUCUAAACUCGUGAGCAAGAAGGACCUGAAGGGCUUUGACGGUUGUACCCUGGGCGAGCUGGUGGGAGCCAUGCAGUAUAGUGCUUUCCAUCUCAGCUGCAUGGCCACCUACUAUAAGGCCAAGGUUGGCCGUUAUGACAGGAAGAUGAAGGAGGACAUUCAAUCGGCGACGACCAGAGCUGACGUUGCCGAGAAAAAAGCGGGGGAGCUAAACGUUGAGAACCUCAAGCUGAUAGAGCAAGAGUCCCUUGCUCAAGCAAAAGCCAUUACCCUCGAGGAGGAGCUGACCAAGGUUAAGGAGGAUCUCCAAGGGCAGAGGGCUAUGUAUGAGGCUCAGCUCGAAUCUCUCCGCGAUUCCCACCGAGCUCAUGUAGAGAACUUGGAGAGGGAGGCUGACAACCAGUACGACCAGGGACUUCGGCAUUCCUAUCGUUGUAUCAUGGCCGUCCUCGGGAAGCAACACCCUGAUCUGAAGAUGGAUGACCUUGCAGCUGGUGUUGCUCAACACAUGGACGAGGAGGCGGCCAAGGAAGAUGCCGAAGGGGUAGAGCCGAUCGUGAUUGAGGAGGGAGACUCUCCUCCUCGUGCAGUCCCUGCUGAUGUUGGCGAGGUGAGCGCCCCUCUGGAUGCGACUGGUGAUACUCCUCCUGCACCUGAGGAGGUCCAGCCAACCGACGCUGCUGGGCUUACUGAUCCACGACCUUCCUGAUAUGUUUCUUGUAUUGUAAUGAACAAUGUUUGUGAAGAUUAUCUGCUUUGUUAAUUAUUAAUAAAUUAGUAGAAAUGUUUUUGAUUACUCUCUUGUGUGGUAAUUACGAGAGCCUGCUCGUCCUCGUCUGGUCGAACUGGCUAUGGCUUGGUAUAUGGUUUCGCCACCUGCCUUAGAAAAUUUUCCGAUGUUCGGGAUUCUGCUCGCCUUUACGCGGUCGAGCAGAUCUCGCCAUGCUUGGCUUCUGUCUCGCCAUAAGACAGGCUCUGAGACUUGGCGAGCCUUUGCAUGCCCUAGGAUUUUCUUCAAACGAUUUGGAUUCUGCUGCCUUCUCGUGGCCGAGCAGAUCCUGGCAUGCUUGGCUUCUGUCUCGCCAUAAGACAGGCUCUGAGACUUGGCGAGCCUUUGCAUGCCUCAGGAUUUUCUUCAAACGAUUUGGAUUCUGCUGCCUUCUCGUGGCCGAGCAGAUCCUGGCAUGCUUGGCUUCUGUCUCGCCAUAAGACAGGCUCUGAGACUUGGCGAGCCUUUGCAUGCCUCAGGAUUUUCUUCAAACGAUUUGGAUUCUGCUGCCUUCUCGUGGCCGAACAAAUCCUGGCAUGCUUGGCUUUCUGUCUCGCCAUAAAACAGGUUCUGAGACUUGGCGAGCCUUUGCAUGGCUCAAGAUUUUCUUCAAACGAUUUGGAUUCUGCUGCCUUCUCGUGGCCGAGCAGAUCCUGGCACGCUUGGCUUCUGUCUCGCCAUAAGACAGGCUCUGAGACUUGGCGAGCCUUUGCAUGCCUCAGGAUUUUCUUCAAACGAUUUGGAUUCUGCUGCCUUCUCGUGGCCGAGCAGAUCCUGGCAUGCUUGGCUUCUGUCUCGCCAUAAGACAGGCUCUGAGACUUGGCGAGCCUUUGCAUGCCUCAGGAUUUUUUUUCGGUUUCAAGCGAAUAAAAUUCGUCGACGUUACAUUAAUGGCAGGAUUUGACUUACAUGAAAUUGUUCGGACAUAAAACAUAAAAAUAAAAGAUAGACAGCAUGAGCAGAAAUUGCUUUAAAAUGUGAGCAAGUCUUACUGGAAGUAUUUUCGGAGGUGUGCUGCGUUCCAUGGGCGUUUCACUUCGUGGCCGUCCGCGCGAACCAGCUUGUAAGCUCCGGGCCCCGCUAUCUGCUUGACUCUAUACGGCCCUUCCCAAUUCGGUCCCAGCACUCCUUGAGUCGAAUCUUUGGUGCUCUGAUUCACUCUUCUCAGUACCCAGUCUCCGACCCUGAAUUGCCGUAUGUUCACCUUCUGGUUAUAAUACCGAGCAACCCUCUGUUGGUAAGUGACUGAUCGCUCGGCUGCUUGUUCCCUCCUCUCCAUUAGCAGAUCAAGAUUCAAACAUAUCUGCUCGUCGUUCUCCUGCUCAUUGAAAUGAUCUGUCCGGUGUGUGGUCGUUCCUACCUCAGCCGGCACGACCGCUUCAUGUCCGAAAGCCAAAGCGAACGGUGUCUCCCCCGUUGCGGUUUUGUGGGUUGUUCUGUAUGCCCAUAGCACACCUGACAGCUCGUCAACCCACGCACCUUUUUUUGCUCCGAGCCUGGUUUUCAGAAGCCUCUUGACUGUCUUGUUGGCUGCUUCUACUUGUCCAUUCGAUUGAGGGUGAGCAGGCGAGCAAUACUUCAGCUCUAUCCCGAGGUUCUGGCAGAAAUCCCUGAAGCUGUGAUUAUCGAACUGCCUGCCAUUAUCCGUUACCAAGGCAUAUGGGAUCCCGUAUCGACAGACCAGGUUUCUCCACACGAAGUCUGUUGUUUUCUUCUCUGUGAUCCUGCUAAGGGCUUCUACCUCUAUCCACUUCGUGAAGUAAUCUAUAGCGACUAUCGCAUGUGUUGCUGCUCCUCGUCCCUUUGGCAAUGGGCCGAUCAGAUCAAUUCCCCAUUGAGCGAAUGGCCAAGGGGAGGCCAUGGAGGUGAGCUUCUCUGGUGGUUGGUUAGAGAAAUUCGCAAAACUCUGGCAGCUUGCACGGCUCCUGAUCUUCCUUUGCGCAUCCUGGUGCAUCGUCGGCCAGAAAUAUCCCUGCCUUAGAACCUUGUGGGCCAGGGACCUCCCGCCAGAAUGAUUUCCGCAAAUUCCUUCAUGUACUUCCCUCAGCACGUAAUCCGCGUCGUCAUCGUCCAAACACCGAAGGAACGGUAAUGUAUAUCCUCGUCGAUACAGUACCCCAUCGAUCAUCGUGUAUCUCGAGGCCUGAGCUCUAAUCUUCCGAGCCCGUAGCUUGUCCGGUGGUAAGACCCCGUCUCUAAGGUAUGAAACUAUCGGGUCCCUCCACGAGCUUUUUUGUUCUAUCCGCAACACCCCCAAAUUUUGCUCGAUACUCGGGCGAGACUUCACUUCUAGGGGGACCGACUUUGGCAUUUUUGGGUCGGCUACGGCUGCCAUCCUAGCCAAAAUGUCUGCUCGACUAUUCUGCUCCCUGGGGAUUUGUAUCACCUCCACUGCUUCGAACUUCCCCAUCAUCUGCCUGACUAUCCUUAGGUACUGUUCCAUCUUCUCCUCUCUUGGUUGGAAUCUUUCACUGACAUGAUUCGCAACCAGCUGGGAAUCGGUUCUGAUCUUAACUCUGUCCGCUUUCACGGCCCUAGCCAAUUCCAGCCCUGCUAUCAAGGCUUCAUAUUCUGCCUGGUUAUUUGUGGCUGCAAAUUCCAACUUUACAGCAUAAGAGAUCUCCUCCCCCUCUGGGCCUUCCAGGACAAUCCCUGCUCCUGAACCCCGCUCUCCUGAUGACCCAUCCACAGAUAUCUGCCAUACUUGAGUUUCGUCGUUGCCUAUAUCUGCAUCUUGCUGAUCCAAGCAUACUUCGGGCUCCGCGAACUCAGCUACGAAAUCGGCCAUUGCCUGGGCCUUUAUCGCCGCGCGGGGUUUAUAGUCUAUGUCGAAUUCGCUCAGCUCUACAGUCCAUUUGACGAGCCGACCAGAAGCAUCCGGCUUGUGCAGAAUUUGACGCAAUGGCUGGUUGGUUAUUACCGAGACCGGGAAUGCUUGAAAGUACGGCCUCAACUUCCGAGCAGCAACCACAAGGGCCAGUGCCCAUUUCUCCAUCGUUGGGUAUCUGGUCUCAGCGUCGAGCAGGGCCUUGCUGGUGUAGUAUAUCGGAUACUGAAUUCCUUCUUCCUCUCUCACCAGAACGGAACUGGCGGCCCGAUCAGAUACCGCCAAAUACAGAUUCAACUUGUCCCCAUCCCUCGGUGUGGACAGUAGCGGAGCUUGCUGCAAGUAAUGCUUCAAGUUCCGGAAGGCUUCCUCGCAUUCUGGGGUCCAUUCCGUUUUCUUUCCCCUCCUUAUCACUUGAAAGAAUGGCUGACACUUAUCUGUAGCCUUGGAUAUGAAUCUGCUCAACGCCGCCAGCCUCCCCGUGAGGCUCUGCAUCUCCUUCAGGUUUCGAGGAGACGUCAUUUGCACAAUCGCCUGGAUCUUCUCGGGAUUUGCUUCAAUCCCCCUAUGGCUCACCAUGAAUCCCAGGAAUUUCCCUGACUCGACCCCGAAAGCACACUUCUCCGGGUUGAGCUUCAUCUUAUACUUCCUCAAAAGCUCGAACGUCUCCUCGAGAUGUCUGACAUGUUCCUUCGGGACUUUGGACUUGGUGAUCAUGUCGUCCACGUACACCUCCAUGGUUUUCCCGAUCAAGGGCUUAAAGACUUUAUUCACCAGCCUUUGAUAGGUGGCCCCAGCAUUCUUGAGACCGAAUGGCAUCACCCUGUAACAGAACAGACCUUGGUUAGUGAUGAAAGCCGUGCUCUCCUCAUCCGGCUCGUACAUGGGGAUCUGGUUGUAUCCCGAGAAUGCGUCCAUGAAGCUAAGCAGACCAUGUCCAGCCGUUGAAUCUACUAGCUGAUCGAUCUUUGGUAAAGGGAAGCUGUCUUUUGGGCACGCCUUAUUGAGGUCUGUGAAAUCCACACACAUCCUCCACUUGCCGUUCGCCUUCUUUACCAACACCACAUUUGAUAUCCACUCUGGGUAAUUGACUUCCCGAAUGAACCCUGCUCUCAGAAGCUUCUCCACCUCAUCAUUUACAGCCUCAUACCUCUCCUGGUUGAAGCACCUCCUCUUCUGCCUUACUGCCCGAGCACCUUUCUUUAUUGCCAGCCUAUGACAUGCUACCUCUGGGUCAAUCCCUGGCAUGUCCUCAUGUGUCCAGGCAAACACGUCGGCAUGAGCCUGUAAGCAUUUCACCAACUCCUGCUUUUGCUCUCCCUCAAGUCUCGACCCGAUUCUGAUCGUCUUUCCCGGGUUCUCUGGUCCCAUGCUUACUGUUUCCAGAUCCUCUACGGGUUCUUGUCUGCCAGUCUUGUUUUCCACUCGGGUAUCGAGGGAUGUUAUCUGCAUCGCCUCCCUUGCUGCCGAGGAGUAGCAGCUUCUUGCGAUCCUCUGGUCUCCUCGUACCACUCCGACUACCCCAUUCACCCGGUACUUCAGAGACAGAUAAUGGUUGGACAGCACCGCUUUGCUCAUCCUUAAAAAUGGCCGACCUAGGAUCAUCUGGUAAGGACCUUCCUCGUCCACUACGACGAAGUCCAGUAUCAUUGUUCUUUCUGUCGAGGGGCUCCCGAUUGUGAUAGGCAGUUCGACCACGCCCAGAGGGACCAGCUUCCCUCCUCCGAACCCCUUCAAGGAGGUGUUGGUGUAUUCCAACUUCCGGUCGGCUAUUCCCAUCUCUUCCAAAGUUGAUUUAAAUAGCACAUCAACUGAGCUCCCCGUAUCAACCAGUAUCCGGUCAAACUUCUUGCUAGCGAUCGUAGCCUUGAUGACUAAAGCGUCCUCGUGGGGGUAUAGAAUCCCUUCCUCAUCCUUAUCCGUCCACAUGAUUGGCACUUGCCUGACCCUUGCUCGUUUGGCUGCUGGGGUGUUGAAGAGUAUCUCUUUACUGGUCAUGGCGUAUCUGGUGUUUGGGAGGGAUACUGUUUGGGGCAAAUGCGUCGAAGGGACCAGGAAUGACGAGCAGAUAUCUGACGGCAGAGUUCUGCGAACCGGUGUGUUCCGUUAAAGCCUGGCGCGUGGAAGAACAGGAGCAGAAACAUCCUGCUCGUCCACGAUGUUGUCGUCCGCGAGGCCAAUUCCUAUAAAAGGCAUAAGGCCAUUCCGGCUAGAGAUCGAGAGGCGAGGAGACCCGGUCGACGGCAGUUGGCAAGACGUGCUCUCCAGCACGAGAAUCUAGGCACAACAGCCACGCUUUCCCCAGAACCGCGACGUAACACGCAAGAUCUCACAGAGCCAUGACAGCCACACUUUCCCCAGAACCGUGGCGUAACACGCAAGAUCUCACAGAGCCAUGACAGCCACACCUUCCCCAGAACCGUGGCGUAACACGCAAGGUCCCACAGAGCCAUGGCAGCCACGCUUUCCCCUGAACCGUGGCGUAACACGCUAGAUCCCAUGUUUUGCCCAUAACGCAGCAGUUGGAGUCCCAUACCUUCUCGAAAAGAGCGGAAGACUGAGAUUCAGAGGAAGCCUAUAAAAAGGUAGCCAACGAAGGUAAAAAGGUUGGCAUUCUUGAGAAAAGGGGAGAAAACCACAAGAAACGCCAUAAGACCUGUGGCAAGCUUUUCCCGAACCUUCAUAUCUGACUUGAGCGUCGGAGGGUUUGCGCCGGGAAAACAACCAGCGUACUCUGACUUAUCUGUGUACGCAGGGACCUCCGGGGAAGAAGCCUGGCGAGGAGACCUCCUGGUCGUGACGAAGUUGAUCGAGCAGAGAUCCUGAUCGUAGAACGAGGAGAACCGGAAUCUCGCAUCAACAUUUUGGCGCCGUCUGUGGGGAUCCAGAGCAAAAAGCUUCUGUCGAUAGCAAGAAGAGGGGUGGAGUAAGCGAAAGGCAAUGGAGAUAGGAGGAAGUAGCGCACAAGGGGGUGACAUAAGGCUUAACGAUUCCGUGACGCUGAGGGAGGUGAUCAGCGAAGCACGGGAAAAAGUCAUGUUCGACCGGAUGGAGCGAAUGGAAAAGCAGAUGGAAACCUUGACAACCAUCCUGCAUGAGCUGCGGAACGAGCGAAGGGUAACCCAAGAGGGAAGGGUGAGAGGCGGUGGAGCGGCACCAGGUACCGAUAGUGCGGAGAGAAGUCAAACCGCUGGGAGAUUUGGCGGUGAGAGAGGUAACGUACCUCUGCGGGGAGAAUUUCAUAGAGAAAGAGAGCAGUCCCCGGUAAGACAGACUUGUGACGGGGGCGACGGGGUGGUGAACGCAGAGGAAACAGAACUGAGGCAACACUUACAUGAUGUAGAGCGAGAGCGGGAUCAAGCUGCAGCGCGCGACCCUGGUCGCGCAGGACAGCUGGAGGAGGAAGUGCGAAGGCUAGCGCAAAUAAUUGAUGACAUGCAAGGGAGGAACAGAGCCCCUGGUUGGAGGAUAAUGCUGGACGGGGAAUCACCGCUCGCAGUAGAGAUCAUGAGGGCAGUUAUUCCAAGAGAUUUCCGCCUCCCCGACCUCAGAUACUCGGGAAGAACUGACCCGCUGGUGCACAUAGAGCGCUUCAACGACAUAACGGGGGUCCAGGGAUUAUCUCCAUCCCAAAGGUGCAGGGUGUUCCCACUAUCCCUUGAGGGACGUGCACGAGAAUGGUACAGGAAACUUCCUCGGGGCAGCAUAAAAACCUUCGAGCAGAUGUGCCAGGAAUUCGCAGAGCAGUUUAGUGGGGCAAUGUCGCCGGAAGAUGACAUGAUGGAGCUGAAGAGCAUGAAACAGGGGGAGCAAGAAACCCUUCGGGAAUUCAUCAAGAGGUUUCAUCGGGCUGUCCUCGACUUGGGAGCCUUCAACCACCCUCAGGCGUUAAGGGGACUGAAAGAAGGGGUGAAGAUAGGAAGGCUGUGGUACAAUUUGAGAAGCCCAGCUGUUCAAACGUAUGCAGCCGCAUACGAACAGGCUAAAAGAGACAUCGAGAUUGAGGAGGAGAAGGCUGCACGGAUCAAGACAGACCAGUUGGAAGGGUUAGGGAGGAAAGAGAAGAAAGCAUUACCAACUAAUGGACCGAACAGGAGGAGGGACCACCAGAUCUCCGGUAGUGGAGCAGGAGGUAGGGUAAUUGCUUACCAGCCUCAUCAGAGGCCGCCACAGUAUCAGCGCAGCAGGGCGCCACCUCCUCGCUCCCCAGCUAGGGAGCCUUGGAGAAGACAUGAUUCGGCAUCCGGCGAUCUUCAUCAACAUUCCCACGGUAGCAGGACGAGCAGACCAGAAGCACUCCCACCGCCCCCAACUCACAGUGGGGCAAACAGAGAAAGAGCAGUGCAUCUGGUCGACCAGAACCAGGACUGUGGGCGGUACACUCCCUUGAAGAUGCCCCUGGAUGAGGUGUACGAGGCCAUAAAGGGUCGAGGGCUGCUGCACCUCCCUACACCAAUAACAAAGCUACCCAACAUGAGGGAUAGAGGACGUUAUUGUAAGUUCCAUGGCACCCAUGGCCAUACCACAGCAGAGUGUAGAGAUCUCAAGACCCAGGUCGAAGAUUUGGUGAGAAAUCGGUACCUGGACGAGUUUAUGGAUGGGACUUUCCCGAUGGUGGCCACCACGGAUGAAGGGGAGCAGAGUGAUGGAAUCUUGAGACGCGAGCCGCCCGCAGCGAGGGUGAUAGCUGGGGGCCCAACGUUGGCCGGAGAUUCGAACAGAUCGAGAAAAAAUUAUGCCAGAUACGCCAUGACCAGUAAAGAGAUACUCUUCAACACCCCAGCAGCCAAACGAGCAAGGGUCAGGCAAGUGCCAAUCAUGUGGACGGAUGAGGAUGAGGAAGGGAUUCUAUACCCCCACGAGGACGCUUUAGUCAUCAAGGCUACGAUCGCUAGCAAGAAGUUUGACCGGAUACUGGUUGAUACGGGGAGCUCAGUUGAUGUGCUAUUUAAAUCAACUUUGGAAGAGAUGGGAAUAGCCGACCGGAAGUUGGAAUACACCAACACCUCCUUGAAGGGGUUCGGAGGAGGGAAGCUGGUCCCUCUGGGCGUGGUCGAACUGCCUAUCACAAUCGGGAGCCCCCCGACAGAAAGAACAAUGAUACUGGACUUCGUCGUAGUGGACGAGGAAGGUCCUUACCAGAUGAUCCUAGGUCGGCCAUUUUUAAGGAUGAGCAAAGCGGUGCUGUCCAACCAUUAUCUGUCUCUGAAGUACCGGGUGAAUGGGGUAGUCGGAGUGGUACGAGGAGACCAGAGGAUCGCAAGAAGCUGCUACUCCUCGGCAGCAAGGGAGGCGAUGCAGAUAACAUCCCUCGAUACCCGAGUGGAAAACAAGACUGGCAGACAAGAACCCGUAGAGGAUCUGGAAACAGUAAGCAUGGGACCGGAGAACCCGGGAAAGACGAUCAGAAUCGGGUCGAGACUUGAGGGAGAGCAAAAGCAGGAGUUGGUGAAAUGCUUACAGGCUCAUGCCGACGUGUUUGCCUGGACACAUGAGGACAUGCCAGGGAUUGACCCAGAGGUAGCAUGUCAUAGGCUGGCAAUAAAGAAAGGUGCUCGGGCAGUAAGGCAGAAGAGGAGGUGCUUCAAUCAGGAGAGGUAUGAGGCUGUAAAUGAUGAGGUGGAGAAGCUUCUGAGAGCAGGGUUCAUUCGGGAAGUCAAUUACCCAGAGUGGAUAUCAAAUGUGGUGUUGGUAAAGAAGGCGAACGGCAAGUGGAGGAUGUGUGUGGAUUUCACAGACCUCAAUAAGGCGUGCCCAAAAGACAGCUUCCCUUUACCAAAGAUCGAUCAGCUAGUAGAUUCAACGGCUGGACAUGGUCUGCUUAGCUUCAUGGACGCAUUCUCGGGAUACAACCAGAUCCCCAUGUACGAGCCGGAUGAGGAGAGCACGGCUUUCAUCACUAACCAAGGUCUGUUCUGUUACAGGGUGAUGCCAUUCGGUCUCAAGAAUGCUGGGGCCACCUAUCAAAGGCUGGUGAAUAAAGUCUUUAAGCCCUUGAUCGGGAAAACCAUGGAGGUGUACGUGGACGACAUGAUCACCAAGUCCAAAGUCCCGAAGGAACAUGUCAGACAUCUCGAGGAGACGUUCGAGCUUUUGAGGAAGUAUAAGAUGAAGCUCAACCCGGAGAAGUGUGCUUUCGGGGUCGAGUCAGGGAAAUUCCUGGGAUUCAUGGUGAGCCAUAGGGGGAUUGAAGCAAAUCCCGAGAAGAUCCAGGCAAUUGUGCAAAUGACGUCUCCUCGAAACCUGAAGGAGAUGCAGAGCCUCACGGGGAGGUUGGCGGCGUUGAGCAGAUUCAUAUCCAAGGCUACAGAUAAGUGUCAGCCAUUCUUUCAAGUGAUAAGGAGGGGAAAGAAAACGGAAUGGACCCCAGAAUGCGAGGAAGCCUUCCGGAACUUGAAGCAUUACUUGCAGCAAGCUCCGCUACUGUCCACACCGAGGGAUGGGGACAAGUUGAAUCUGUAUUUGGCGGUAUCUGAUCGGGCCGCCAGUUCCGUUCUGGUGAGAGAGGAAGAAGGAAUUCAGUAUCCGAUAUACUACACCAGCAAGGCCCUGCUCGACGCUGAGACCAGAUACCCAACGAUGGAGAAAUGGGCACUGGCCCUUGUGGUUGCUGCUCGGAAGUUGAGGCCGUACUUUCAAGCAUUCCCGGUCUCGGUAAUAACCAACCAGCCAUUGCGUCAAAUUCUGCACAAGCCGGAUGCUUCUGGUCGGCUCGUCAAAUGGACUGUAGAGCUGAGCGAAUUCGACAUAGACUAUAAACCCCGCGCGGCGAUAAAGGCCCAGGCAAUGGCCGAUUUCGUAGCUGAGUUCGCGGAGCCUGAAGUAUGCUUGGAUCAGCAAGAUGCAGAUAUAGGCAACGACGAAACUCAAGUAUGGCAGAUAUCUGUGGAUGGGUCAUCAGGAGAGCGGGGUUCAGGAGCAGGGAUUGUCCUGGAAGGCCCAGAGGGGGAGGAGAUCUCUUAUGCUGUAAAGUUGGAAUUUGCAGCCACAAAUAACCAGGCAGAAUAUGAAGCCUUGAUAGCAGGGCUGGAAUUGGCUAGGGCCGUGAAAGCGGACAGAGUUAAGAUCAGAACCGAUUCCCAGCUGGUUGCGAAUCAUGUCAGUGAAAGAUUCCAACCAAGAGAGGAGAAGAUGGAACAGUACCUAAGGAUAGUCAGGCAGAUGAUGGGGAAGUUCGAAGCAGUGGAGGUGAUACAAAUCCCCAGGGAGCAGAAUAGUCGAGCAGACAUUUUGGCUAGGAUGGCAGCCGUAGCCGACCCAAAAAUGCCAAAGUCGGUCCCCCUAGAAGUGAAGUCUCGCCCGAGUAUCGAGCAAAAUUUGGGGGUGUUGCGGAUAGAACAAAAAAGCUCGUGGAGGGACCCGAUAGUUUCAUACCUUAGAGACGGGGUCUUACCACCGGACAAGCUACGGGCUCGGAAGAUUAGAGCUCAGGCCUCGAGAUACACGAUGAUCGAUGGGGUACUGUAUCGACGAGGAUAUACAUUACCGUUCCUUCGGUGUUUGGACGAUGACGACGCGGAUUACGUGCUGAGGGAAGUACAUGAAGGAAUUUGCGGAAAUCAUUCUGGCGGGAGGUCCCUGGCCCACAAGGUUCUAAGGUAGGGAUAUUUCUGGCCGACGAUGCACCAGGAUGCGCAAAGGAAGAUCAGGAGCCGUGCAAGCUGCCAGAGUUUUGCCAAUUUCUCUAACCAACCACCAGAGAAGCUCACCUCCAUGGCCUCCCCUUGGCCAUUCGCUCAAUGGGGAAUUGAUCUGAUCGGCCCAUUGCCAAAGGGGCGAGGAGCAGCAACACAUGCGAUAGUCGCUAUAGAUUACUUCACGAAGUGGAUAGAGGUAGAAGCCCUUAGCAGGAUCACAGAGAAGAAAACAACAGACUUCGUGUGGAGAAACCUGGUCUGUCGAUACGGGAUCCCAUAUGCCUUGGUAACGGAUAAUGGCAGGCAGUUCGAUAAUCACAGCUUCAGGGAUUUCUGCCAGAACCUCGGGAUAGAGCUGAAGUAUUGCUCGCCUGCUCACCCCCAAUCGAAUGGACAAGUAGAAGCAGCCAACAAGACAGUCAAGAGGCUUCUGAAAACCAGGCUCGGAGCAAAAAAGGGUGCGUGGGUUGACGAGCUGUCAGGUGUGCUAUGGGCAUACAGAACAACCCACAAAACCGCAACGGGGGAGACACCGUUCGCUUUGGCUUUCGGACAUGAAGCGGUCGUGCCGGCUGAGGUAGGAACGACCACACACCGGACAGAUCAUUUCAAUGAACAGGAGAACGAUGAGCAGAUAUGUUUGAAUCUUGAUCUGCUAAUGGAGAGGAGGGAACAAGCAGCCGAGCGAUCAGUCACUCACCAACAGAGGGUUGCUCGGUAUUAUAACCAGAAGGUGAACAUACGGCAAUUCAGGGUCGGAGACUGGGUACUGAGAAGAGUGAAUCAGAGCACCAAAGAUUCGACUCAAGGAGUGCUGGGACCGAAUUGGGAAGGGCCGUAUAGAGUCAAGCAGAUAGCGGGGCCCGGAGCUUACAAGCUGGUUCGCGCGGACGGCCACGAAGUGAAACGCCCAUGGAACGCAGCACACCUCCGAAAAUACUUCCAGUAAGACUUGCUCACAUUUUAAAGCAAUUUCUGCUCAUGCUGUCUAUCUUUUAUUUUUAUGUUUUAUGUCCGAACAAUUUCAUGUAAGUCAAAUCCUGCCAUUAAUGUAACGUCGACGAAUUUUAUUCGCUUGAAACCGAAAAAAAAUCCUGAGGCAUGCAAAGGCUCGCCAAGUCUCAGAGCCUGUCUUAUGGCGAGACAGAAGCCAAGCAUGCCAGGAUCUGCUCGGCCACGAGAAGGCAGCAGAAUCCAAAUCGUUUGAAGAAAUCCCUGAGGCAUGCAAAGGCUCGCCAAGUCUCAGAGCCUGUCUUAUGGCGAGACAGAAGCCAAGCAUGCCAGGAUCCUCUCCAAGUUCUCUACAUGAGCUCGGUGGGAAUCGCGGAGAGAUUCGAGCUGAGCCUCAUACAUAGCCCUCUGCCCUUGGAGAUCCUCCUUAACCUUGGUCAGCUCCUCCUCGAGGGUAAUGGCUUUUGCUUGAGCAAGGGACUCUUGCUCUAUCAGCUUGAGGUUCUCAACGUUUAGCUCCCCCGCUUUUUUCUCGGCAACGUCAGCUCUGGUCGUCGCCGAUUGAAUGUCCUCCUUCAUCUUCCUGUCGUAACGGCCAACCUUGGCCUUAUAGUAGGUGGCCAUGCAGCUGAGAUGGAAAGCACUAUACUGCAUGGCUCCCACCAGCUCGCCCAGGGUACAACCGUCAAAGCCCUUCAGGUCCUUCUUGCUCACGAGUUUAGACAACUCAUUGAGAUAGGGAACCAAGUGUUCUGGUCGGCUGUCGGGAAAGCGAGACCGAGGCACAACAGGUGGAGAAGAGGAAGCAGGAUCAGUGGCUGCUCUACUGGAUUCCCCGACUUUAGCAGAGGCAGGAGGGAGAGCCUGCAAGGGAGGAACCUGCUGCACGAUGUUCUUUCGCUUCGCAGCGGGAGCAUCUUUGUCCUGGUCCCUAUCGGUUGUUGGAGGCCGAGAGCGUUUCCUGGUCAGAGCUCCAAUCACUGCGUCCUCCAUCUUAUGGCCAGGAAGUAUCAACCGAGACUCGAGGAAGUUGUAUGUAGAUAGCAGUUCUCGGCUCGAGCAGGAAUUGGCCAAUACAGCCUCGACCCGUUUAAGCUGACCAGGUCGGAGCGGGAAGUGAACACCCCAGGAAACUACAGCACAAACAGACACUUGGUUAGAGACAAACCAAUACAGCAGGAACAAUUAUGGAUACAAGACAUCUAAAGCGAGCAGGCAACCUGGGACCGUGAAACGGGGUGGGACGCGACAAUCCUUCCCGUCUAUUUGUGCAACUUGACCCCAGGGACCCCCAGCAAAAAAGAAUUUCCUCUUCCAAGUCCCACCACCACCAGUUGGAAGAUUAGUUAUGGGUUUCCUGCUCUUGGUACCAGAUUGGAAGUAGUACCAGCCGGCAUCUUUAGGGCUGCUCUUCAGCUGGUACAGGUGCUUCACCUCAUCAACCGUGGGCUCGCUUUGGCAACAUCUGUCCCACAAUAUGAACAGACCAGAGAGCACUCUCCACCCGUUGGGGUUCAGCUGACCAGGAGCCAGAUUUAGCCCGUUAAGUAUCCGGGCAAAGUAAGGCUGCAAGGGACACCUCAGCCCAUACUUAAAGCUCUCCAGAUACAGGGUAACGUAUCCCCUGGGAGGCCGGCUAGGUGUAUCCUUCUUUCCUGGGAUCUUAAGAGGUAUCUCACCAGGAAUACUAUACCUAAGUCGGAGGUCAUUGAGCUCGUCAAACGUGGUCGUACACGACAUGUAAUCAAUGGCAUAAUCACGCGACAAGGCUCUACCUCCUACUGUACCCCGUUCUUCUGGUCGUGAUGCUCUUGAUGGGGACGCCUCACCAGAAUCAUCCCCUUGACCCUCACUCAAGGUGUUCUCCGAUCCAGAAGAUCCUUCUUCAUCGCUACUGUUGCUCGAGGAGGUUGUUUGGGGAGACAUCCUCCUAGCGCUAGUACCAACACUAGACCUAAUGGGCUCUAAGGGGAUCCCGGGAUCAAAAGCAAAAUCAGCGGGCAGACUAGGCAAAAAACCUAGUUCGUCGUCACCAACCUCAACGACCUUCUCCUUACCCUUCGACAUAUCCUAAGUUCUAACCAAAACACCACCGCCAACUACAACCUCAAGCAAAGCAGAGAGAAAGGAAAUUACCUACAACUAACCAAUACCGAAAAAAAAAUAGAAGAAAUACCUGAAGCAGGGACUCGGUCAGAGAGAGACAGGGAUGACAGCUUUGACGCCGAGGUUCAUUCGCCGGAGAGACAAGAAUGGAGAAAAUGACGAGUUCGUGUUUGAAGAUUUUGGGUUUCCUUACUGAGAAGCAAACUCUUGGGCUGCCAGCAUUUAAUGACGCAUAUUCCGAGAAUCCCGUAACCGUCGGUUUGAAAUUCAAAUGGAGGGGGGGAUUUCUGCCACGUCACCUCGUCCGCAAUUAAAUGCGACAUGACUCCUGGCAGCCUUUUCCAAACCCACGUGAGCGAGUACUAUCGAGUUUCUACUGCUGGUCCACUACACUACCCAACACCAGAAACUGGGGGACCGGUGUUUGGGAGGGAUACUGUUUGGGGCAAAUGCGUCGAAGGGACCAGGAAUGACGAGCAGAUAUCUGACGGCGGAGUUCUGCGAACCGGUGUGUUCCGUUAAAGCCUGGCGCGUGGAAGAACAGGAGCAGAAACAUCCUGCUCGUCCACGAUGUUGUCGUCCGCGAGGCCAAUUCCUAUAAAAGGCAUAAGGCCAUUCCGGCUAGAGAUCGAGAGGCGAGGAGACCCGGUCGACGGCAGUUGGCAAGACGUGCUCUCCAGCACGAGAAUCUAGGCACAACAGCCACGCUUUCCCCAGAACCGCGACGUAACACGCAAGAUCUCACAGAGCCAUGACAGCCACACUUUCCCCAGAACCGUGGCGUAACACGCAAGAUCUCACAGAGCCAUGACAGCCACACCUUCCCCAGAACCGUGGCGUAACACGCAAGGUCCCACAGAGCCAUGGCAGCCACGCUUUCCCCUGAACCGUGGCGUAACACGCUAGAUCCCAUGUUUUGCCCAUAACGCAGCAGUUGGAGUCCCAUACCGCCUCGAAAAGAGCGGAAGACUGAGAUUCAGAGGAAGCCUAUAAAAAGGUAGCCAACGAAGGUAAAAAGGUUGGCAUUCUUGAGAAAAGGGGAGAAAACCACAAGAAACGCCAUAAGACCUGUGGCAAGCUUUUCCCAAACCUUCAUAUCUGACUUGAGCGUCGGAGGGUUUGCGCCGGGAAAACAACCGGCGUACUCUGACUUAUCUGUGUACGCAGGGACCUCCGGGGAAGAAGCCUGGCGAGGAGACCUCCUGGUCGUGACGAAGUUGAUCGAGCAGAGAUCCUGAUCGUAGAACGAGGAGAACCGGAAUCUCGCAUCAACAGAUAGUUCUAAAAAGCAUGGUGUUUAUACACAAGUACUCCAUUCAACAAAUCCAACAGGUGGAGCAAAGAGCUAAUGCCAUGUCACUUACCUUUGAUACAUAUGUUUCCAAGGUGAAAAUAGUGACAUGGUUAUUUGUUUUUUGUAUUUUAGAGCCUAAAACUUGGAGCUGCCUGUGAGUUAAUCUUGCAUAUAUCAAAGCUUGAAUUUCAGUGCCAUUACUUACUAAUGGAUGACUAUUGUUAAGAGUUAAUACUUGAUAUUGGAAAUACAGGUACGUUAUAAAUUACAGUUGUAUAUAUUUUAAUGUAUUUUAGAGUACCACAGUAAGGAAUCUAGUUCAUCAAUUUUUCCUAUGACCAAAGUUUGUUAGGUACUAGUGAAAACAUUUAUGGUGAAUGUGUUUGGAGUACUAUCUCGGUACUGAAAAGAUGUAGAAUAUAUUUGCACAAUAUUUCAGCAAAGUACUAAAAUAUUGUUUUUAAAAUAAAUAAUUGUACUCAUGGAAAGUAUAAAUGUUCUCUCUACUCAUGUGAUAGGGGUUUGAGCUCCACUUGGAUACCAUCUCAAAAGAUUUUACUAAUAACACUACUUACUAUUCAAAGAUCUAUCAGAUCUACACAUUUAUUUUAAUAAUUAUCGGACAAAUUAGUAACAAUAUCUAAAAAUAUUCCUCAUGAUUUAUUGAAUGAUUAUACGACCUUUGAAUCUAGACUUCUGUUGUCAUCUUAGGAAUGAAAAAUAUUUUGUAAGUCGGACAUAUUAUCUCAGCUAAUUGACGUGCUAUGCCCAAUUACUUAUACUUUGCCAGUAGACAGAGCGAUGCGUCCCAUGGUAGAACCAGCUGUGGUCACAUCAAGACACAAGCAUUUAGUUUAGUCCUUCAACAGAAAGAAAAUUCAAUAGAUAAAAAACCAAUCCAAGGAAAAAUAAUUGCGUAGUGGCAUACACAGCGCCCCACAGCAACUCAAUCUUUGCCAAGUAGCAUUACAGGUGCGUUCUCUUAAGGGACCCAUAAAUUUUCUUCCAAUUGGUAAAGACUGAGUAGACGGAAAUACUAUUUGCCCUGCAUAGAGAUGCCCAAUGAGUCGGGCCGGCACAAAGCAAGGCCUACGCGUAUUUAUACCCAUGUUGUAUUGUGCUCACUUUUUAUUUCGUGCCGUAUUUAAAGUUUUUUACUUAGGCCAGCCCGGCACGCGUUCUGUCGUGCCGUACUGUGCCUUACCUAAGAAAAAAAAGCGUAAUAAGUUUUUUUUUUUAAAAGCGCAUGAUAAGUUGUUGGCGUACUUUUAUUAAAUUUAUAUAUAUUUUUUAGGUCUAUAUUUUUAUUCAAAUUUAAUAAAAUUAAAAAUUCAAAACUCAAGUCCAUAUUUAAUAAUAAUAAACUAAUAAUAGUAAGAAAAUAUAAUAUUAAUUACUAAGUUUGAUCUUAUACUAUUAGAAUUUUUUUAAUACUUAACAACAAUAAUAAUAAUAAUUUUUUCUUAAGGAUUAACUUAAUUGUUAACUUGGACUUACAUAAAGUCACAAAUCUUAGUUCACAAUAAUAUUAAUGUAUAUUUAUAAAAUAUGCAUAUUUAUAAUUUUAUUCAUUAAAAUCAUGAUAUCAAUUAUUUAUUUAAUAAAUUAUAAAUAUAAAUCAAUUAUAGUAUUUUUUAAAACUAAAAAUUAAAUGAAUUUAAAAAAUGCAAUUUCAAGUUAUUUGCAAAUCAUAAAAUUUUAAGUUUAUUUUUAUUAAAAAAUAAAACAUGCUUAUUGCGAGUUUUUUUAUCGUGCCGUGCUUUUAAGGUCCGUGUGCCUAAAAUUUUAGGCUCGGCACAACUCGCGUGCGUGCCGUGCCGUGCCACAUGCCCCACCGAAACGUGCUUGUGUCGUGCCGUGUUAUACGGACAUGUGUCGUGCCACGUGCCGUCCGACUCAUUGGCCAUCUCUAGCCCUGCACAAGUUUUUGUCGAAUCGAAGAGUAUAACAAUUGGGUUGUUAAGUUACAAAUUAUAUAAUUUACAGCACAUAUAAUAUGACAGUAGAUCUCAUUAUCAAGAGUUGUAAAUUAUACAAAUUGUAACUUAGCAAAACCCAUGACAAUUUGGUUAUGAUAUAUCAGAAUCUCGCAUCCAAUCAAUAAACGGUCAAAGGCCGUUGUCAGCUAAUUGCAGCUACUGUAUCUACAAGUAAAAAUUUUAUUAAAAAAAAUUUAAACUCCAAAGAAUCUUGAUUUUUUUUUUUUUUUGUCUUCUCCAAAUGGGAAACAAUCACUCCUUCAAAAGGAAGUUUGUAUUUUGUUCGAAAUUUAACAAUUAAGAUUCUUCAGUUAUUGAACAGACUCUUCAGUGAUUCUUUCACAUCACAUUGAAAAAUACAACUGAAAUUAUCACUCACAAUUAAGUAAUGAAUUGUAGAUACAACACCAGCAGCAUGGAUCAAAAAAGAUGUCCAGUUGAUAAAACUAUUUUCUUAUGAAAUUAAAUCUACCUUAUUAAUUCAGCACUAAUUCCUCUUCCAAAAUACCAUUGCUCCUUUUUUUUUUUUUUUUUGGUUUCCUAGUACAAAAAUAUUGCCUUCACAAAAAGGAAAAGCAAAAAACCAAAACAAGUACUUCUUGAAGAAAAUAAUUAAGAUAUUCAUCAAGAAUAUUGGUUGAUUUAUCAUCUACACAUUUGAAGAUGAUGAGAAGGUGUCAACUCACAAUCAGAUGAGUAACAACAAUUAAUCAUCUCUUUAUUAUCUGCAUUAAUAUUAAACCCUAAUUCAUGCAAAUAAAAAACAACAUCUCUUUUCUCUUCCACCAACUUCAAGAUAUUCUCAAACACACAGACUUCACAUGGAAUCUUCAACACUCCCUCUUGUUGAAACCCAAACUCUUCUUCAGCUUCUCUUAACAAAAUCACAAAUGCUUGAUGACUCAAGUACUCAGUUGGGAUUAUAAAUCUCUUCAGCUCCUUCCCUACACACACUGCAAGAAAACCUUUCGGUACGACAUCGUUUGAUGCUGUUGAAACAUCAGUGAAAGAGAGUGUUUUCUUAAGGAACUUGAUGCUUUUAGUAGCACUAUUUGUAGUGCUACCAGAACUUGAGAAAUUGCCGCUAUUGUUACCAGUGUUUCCGGUGCUGCUGUUGCUGUUGCUGCUGCUGCUUUUGGGUGCAUUUGCAAGCUUCUUCCAUUUCUUGAGGAUCUGUUGAAGCCUGACAAUAUCACUAAUCUUGUUAGACUUCUUUGAAUCCAUGGAGCUUCUUGUGGGCUUAUGGUUUAAUAUUUUGGCUCUUUUUUUUUUUUUUUUUGUGUGUGUGAGUCUCAACUCUCAAGUGGGUGAUGAAGUGGAGAUUUAAAGAAGUGAGAGGGUACAUGUUGUACCGAAAAUAAGAAUAUUAAAUUAUUAGAAAAAUAAAUAAUAAAAAUUAACCAUAGAAGUUAGGAUACGUCGGUUGCUGGCAUAUAAGGUCCAAAUCCAACUGCCUCAUUAUCAUGAACUAACCGGUAAGAGUUAUUUGGUUUUUUUAAUCCCUAGAUAAAUAUAUGCUUACCUUUCCCCAUCUUCAAGCCAACAGUGUUUAUUUCUCUGUUGGCUAAACUUGGCUUUGCAUUCUUUUUCAUUUUUCACUCUCCUUCUCUCUUUAAAAUGUAAGGCUUCAUUUCGAAUACUAAUGUUAAGUAGUUGUUACCUAAUAGCUUAAAUAUUCUGGUUAACCUCUAACUAUAAUUAAGGUUUUAUUUUUUCCCUCCUAACAAGUCAUCGAGGUUUUGUGUCCAAAAUAUUAAUUUCAUUGUUUCAAGUUUAUUUAUCUCAGUUUCAUCGAAUCUAUUUUUGUUUUAAUUUUAUCGAUUGAUUUAAACUUUUGAAUCAAACAAUUUCACUAAUGAUAAAAAAAAUAUAAAUUGGAUAAAAAUAAAUAUAAAAUAUUUUACAUCUAAUAAUCCCAUUAGUUUAUAUGAUAAUUUUCAGUUGAUUUAGAGAAAAAGAAAAUAAUCGAUUCUCUCUCACACUAAUCAGAGCACAGAAAUUUUAUUAAUUCAAUUUUAAGAAUAACAUCAUUAUUAAAUUUUUAAAGGCUAUGACUAUUUUAGAACUGCUCUAAGGUGGAGCACGAAUCUUACCCACACACGUUGAUCGUGUGGUUAUGAAGGAUGCUCUACCUUAGGAGAAAUUCUAGAAUAGCUUUGAUGUAUGACGUGUAACUAAAUUUAAAAUAAUCAUCACUUAUAUGAUGAUUUUUCAAAAUAAAUGCAUAUAUGUCAUAGCAUCAUUUGAUCGUUGUAUGACAACAUAGUACGUCUAAUGUAUUCUAGAAUUUUUCUUAUUUUAUAAUGGUUCCAACGUAUCCAAAUCCAUUUUUAAAUUAUGUAUUUUUUUAGUAAAUAAUAAGUCUUAUUGUGACUGUCACUCAAAAUGCACCCACAUGGACAGAUGGUGUUAUUUAUUGCAAUUUGCUUCUCAUGCAGGUGCCUCAACAGUUAAAAAUCUACGGGGCAUAUCGGGGUGCUCUCCCAAAAUAUUAACUUCUCAUCAGUUUGUCUUGGUAUCCGUUUCCUGAAUCCUGAUUUAUAUAAUGUUAUUAAUUAAAUUAUUGUAUAUUAAUCUCUUUCUCUUUAUUGGAUUUUGCGUGUGCUGAGACGAUCGUGGAAGAUGGGACUCAAGAAAUUCCAUGUGACAUGCCCGAUUAAAAUAAUAACAAAUCUGAUUAAGGAUUGAAUAUUAGACCAACAAAAUUGACAUUUAAGUACAGAAUUAUUAAAAUACAAAAUAAAAAGGAGCAUGUAAGGCCUUGAACAACCAAAUGAUUAAUCUUUUAUAUGUUGGAUUUGAAUGUUGCCUUUUGAUUUAAAUUUUUCUGUUACGUUUUGCAUGACAGCGAAAAUUGCAAACCUGUCAUGAUAUAUAUAUAUAUAUAUAUGCUGAAAAAUCAAAUAAAUAAUUAUUUUUAAAUAGUAUGAGGAUUUUUAUGUGAAUCGAAAAGUAAAACAGUAUAAGUCUGUUCAAAUCAAAGGGGACAAAAUUAUUCAAUGUGAGAGCAAGCUGUUAAUAUCUCCUAUUACUAAAUAUAAUAAAUAUGUUCUAGCUUGUGCAUAGAAUAUAACAUUUUGUAUUUUGGUUAUUAAUUUUGGAAUAGUUUGAUCUUUUACCGCAAAGAAAUAAUCUUAUUGUUCCUGCUCAAUAGAGUUGUCAAUUUUGUCACACUAGUUUUGCAUUAAGAGUUUAAACGUUACGGAGAGAAAAUGAUCAUGAAAACAAAAGACAAUGAAGAAAGUUAAGAACUAUUAUUUGAAAGAAAAUAGAGUUAAUGUGAAUUUUUUUUUUUUUUUGGUGAGAGGGGGCUCGUCAAAACGAGCUAAACAGAAACAAAACGAGGUUGAGUAACCCCAAACAAGUCUUGCGAAAUGAUAGAAUAUAUACCCAUAGGAGGGUCAGAGAACACUUGCAAUCCAAGAGGAGCUGAAUGAGCCAUAUUAGCCAUGAAGUCUGCAGCUGAGUUUGCUUCUCGAUAGAUAUGGGUGAUAGCAAUCUGCCAAUUUCUACUUAAUAAUUCCUGGACAGCUACUAUUAAAGCAUGGAACACAUUAGGAACGACCACCUGCUUAGAGAUUAUUUGUGUAACACAAAGACUAUCCACUUCCACCAACAGCCGUUUUAUGCCUACAUCCUAAGCCAGAAUUAGACCCUGAUACAGCCCCCAAAGCUCAGCCAUAAGCACUGAACUCUCCCCAAUUCUCAUACAAAAUCCGGAAAUCCAAUGACCGACUGAGUCUCGAAUGACACCUCCUGCUCCUGCUUCCCCGUCAUUUUUACGAGAGCCAUCUGAAUUUAAUUUGCACCAUGGCCAUGGCGGCGGAAUCCAACGAAUAAAAAUCUCCUUUCUCCUCGGCUGUUGACUUAUACCGGAAUUAUAAACUUUGUAAAUUUCAUUAGCUCUAGCCAUAGCAUCCAUAUAGACUGUUACACCAUCCACCAACUUCCCCGCAAACAAGAAAUGGUUCCUCCAGAACCACAGCCUCCAAACCACCACUCCAAAGAUACAAUCCCAAGGGAGGGAAGAUGCAAUCUUCCAUUUGUUCUGCAAGUUCCCAGCAAUCCAUUCACGUAGAUUCGAAUUGAAGAAAGCGUUAUGAGUUGCCAUUGGGACAAGCUUACGCCAAACCUGAUUAAUACAGCAGCAAUCUCUCAAUGCAUGGAGAAUAUCUUCAACCGCACCCCCACAUCUAUCACAGCCCUCAGGAACAUUGAUAUGGCGCCUAGCUAGCUCAACAUGAGUCUUUAAUUUCCCAUGCAUCAGCUGCCACAGAAAAAGACGGAUGGAUUGAGGCCCCUUCCAACUCCAUGGAAGCUUCCAAAUUCUGUCAUGAUCAGCCAAGUGAUGAUAGCAAAGGGAUGCAUAAGCUGAACGAACCGUAAACAUGCCGCUCGGAUCCAAACCCCAGUAAAUUUUGUCAAACCCAAAAUGCGGUCUCGGAGGCAUGACUGAUGCGAUCUGCAUGAAAGUAUAAUGUGGCAGCAAAUGCUCAAAGCUCGACCAAUUCCAUCCCCCCUGACCAUUCGUAAACUCACUCACGGUGGCGUUGAUAAGCUCUUGAGGAAUCGGCUAGAGAGCUAGGCUGAUCAAGGGAUAUUUCGUAGCCCAACAAUCUAUCCAAAAGCAAGCUCGACCUCCAUCGCAAACAGACCAGCGAGCUCCCUGAACUGUUGUCAACCACUUGCUACGAAUAGCUCUCCAAAUCUGAGAACCCGGUUUAUCUGGAAGGGACAUCGGUAAAUUGCUGGAAUCCAAUCCAUAUUUGGAACAGAAAACUUUCACCCACAAUUUAUCUGAGUUGGACACAAUCUCCCAGCUCAAUUUCAUUAUCAGCGCCUGGUUCAUCUCGUCCAUUUUUUUGAACCCCAGACCUCCAUAUUGUUUCAGCAUGCAGAUUUUGCUCCACCCCACCAUACUCAUCUUAGGACUCUUUGAAUUCCCAUCCCAAAUAAAUCGCCGACAAGAUUUGUCUAUUUUAUGCCUCACUGGAGAAGGAAGAAAGGUCGUUUGCAUGGCAUAAAUAGGCAUUGCUUGCAGAACUGAUUGAGCCAGGGUGACGCGUCCAGCAAAAGAGAGAUGAGCCGCAUUCCAACCAGUAAGCCGCUUAUCCACUUUAUCAAGGAUGGACUGAUACGUGGAUUUAUUAACCCGCGUGUGAAUUAAUGGCAUUCCAAGAUAAUCACCCAAAUUAUUUGUGGCCGAAAAAUCCAAAGUAGAGCCUAUGAGAUUGGCAUCCCGAGUAUCAACAUUUUUUGAGAAGAACACCUUGGUUUUCAACUUAUUUAUUUUUGCUUCAGAGCUCCUACAAUAGUUUUCCAGAACAGCAUCAACCACAUAAGCUUGGUCAAUUGAAGCUUCCGCAAAUAAAAGCAAAUCGUCUGCAAAAAAGAGAUGAGUUAAGGGAGUUCCAUAUUUGGCCAACCUAAUAGGCCUCCAUCUCUCAUCCAUUACCGCAUGGGUUAUCCCAUGACUCAAACGCUCGAUACAUAGAACAAAAAGAUAAGGCGAGAGGGGAUCUCCCUGACGAAUACCUCUCCCUGGAGUGAAGGUCCCUGUAACCUCACCAUUCCACAAAAUACUCAUACUAGCUGAAGUUACGCAUUCCAUGAUAAGUCUAGAUAAAUGAGUUGGAAUACCAGUCUGUUGAAGCGUAUCAAAAAUGAAAUCCCAAUUAAGCCGGUCAUACGCCUUCUCUAAGUCGACCUUAAUGGCCAUAAAUCCUUUCCUGCCAGUUUUUCUGCGCAUUGAGUGAACGACUUCCUGAGCCACAACAAUAUUAUCUACGAUAUGCCUCCUUGGAACAAAACUUGUCUGAUUGGGGCCUAUUAGAUUGGGCAGCAGCGAUUGCAAGCGAGUGGCUAUAAUUUUAGUCACCGUCUUGUAAGCCAUUGUGCAUAGGCUUAUGGGCCUAAACAUCUUUAAGCUAGUAGGGUGCUCCUCUUUUGGAAUCAAAACCAGAAGGGUAGUAGUUAUCUCUUGCGGCACUUUGCCCGUGGUAAAAAUAUCAUCAAUAAACCUGCAAAACGACGAACCCACAACAUAUCAUUGGGAUUGAUAAAAAAUAGCAUGCAACCCAUCCGUACCUGGAGCUUUCAGCGGCUUCAUACUAAAAACAACACUUUUAAUCUCCUCCCUCAAAAUUGGGGCUGCGGCACCAUCAACGUCAUAAGGACUCAAGUCUGGAAAAAAAUUUGGCACAUGGUAGUUCUGAUAAAUAGCUUUUUCUCUUUUAAAUAAUUCUGAAAAAUACCCCACUGCAUGCCUCUUUAUAUCUUCCUCAUCAUACAGCCAAUUCCCCGAACUGUCUCGGAUAGCCUCGAUUCUAUUCCGCCGCCUUCGAGCAAUAGUUUUUUUAUGGAAAAAAUUCGUAUUUCUGUCUCCAUGUAAAAGCCAAUCCUUUCGAGAUUUCUGGAGCCACAGAAUUUCCUCCUGGCUCAUCACCAUUUCAAGCUCAUUACGCAAUCGGGCCUCCAAUCGCCUCAAACUGCGAGAGCUAUAUUUCUCUAGGGUGGCUUGAAUUCCAUUAAUCCGAGCCAUAAGCCGGCAUUUCCUCUGAAAGAUAUUCCCAAACACAUCUCGAUUCCAAACUUGAACCUCCUGAACAAAAUGAGAAGCUGCUGCACUAUAGUGGGUUUACGGAUUCCACAUCCGCUUAACAAAAUUGUUGAAGUGCUCAUGAGUUAACCAAGCAGCCAAGAAGCGGAAAGGCCUGGUCCUCUGGUGGCCAGCCAUAUCUCUCUCAAACCGAACCAGCACCGGCCUGUGAUCCGAGGCAAUCUUCGGGAGAUGGAUUACAGAAUUAUUCAUAUAUUUAAGCAGCCAUUCACUGUUACACAAAGCUCUAUCAAGCCUUUUAAAAAGCAAUCCACGUGACCAAGUAAACCUUGGACCCUUAAAUUUCAAGUCAAAAAGUUGAUGCCCAUCAAACCACUUCCGAAACAGAUUACACACUCCUGAGUUCCUGGCCACACCCCCUUGCUUUUCUGAGGCGUAUAAGAUAGAGUUGAAAUCCCCACCUAUCAACCAAGGCUCUUGAAUUAAAGGCGCAAGGUUCUCCAUAUGGCACCACAGCUGUCUCCGCAACAUUGGGUUUGGACUAGCAUAAACAGCCGUUACCCAAGACACAAAAACAUUGUUCCUGCAAAUUUUAAAAUGGAUGAACUGCCUGUGAUUAAUUAAGACCUCCACCUCUAUAGAACUUCGCCAAAGAAGCCAAAUUCCUCCAGAGAAACCCACAGCUUCCACCCGGUGCGAGUAAUCAAAUCCACUUUUCUUUAUAAAUUCAUCGGCUUUCACCCCACUAGUACGAGGUUCCAUUAACACCACCAUCAAUGGGUUGUAAUUUUUAAUAAUAGUCCUAAACGAGCGCCUGAAUUCCCCCGAGGAUGCCCCUUGGACAUUCCAGAACAUAAUACUGACUGUCAUAAAAAAUAUAAGAAGAGAGAACAUGAGGCUACUGUUGCUGUCCAGAGACAUCAUCCAUCAAUGCCAACGGCGUUUCCUGAACCAUCGAAAUUUCAUCAUCAGUCAUCCCAUCUCCAUCCAUACCACUCAUAGGAACAUCUGGAUGGUUACAAACAUGUCCACCUUCCUUCACCCGAGAAGUGUUAUGGUUAUUAGGAGGGUCUGCUAAGGGUUGCGGAUCCGAUCCCUGCCUCUCUAUAUGAUCCGUGGCCACUUCCCUUACAUCUCCAUUAAGAAGUGUUGGGGGAGAACAAAAAACCACUGUGUGUUUAGUAGGAUCCAAGGUGGAUUCGAAAGAAACCACACGUUGGUUGCUAGAUACUUUCUGGGGGAAACUAUGUGAAUUGGAUUUUUGGUUGGUAUGGGGUAAGAGAGUUAUAUCCUCAUCUUUGAUACUUAAAUCACUAGGCUGGAAAUGGUUACUAGUAGGGACCACUGGAGCAUUUAGCUUUCUGCUCUGAUUCCUUAUUACCACGGUCUUAUUUUGCAGCUUUCGACGAGCUAAAAUCUGUACUGUGUUAUCUGUUUUGGCUGUAAAUGUAGGGUUUGAGGCGGAUAUGAAAGGCUGGCGUGAGGUGGAGGGGAAGUCUGUGCAAGCCUCUUGCACUUGGUGUCUUUUAAUAUACUCGCAAGCGCACGAAUCUAUUGUAGUAUAGAUCUAUGGUGACGAGUGUCGAUCCCACGAGGAGGUGGAUUUUAAUUAUAUAUAGAAUUAAUUUUGUAAAUGGGUAGUUGGAUUUAUGGUGGAAAUGAUUUGGAAUAUGCUAAUAAUUAAAUUAAAAUGGCGAGAAUAAAUUCUAAAAUUGGAAUUGAAAUGGCGAGAAUAAAUUGAAGAGAAUUCUAUUAAAAUGACGUACUUGGGUAUCUAGAUCCGUAUCAACAUGCAUCAUGGGCUAAAUAAUCCGUAUUAAUGCCAAUUAAAUCAUGAGGGGGGAAUCCACACCUCAUGAACCACGCUCUAAUCAAUAUGUUGCUAAGGGCUUAUCGUGCCAAAUAAUAAUAACCUUAUACUAGAAAGCCGGUGUAACCAAGGCGGUAUCUAGACAAGAUUAGUAUUAUUUGUCGACGAGAAGUCAAAACAUCCACAAAAACUAGAGGGGAAGAGAAAAUAAAUUUACCAAAUUAAGCCCAUGACACAUGUUGAGACUUCACCUUCAACCCAAGCUUGAAAGAAAAUUAGCCACUCAUAAUUGAACUAGGGGCAAAAUGGGAAUUUAUUAAAAUAUGAAGAAAAUACAAGAUGGAGAAGGAAUUACAGAAAAUGGAUCCCAAAAAUGGAUUCAGAGAUAUCAAAUUAGGGGGGGAGGCCCCCUUUUUAUAGAUACAUGGAGUAAAUCAUGGCCAUCGGAUUAAAAACAGUUUGGACGCUCAGGAUUGCGCCACGUCAUCAGUCAACAGUCCACGGUUUGACCACGCGGAUGAACAGUAACACGGUUUGACCCGACUUUGAACAGUAAUGCGGUUUGACCCGGAUGAACAGUAACGCGGUUUGGUUGAAACUAAUCCUGUGUGAUGCAUGCACCGUACGCGAGAUUUUUCGUCCACUGAUAUACUGCCACGUCACCAUCAACAGUACAUAAGAAUUUUAGCCCAACAGGAUCGUGACACCUCAUCAGUCAAUGCCACGUCAUCAAUCCGUCUAUGUGAACAGUGCCGUGAACAGUAACGUAUACAGUACUGUGUACGUGAAUAGUACCGUACAUGUGAAUAGUGUCAUUUUUCCUUUUAUGGUCCUCCUAAGGUUUUCGACCGUCCUGAGUUCAAAAGUGAUGUCCGUUUUGCCGUCUGAUCUCUCCUUUAUUGUGAAAUGACUAUAAUGCCCCUAGAAUACAUAAAUUACUUAAUUAAAAUAAAACACACGUAAUUAAAUCAUAAGAAUGUUAAAUACAUA